GAAUUAACUAUAAAACAGGUCUUUGCAUAAUUAAUGCUUUUACAAAUAUCUUGAAAUAAUAUUUCUUACUCCAUUAAAACUUUUCCUAUCAGAAAUUAGCAGUGAGAAUCCGGGUUCUGAUAUGAGUUCAGUGUUGCAUGGAUUGGACAAGAUGAGUUUGCGGUACGGGGCUAGAGAAGACGAGAAACAGGGGAAUCUGUAAACCAUUUGGCCUGACUCCUCAAUGUGUUAAUUCGUUUUUUUACUGAAGCUGUUUAGACUUCGCUAAGAGACAUGAAAACUUACUGAGUGUUGUUUUGAUCGGUUAAGUGAAUUGUUAUCGCAAUACAAAGGUGAAUCUUUUUUUUCCAGAUUUAUUUUCUUUAGAAUUCAUCAAAUGCUAAUUUCCAUUUCAGAUUUAUUCUGUCUAUGCUUUCCCACUACUUUCUUUAUGAGACUGGGGAUUGCCAAGUUUGUCGCAUGAAUCAGGAAUAUAUUUUACACUAAAGGCAAAACGAAGGGCUCUAGGAAAUGUCUGGUGUUUUGGAUGAGCAUCAUCCAGCGCUAGCCAAUGCGCUGAUCGUAUGAUUGUUGGGUAACGUGUUCGAUGGUGUGAGUGCAGCAAAGGGUGUGUGUUCUAGGAAGGGAAAAGGAGAAGCAAACUGUUGAGCUGGAGGUCUGCAAUCAGGGAAUGUUCAAAACUGAGUUGUGUAACAAAUGGCAAGAGACCGGGGAAUGUCCCUAUGGAGAGAACUGCCUAUUUGCUCAUGGAAUUAAGGAGCUGCGCACAAGACUGAGGUAUGCCGUAUGGUGUUGAACGGUGAUCACUGCCCUUAUGGACACCGAUGCCACAUCUGCCACACCCUCACUGAUGAGGAGGAGCUUAUCAAGUCCGUGAACAUCAGGCCCCUAAAGCCACUCAAUCGUUAGGUCCACGAUUAUAACUCCCUUAAAUGAGAGUUCUUUCUUAAAAUACCAAAAACAAAAGAGAGAAAAUAAAAAUCAAGCAAAUUCGAAGGAAGAAAUAAAACAACACAAAAUACCAAAAGCGCAUUUGGAUUGUGAAAUUCAUAGAGCUUUUAUAAAAAUAUUAUAUAUUAAAAUGACUUGAUAUACAUAAGAUAAAAAAAGUAAAUUAUAACGACUUGAUAUAUAUGAAUAAAAAGGUAAAUAAAAAAAAUUGUCGAGAAAAAAUUUUUUUUUUGGGGCAAAAACUCUCAAAGGUUAAAAUUAGCUAAUAAGUACAAAUUUGAGAGCUGAAAAACAGUUUAAAAAAAGCCCGAAAGACUCGCCCUUUUGUCUUUUCUCAUAUUUUCCCUCCACUCUGCCUGCCUUCUUCACUCUCAGACUCCUAGUACCCUCACUCUCUCAUUCCACUCUCUUUCUUCUCUCUCUAGGGUUUUUCCGAUUACCGAAGCGAGAUAAAUCGAGCAACCGCUAUGGCGUCGACCGCCGGGGUUUUUGGAAACCGCUGCAGAGCACUCAUGGCAGCCGCUAAGACCUCCGUCGCCUCCACCACUGCUGGAUCCGCCGCUGCCAAAACUCCUGGCCGCAGAAAUGGCAUCCUGAAGAAGCAGCCUGUCUCCCCUGCUCUCCGCCAGUUCGUUGGCGCACCGGAAACUUCCCGCAAUGACGCCGUCAGGAAAGUCUGGGAUUACGUCAAAUCCAAAAACCUUCAGGUCUAAUGAAAAAAUACGAGUAGCUUUUCCAUUCCAGUGGAUUUUUUUAAUAAAAAAUUUUAGAUGAUUGUUUGACUUAUCUGCUCAUUAUCUUCUAAUUUGUCACUAAUUUUUUUUAUAUUUUCUUUUUUUGUUCGUUGGCUCAACUUCUGUUGGUUGUUGAUUGUGUACGGAAUCAGGCAAUAAUAUGUCUCUGGACAAAGACGUGCAGAGAUAUCAUGAUUGUAGUCCUAUUGAGACUGAUUUUUUUAAAUUUUCUUUUUGAAUUUCUGUCUUUUAAGAAUGUCAAUGUAAAGGCAAAUAUACAACGAUGUUGAUGUCCUUGUGAAGCAAUAGAGUAUGGGUAUCGGGGAACAGAAGAAGAAAAAGUAUAAUAAGAGAAGUGCCUGGGUAGUUUGCAACUAUUUACUUUUUGUCUGUUUAAAUGCAUAUGUGUAUAUUUAAGUACUGUAAAUUCAAGGGCUCUAGGCAUAAUUGCUAUCCAUAAAACAGGAAGGGAAGUUUUAAGCUCUGUUUUCUGGGGAAGGGAGGGGGAUGAGGAGUGAAUGAAACCAUUGCUGUUUUAGGAUUUGAGUUAUCCUAUUGUCCAGUGUCCUACCCCUAAUUUUUAGCCUCUUAUGUCUGAGAAUCCUAGUUUCUCUUUAAACUUUUGUGGUCUCUGUAUUUGCUUUCCUAUUCUUUUCUGGUAUUCUUUGAAUAGAAGACUAAUAGAAAGGUGUGUGAACGGUUUUGAGUUAUGGGCUUCUGUUCAUUGUUGCUGUUAUUGAUGUGAUAAAUUUGCAAGGCUAAUGCUGAUAGAAUGCGUGUUUAUUGUGCAUUUGAUCUGGUGGAGUCUAAAGUGGUAGUGCCCAAAUUUCUAACCAAACUGAUGUUGUACAAUGACUAGGUAAUUAAAAGAUUUCAUUGACAUUCUUCUGCAGGCUAAUGAAUAAUUCUUACUUGUGUGAGUAUUUCUCCUUCCCUGUUUCUUCUUUCUAAUUUGGAAUGGUUUGUUUUUCUUGGUUCAUCUUUUCUUUUAUUCAUCUAUUUUCUGUAUUGGAGCCACUAGGGGAAAUUGGAUCCCUUGGUCUUGUGUCAAUUUUUAUCAUAUCUUAUUUUGUAUAUGUGGAAUUUUGCACUGCGACUUUGAUAUAGACAUUCUGGUUUCUUUACUGCUUGCAAAAUUAGUUUAAUUUUGAUAAUUAUUGUACUUCUGUGUCAAGAAUACUGCUACACUGAUGGAUUGGCGUAUAAUUUCCCUUGAGAUGACAGAAGGUGGAGUUCAUUACCUAUGCUUGUUGCAGAAAUUCGUGGUCAUGCUGCCUUUUAUAUUGUUUGUCUUGAGUAGUAGAUUUUAAGAAGAAUUUUGAAAUCUGCAUGGAGAAUAUCUGUGCAAUUAGUUUGUGUUGCAUAUUCAUAGUUAAUCACGAUUUCUUAUUGCAUGAGACUAGAAACUUUCCUCAAGGUUACUUCAAAAUAUGGUACAUGACUUUGUUGUGGUCUCCUUGUAUUACAGAAUCCAAACAACAAGAAAGAGAUCUGCUGUGAUGAGAAGCUGAAGACCAUAUUCGAAGGCAAGGAGAAAGUUGGAUUUACUGAGAUUGCGAAGCUGCUUUCCAAGCAUUUCCAGAAGGCUGCAUAAACAUUUCUUAGAAAAGAUAGUCUCUCUAGUGGACGGGUAGAUUUGUAAUUCAGGAAGUAGAACAUAUCCUCUUUUGUUCUGUGUCUCUUUCUUUCCCUGCUGUUGUCUUUUUGGACGAGGGAUAGUGAAUCUGGUGCACAGAUUAGAUGUUCUCUUUAUGUUAUCUCGAUGAUGGCGUAAAAGUUGCGCAGGGUCUGUACGGCAAACAUGUUCCACUGUUCUGAUAGUUUUGGGGAAUUUUUUUUUGGGCAUCUGUUAAUGGCUUCUCUUAUUGAUAAAUUAUGAGGUGUGCACUCUUUCGAAGUUUCUUUUUUUCUGACAUUUAAAACACCAGUUAAAGGCUAACCGGUUAAAGCUUGCACUUGAAUGGAACGUCUGUUUAUUAUUCUUUGGUAGGAAAAGGCAACGGUGUUGUCCACUAAUUCCUUUCGUCCCCGUCCCUUGCCCCAUGGGUGCCUUUACAGGACGGGGGUCAAUAAAAUUUUGUCAUAAUUUUAUUAUAAUUAAAUUUUAAUAAAUAAUUAAGUAUUAAAAUAUCAAUACAUGAUCAAAUUAUUAUCUAUUGUAAUUUUACAAUAAAAAUUCAUAAAAAUAAUAAAAAAAAUUAUUUGAAUAUAAUUCAAUAUAAUGAAAUAAAUAUAAUUAAAAUAGUCAUGUUUUUACUUUUGACACAUACAAUUAAUUAUUCAUUAUUGUAUUUUUUUUGAGAAAAAAGUGUAAUUGUAUUAAGUGUAAUUAGGAAUUUAGUAUAAAUGUACUAGUAAAUUUAGUAUAACUAAUUAAUAAUUUCUAUUAGUAGUUAUGCAUAAUUAUUAGUAUAAUUGAUAAUAUUAAUUAUAUUACAUAUACUAAUAUCUAUUAUAUAAUACAUAUAACUAAUAAUAUCAUUAUUAUAAAUUUGUAAAUAAUUAAAUUAAAUAUUAUAUAUAUAUAUAAUUAUAUACAUACAUACAUAUAUAUUUAUUUAUUAAUUAAUUUUUUUAACAAGUGGCGGGGGGAGCCACGUUUCUAGUCGAAGGGAAAAAAUUCCCCCCAACCCCUGCCCCAUUAGUCUCUCAUAGGGUGGGUGCCCGCCAUCCCUAUUCUUUGGCUGGAAUCACCACUUUUGUUGUGAGAUUGCGAGGCAAAGUACCUAUGUGCUGGGUAAGGGUUGGAAAUACAUCGAGUUGAAUUUUUAAACUGUCAGACUUGAUUGGAAAUUUUGAGUUUGAAUCCUAUACAAGUUUGUAAUUGGCUUAACUUAAUUACAUAUUGCUCUCUUGUGAUUAGGUGUUAGUAGCAAAUUGCUUCCUAUAUUUCUGAAAUUGACAAAUUGCUUUUUUUUUUUGUUGGGGAAGCGAUAGAAAGUAUUAUUGAUGGUAAGAUUAAAAUUACACUGUGUGAGCAAGGGCUCAUAUUGAGCUAUACAAAAGUGAACUAAGACGCUGAGGAUAUAAGAAUUCCUCAUCAAAAGUUUUAUCUUGAGCAAGUAUAUUCAAUCUUGUACUUAGUCUAUUAAGUUCACAAGACGGACUAUCAAAUGAGUAUUUCCUAAACAUUGAGCUAAAGUCCUUGAUAUCCUCCUGAUGUGUAGCAAUUCUGGUAUCAUUUGAGGAUUGUUUCUGUAUCAGGUUUAGAACUCAGGUACAGGAUGUAUGGACCUUGAUCAUCUCCCAAACUUGUUCCUUGACCUUGCUCAAGGCCAAUAUAAUGGCCUGCAGGUAGUCUUGUACCAUUGAUCCAGUGCUUCGUUCCCUCAUUUUCCAGGUUGCAAGCAGCUAGUUCAAGUUGUUUUUUUACAAAGAUCCCUAUCCCCAUAUUUUGGCCUUCCUUAUGAUGUCCUACAUCCGCACAUUAUUAGCAUGUUCUCUCCUUGUGCCACAUUUUGCUCUUGUUCUAAAGCUGUUUUUAUUUCUAAGAUGCUCAUCUGAGUUGUUGUUUGUUGAAAUUGGCUAUAUUCCUCCCAAUCCUUGAUUGUUUUCGAAUUCUUCCAUAGGAUGCCUUUCUUUGUCUUCAAACUCCUCUUCAUUUCUAAUUUUUUAAAUUUGCCAUAAUAUGUUCACUGUCAAGGCUAUGUGGUCUAUGCCAUCCUUUCCGUUGCUUGCUUCCAUCAGCUUUAGCCACUAGCUUUUGAAAUUUCCUGUGUGUUCAUUGAGUCCAUCCCAUUGAAGGGGGGCCAUUUUUCAUAUAAUUCUUGCUUUUCUGCAUUGAAAAGAGAUAUGUUCCACUGCCUCAACAUCCUCCCCACAGUUUUUGCAAAUCAAAUCUCCUUUUCUUGUUCUUCUCAAGAUUAUUCUAAAGAUUAUUUCUCUUGCUGGCAAAGCAUGAUUCAGACACUUCCAUAUGAACAACUUUUGUUUAUGCUUGAUCUUUAUUUUCCAUAGCUGUUUCCAAGCUCUUUCUUUCUCACUUGCACUGCUUGUCUCUCCCUUAUUGCUAUCUCUUUUUUUCCAUCUGUCUAUCCUCCUUGGUCAUUGCUUCAUAUGCUGAUUUGACAGUGUGUUGUCUAGUAUUACUAUGGCUCCAAAAGUAGCUAUCAGGUCUACCAGCUAAGCUUACAGCCAUUCUGAGGAUUUUCCUAGCUUCAUCUGAACUAAAGGUCUUGAAGAUUAGUGUUGUAUUCCAUUUGAAAUUUGAGAUCAAUUCAGUCACCUUGCUAAUUUGACAACCUUGAGGCUUAGGAGAGUUUAAUUUUCCUCCCUUGCAGUUCUGUAUCCAUGCAUCUUCCCAGAUUUUUGUACCUUUUUCCAUUUCCAAUUUUCUUUCUAGUCCCCCUAUUUACUUCAUCUCUGGCUCCUAUCAGACUUUGCCAUAUCCAGGAUGAAUUGCACUUAACUUUGCAGCUUAGAGGUGAACCCUUUGGAUAGUACUUAGCUUUCAUCACUUUGCUCACCAGGAGGUUUGGACAUGUUAAAAGUCUACAUACCUAUUUGCCCAACAAAGCUUUAUUGAAUUUUUAGAGAUCCUUAAAACCUAGUCCACUAGCAUCUUUCUCAGUUGUUAGUUUUUUCUAGGAGCACAGUGGAUUUUUCCUUUUCCUUCUCCCUCUCCCCUCCAGAAAUUUUUCAUCAUUGCAUUUAUCUCUAUGUAUAGUUUGACUAGAAGUUUAAAAUAUGACAUUGCAUACGUUGGGAUUGCCAUGGUUAUUGGUUUCAGUAAAACCUCUUUCCCUGCUUGGCUUAGCAUUUUGUUUCUUCAGUUGGUUACAGUUUUUUGGCACUUUUCUCUGAUAAAUCCAAACACUUGAUCUUUGGUUCUUGUGAUAACCAUAGGCAACCCCAAGUAUUUCCCCUGAUUUACUACUUGUAUAUUCCCCAAUCUUCUGCAUAUCUCUCUUUGCUUUUCCUGAUCCAUGUUCUUGUUGAAGAUUACUAAUGACUUGUCUAUAUUGAUCAUCUAUCCUGAUCCUUGUUCAUAUGUCUUCAAGAUUCCCACUACUUCUUCAGUUUGAGUGGUUUUUGUGUGGAUCCGAAAAUUAUUUUAUAUUUUAUUUUAUUUCUUUGAAUACAUUUUCUUUCCUUUACUUAUUGCCUUAAUUUCCUAAAUAUUUUUAUAAGUGAGUCAAGUUUUAAAACCUUUUUCUUCUAUAUGUUAGUACAUGUUAAGUUCGUAGUGCAUUUUGGAAGUAGGACCCACUAGUGAGGUGUGUGCGAUAAAUUUUUGAAGAUUAAGAGGAGUUUUGUGCAAAGAGAUAUUAUUUUAUAAAGUGUUAAGGGAUAAUUAGAGGUUGGUUAGAUAAUUUAGCAUUUGGAAGACAAAUAGAUGAGAAUUAACCUUGGAGUGCCACUUGUCAACCAAGCCUUGGAGCUUUGACUUGGACCAAGACCAUUUUUAGCUUUUAAUUAACAAAAAAAUUGACCAAAAAACUUAUCAUCUUUCCCUUCUCUUGGCCGACUUCUUGAGGGAGAAAAGGAGAGGAAGAAACUUCAUCUUUAACCUUGAAUCUUGCUUGGAUCCUUGGAAUUUCAUCCUGAGCUUGCAAGUCCAUCCAUAGAAAGUGAUAUCAAGGUAGGAAGAAAGGCUUUUGUGGAGAGAUUUGUGGAGGAAGAAGCUUUUGGUUGCAUUUCUUCAUAGGGUUUGGAGGUAACUAUAUCAAGAAACCAAGUUUUCUUUUAUUACUUGCAUAUGAGUGGAUUUAAGGUUUGAUUUUGGUAGAUUUCAUGGAAAAUUUCAUGGUUUGUGUGGUGGUUGGAAAAUUCCAGCUUUGAGUGAGAAAUUUGGCUCAUAGUUGAGUCUAACAUGUGAAUUUCGUUCAGCUAAGUUUUGGAUGGUUGGUCCAUAAUAUUUUAUCUUGGUUGCUCUUAGGGUUUGAUAGUGAAUACGCAAAUAACCCGGAGACGAACGUUUAACGUUGCUCUGUUUGAACUAGUAAGUGUUCUAACUGCAUGUUCCAUGCUCAUUGUUGUUAGAAAUUGCUAGGCACUUCAUUUGUCAUUUCAUGGGCGAGUGUGUACAUUAUCGCACUUAACCUAACUUGACUAAAUACUUCAUAUCUCAUUUAUGUAUGUACAAAUAACUUGAUUUACACAUGACUCGUAUCUUGACUUGAAAUACUUGAAAUGCUUGAAAAUGUGACACGCUGAGCUUACUUGUGACUUGAUCAUAGCUAGGCGAGUGUGUCCUCAUAUGCACUCGACCUCCAUGAACCUGAAAUAUUUGAUCUUGCGUGCGGACUUGCAUGUACAUGUGCAUGAUUGUAGACCGGUUGUAUAUCUUCUUGUAGCGGUUGAACAGGGCCUUUGGACCCUUAUUCGAGACGUCGGUUAAGUGGAAACUUAGAUUACUCAUGCGUAUGUAUGAAUAUAGGUCGGUAACAGCUGAACUGAGCCCUCGUUGGAUCUCUUGCUUGAGACCAGCCUUAGAGUGGUCGAGUAAGCGGGGCAACCUUAGGUAAACGACAAAGUUCCUAACCUGUUUACUCGUGACUUGAAUUCAUGACUUGAACUAAUGACAUGCUUGAAUAUGGAGUGUUAGGUGAUAGCUAAUGUCUCCAAUCAUUUCCUGCGUAAGCGUUGGAUGAUAGCCAACGACUCCACUACUAAAUACUUGAAUACUUGGGGCUUUAAACCCAAAUCUUGAAUACUUGAAUAUGUGGAGCUAUAAGCCAAAUCCAGGGAUAGUUGGUCGAAUCGAGUCGGCAAGGGUUUGGUCGAGAAGAUUGACGAACCCUGGGUACUUGAUUGGCGUUCUGGCCCAGUAGGGGGAUGAUUGGUGGACGGAGAUUGACGUUUAGUGGUGAUCUACGGACAUUAUAAUGCCAUGGUUGACAGAGAGUCAACGGACCCUGGACAAGCUGCCGUGGUACCUGCUCCUGAGAAUAGAGUAUAUCUUUUGACAUGAACGUGUUUCUUAUCGUACACUAUUGCAUGAUCUAUUUGGUCACGUACAUUGCUAUACAUUAUAUCAUGCCUGCUAGUUUGCUUGCAUGUUUUCUUGGAACCUCACUAGGUUUCUCACUCAUUCCAUGAAUUUGUUUUCCUUACAGGAGUAAGAACGUGAGAGUGGAAAUUAGAGAAGACAUAGUUUUUGUUUAAGUUUUGUUAGUUACUCGCGUAGGCACUCCUUAGCUCUCUAGCAGGUUUGUUUGGUUUUAUUUUGUAAACUUGACUCCUUGACUGUAUUUAGAGAUUGUAUAGACAUUUGAUGUCCAUGAUUGUAUAUAUCUAAGGUUGUAAUUGUUAUUACUCUCAUUGUUGAGGUUAAUAUUUGGUAAAUUUCGAUUACGUAAGUAAGUUCUGACGAGAGUUGGACAGGCGGUCCGCCAAACCCUUGAAAUGCCUUAGGGGGAGGUGGGGUCGUCACAGUUUUAGCCUUGCAAAAGAUCAAAGAAUCAUCCGCAACGAAAAGAUGAGUUAAUGCAGAACCAAUUCUGCUGAUCUUCAUUCCAGUCAAGUGAUGGUUCCUCUCUGCUUGAGCUAGUAAGAUGCUAAAGGAUCACCAUGUCUGAUCCCCCCUUGUAGGAAUCACAUGUCCUUUGGAUUCCCCAUUUAUGUUGAAAGAAAAGAAACCGUUGAGAUGCACUCCAUUAUCCAAUUGAUCCAUUUGUCAUAGAACCCUAUUUUUGCCAUAAUUUCUUUCAAGUAACUCCAUUCCACCCUGUCAUAAGCUUUUGAUAUAUCUAAUUUCAAAGCCAUAAAACCUUGUGAUCCCUGCCUUUUGUUUUUGAGGUAAUGCAUAUACUCAUGAGAAAUUAUCAUAUGUCCAAAAUCUAUCUACCAGGCACAAAAGCUGCUUGGUUUUUACUGAUGCAGUUUUUCAAAACUUCUUUUUAGCCUGUUUGCAAGGAUUUUGGAGAUGAUCUUGUAAAUAACAUUGCAUAGGCUUGUUGGUCUAAAUUGCUUAACCUCAGUGGGAUUCUCAACCUUAGGGAUUAGAGAAAUUAUGGUAUGGUUCACUUCUCUUAGCAUGUGGCUAGAGUGGAAGAAAUUUUUAUAGCUUUAAUAAUAUCACACUUAAUAAUGUGCCAAAAUUUCUGAAAAAAAUAGUGGUGUCAUUCCAUUAGGGCUAGGUGAUUUAUUUGGAUUCAUGGAAAACAAAGCUUCUUUUAUUUCUUUCUCAUCUUUUUCUCACCGACAGGCUUAGUAAGGUUUGUGUUCAUUUAGUUUGUGAUGGUCUGUGAUAUUCCUUCAAGAAUCAUGUCCAACAGUUCCACUCCCUUACUGCAAAAAAGAUUCUUAAAAUAAUUGCCCACUUCCUCUCCUAUUUCCUCUUCUGUGUUGGCCCAAGACUUGUCAUCUCUUUAAGUAUUUUGAAGCAUAUUUCUCCUUCUUCUACCUUUAACACAAGAGUGGAAGAAAUGGGUGUUCCUGUCACCUUCCUUUAACCAUUUGACUCUAGAUUUCUAGUUCUAGAAGAGUUCUUCCUCACUGUAGGCUUCUUUUAACUGAAUUUUCAACUUCUUUGUCCUUUCUUUUCUGUCUUGGCGGUCAAAUAUUUUGAGUUCCUCCAGUAGCUUUUUGGUGUUCUCUAUCAUUUGCCUUGCAUAUCCUUGGAAAUUGUUCCGCCACAUCAGAAUAGCCACUUUGCAGUUUGCAAUUUUCCUAUUCACUCUGUACAUACUUGAACCAUUCUGAUCCUCUUCCCAAGCCUUUCUGAUGACUUGCUCAAUGCCUUCUUUUGUUAGCCAUCUUCUAUCAAAUAGGAAUCUUUUUUUCCUUUUCUCAUUUUGGGGGUUGGAGUCUAGGAAAAUCAUGUUAUAAUCUGAGCCAAAGUUUUUGAUGUGCUUAACUAUAGUUCUAUCAAACAUUUGGCUCCAAGAACUACUUCCCAAAGCUCUAUCCAAUGUUUGUUUGAUGUCCCUUUCCUAUGACCAAUGAUUACCCCAUGUCGAAGGAUUGCCUUCAAAGUCUAGGUCUGUCAAUUCAUUCUGAUCUAUGAAAUUACUAGUCUCUAAAGCUUCCUUUUUUGUUUCUCCUUCCAUCCUAUUUCUUCCCGUUCGAAGUAAUAUCAUUGAAAUCUCCUGCAAUAAUCCACCUAGUACCCCAUAGGUCCUUUCUUCUUUCCACAACUUGCCAUUGAUUUCUCCUGAUUUGGUCAUCAUCAUUGGCAUUAAUGCUAAUGAACCACCUGUCCAUGUUGUUGUUUGUAUCUAAAAUGUGGACUUCUAUAGUAAAAGCAGUAGUAAGCACCUCCAUCACUUUAACAUCAGUGUUCCACGUUACAAUCAUACCUCCAACUUUAUUCAUGGACUUACCUACUACACUUUCCUCAUACCUCAACUAUCUUCUCACUUCUUCCAUGAAAGGUUUCAUAUGAAAACUAGUUUUGGAGAGAGGAGGUUGUAAGCCUCCUUCAACUAGGGAAUUGUCAAGGGGCUCCCUGUAUUUGAAUAAUUCCAUACCAAAAUUCUCAUUUAUCCUUUAGAGACCCAGGCUGGUCUCCUCCCCGUGUCCUAAUUCUGCAUAGUUUUCUUGAACUAACUCCCUUUUGCUCUUUUUAUCUAUUCUCUCAGCCACCUCAACAUCCAUCAUUACUUCAUCCACUAAAUGAAAUUUCCUUUUCCCUGAGAUUUUCAUGGUGCUCACACUAUUCUGAAUCUCUUUAGUGGUUUCCUGAUGAUGUUCGGUGACUUUAAUUAUUUUCUGGUCCUUUUGGAAGUUUUCUGGUUACUUUUUCCACUAGGACCUCCAAAUUCCCUUCCACAUGCAUAUUUUCCCCUUCCAUAUCCUUAAUGCUUUGGUCAACAGUCCUUUUUGGCUCUAUUUCCUUAUUCCCUUCCAAGUUUACAGCCUCUCAGUCCUUCUCUUCUUGAUUUUCUCUUCCUUUUUAAUGGUUUCUACUGUCAAUACCUUCAUCCUCAUUUGACUUUUCUUUACUUGUUUUGCUUUUUCCUACUAGUAUGUUUGAAGUAUUUUGUCCAAAUAACCCGUUAGCUGGCUCAUUUAUGCUUUGAUGCCUUGUUUCCAUCAACUAUCUCCCACAUGUUCUUGGGAUUAGUUCCCCAUCUUUGAAUCCCCAUCUCUGUUUAUUUGGGGACACUUGAGCAAAAUAUUGACCUCUCAUUUCUUUUUGUGGUGACCCUUUUCCACUUCCUGCUCUAAGCUAUGGUCCAAAUUGAUUUUCCAACUGAUCUUUUCUUACUAGUACAAUUUCAAAACAAUUUCUUUCACUAUGUCCUAUUCUACAACAAUUGUAGCAGAAAUUUAGACAUCUUUCAUCCCUGAGGCUUAUCCAUGUCACCUUUCCUUCCAUUUUGACAGUAGUACCUGAGGGUUAAGAAAUAUAUACCAUUACUAGAAUUUUAAUAUGCCUACUUUCCUUUCCCUCUCCUUGAGGUAUGAUCACAUCUUUGGCUUCCUGAAAAACUGAAGUUGUCUUCGUCACCACUUCCUUAGAUAUCCAAUGUAUGGGAAGGUUCGAUAUCUGGAUCUGUAACGGAUCUCACCACUAGAAUUUGGUUAUCAAUAAUCCAUGGGCCUCCUUUGGAGAUCCUAUCUCUAUCUCUCUCACUUGGGAUGAAAAACUAGAAAAUAUUAACACCUAAUUCUGGUACCCUUAGUCCCUUUGGGUAUCCCCAAGCAAGGGUGACAAAGUUAUUAACUCCAACAAAAUUGAUAAUCUUCUCUCUUUUUAUUCUUUCCACCAGACUCUUCCCACAUUCUUUUACACUUGGUCCAACAUCCCUUAGGUCAAUUUCUGUGCCACCCAUCUCCUUGCUAGAUAGAGCAAAAUUUUGCAAGAUUUCAGUGAUUUCAUCUACCAUGGCAUACCUAUAAGUGAUUCUUAGAGGAAUAUCCCACACCAGCUUUAACCAAGUGGGAUCAAGGGGUUCAAGUUUUUUGUGCAGGGAUAUCCAGAUGUUCUCUAAUCUACUUAAGUUUGAAGCAAGAAUAAUAGAGAAAGAGGUCUAGGUUACUAAAGAAACCAUAGCUAGCAAGAAUACAAAGAUCUAGGAGCUACAGAGCUUAUCUUAAAAUUUUUUAUUUUCUACUUUUUUUUUUUGGAAAAUCAAAAAAGCUUUAAAUGAAGUACAUGCACAAACAAGCUAGAUCUUUUAGGUAACAGUAUAUAAAUUACCUAUUUAACCUGAAGUCAGGGUAGAAGUCAAGGAAAAGUGGGAUUCCUUGUUGUUUUGCUCCUUACGGUUUUAGCCAAUCAGCAUUGAAGGUGGUAGAUCUUUGGCUUUGCUUUAAUACAGCCAUUUAAUUUUUUAGUACCAGAGCACUUAGCUGAAACUUAAACAGAUUUAUUGUUGGCUUCAAUGUAAUCAUUUAGUCUUUUGGAAGCUUGCAAUGUUUCAGACAAGGAUUUCAAACUCCAAAGGAAGGAGAUAGGCACGAUUCCCAAGAGAGAGAAAAUUUUGAUUUCUUACGCGAGAGACGACAAAUUGCUCCCUGAACACGAAGAUAAUGCAUUUGGGUUGCAAAAAGAUAAUUACUUGUUAGAAUAUUGCAAAUGAUCAUUUGUCCUUUUUUUUCAAUCUUCUUGUUGUUUUCUUUAUUAUUAAUUAAAUUUCUUUUUCUUCCUCAAUUGUUAGUAAGAAAUACAAAAUUUGAUAAAAAUAUGCUAAAGAAUUUCUUAUGAAAAUUUUAAUUAUUAAAAGGUAUAUAUAUUUAUUCUAAGUAAUUUCUAUUUUAUUAACAAAUUAAACAUUUUGGCAUAAAUAUUUUACUUAUUUUUCUCUUUUUCUUCGUUCUUUUCUUUUUCUUUAUGCUUAUUAACAAUCUAUUUGACACUCAACAUAAAUAGUUAUUUUUCUUUAUAAUAGUUAACUAUCAUAAAUUACUAUAAGAAACUAAAAUAUAUGUAUUUAGUAAUAGUAUUUUAGGCAAUUUUUAAUUUUGCAACAAUUAGUGUAUCAUAAACACCUUACUAGUGCAUUGUCAACAUUUAUCAACAAUUAAUGCACAAAAAGAAAAUUUUAAAGGACAAUAGAAACUAUUUAAGUUACUUUUAAUAAAUACACAUUUUCUCUUUUUUAUAUUAAUUUAUGAUAGUUAAAUAUUUUACAUAACUACACAAUGUUAAAGAUAACAAUAGUAUCUGUUGAACCACAAAAAGAAAUUCUUUAGUACACUAUUCUCAAAAUUAUCUUAGUCAAUAUGGAGGAAGAGGAAAAAUAAAUCUACACAUAAUAGGAAAAAAAGAGGAAGGAAAAAUAAAAAAAAAUGAAUCAUCUGAUAAUGUUUCAUAAUGAGUGCAUCUUUAUCUUGUUGCUAGAAACAUAAAUUUGAGUCAACGGGGGCAAUUUAUAAGUUUUGUAAAUACGGGGAGUAAUUUGCUACUAGACCCUAAUUAUAGGGAGCAAUAUAAUAUGUGAUUGUUAUAAUUUGAGUUCAAGUUUGAUUCAAUUUAUAUUCGAUAUAUUCAAGUCUGAUUCAAAAGUUUGAUUUUUAUUCUUUAAUUUUAAGUAUUAUUUUAAUUAGAAAUGCGUAUAAAUUCUACAUAAUAAAAUAACAAAUAUACAUAUUUUUAAAAAAAAGUAAUACACAUUAUUAAAACAUAAAUAAAUAUUUGAGACUUUAGUCUUUUGAUAAUUUGAUCAAAUUUUAUUCUUCUCUGAACUCAUACUCAUUAAAUCGAACUUGAAUUAAGUCCUUACUGUCCGUUUGGAAUUGUAGUAACGUAUUGAAAUGUAUUUUCCCAUAGAAAUUUUAAUAAAAAUGCUGAUUAAGCGUUUAAUAGCUUUUAAAUAUAUUGUUUGGAGACAUAGUUUAAUAAAUACUUAUUGUAUUAGAUAAUGUGUAAUUUGUAAAUUUGUGAAUAUAUUUAUCUCUUUAUUUAGUUCAUAAUAUAGGAUAAAAUGAUUAAGUUUAAUGUUUAAUUUUGUAAAUUACAAAAGCUACUGUAAAAGCACCAAAUUUGAAUUUUUGUUAAAAAUGAUUUUAACACCAAGAGUUCCAUUCCUAAUUUUAUAGGAUGAUAUUCACCAAACAUUUUAAAAGUACUUUAACAUUUAAAAGUGCUUUUCUACCAAAAGUAUCACAACUCCAAAUGAGGCCUUAGUCUGUGGCCCUAGUUGAGUUUUGUUUUCAAGGUUGGACCAGUGAUUGAAUCAAAUGAGCGCCGGUUUUUUUGUUUUACCAUUUUAACCAGUCCAACCAACCGGGUCACCGAUUCUUUGAAUUAGUUAAUGGAAUAUUUUCAGAAAGCUCCCUUGAGCUUUCUUAUAAAUUUACUCUGCACCCUCGAUGUUUCUGAAAUCUCACAUAAUCUGCUCUAACUCCUAACCUAAUUAUGAAAAUUUUAACCUUCCAGUGCCUCAAGUGACAAAUAACAAUCAACCAAUUCUUUGGGCAAUUCCCACCAUAAUUAGAGAUGUGCGCUCUCAUGCCUUGAAAUUGAAACAUACUAGUGAAUCUCGUGUAAGAUUCAAGGUUUACGAAAAUUGAAAGAAAAAGUGAAUAAUUACUCUGGGAUCUUAUGUUGGCAGCCUUUGGUUGCAAGUACCUAUACAAGUAAGUCGAUUUUUGUUUUGUAAAUUAAGCAUAAUUCUAAGAUAUUAUGAUGAUUUUUGUGAUAAAAUACAUGAAUGAACUUAAGAGAAUGAGUUCCGAUGUACUUUUGUGAAUUCUGGGCAGUGUUGUGUUCUCUCAAUGUAAUGCUGUGAAUUUGGAUUAAAAAAAAGGAAAAAAAGAAUUCAGAUAAAUUUGCUAUGAUCGGGUAAUAUAACAUUAUUAAUUCAUAGUAAAAUGGGAAGGAUUGUAAGAUAAUACAAAUGAAACGUGAUCUAAUAAAAAAAAAUACAUUAUGAAUUCUAUGCAUUAUUUUUUUUUUGAGUGUCAAAUUGCUAAUUUUCAAGCCUAAAUUAAUUUCACCAAUUAUGCUAUUCAAUUGAAUUGUUGGUUAAUUGUUAAAUUUGUAAUUUCUUGACCCCAAAAGGGACUUUUAGGUAUGUCAUUUGUUUUAUCAUUUCCAACUUUCACGUUCCAUUUGGUUUACCAUUAGAGCAAUAAUAUCUAUAGAAAUUGAUCGUAAUUGAUCAUCAUCAUAUCCUGGUGUGUUCAUGAGUAUCGAAAUUAAAUAAACUCUGUUUUGUGGUGCCACUUGAAGAUGUUAAAUGCAAUACAUUGAUGUUCAUUCAACUUAGAACCAAGCACUAAUUUCAAAUUGUCAAGCACGAUUUGAAAUCCGUUAAUGAAAUUUGCUUUUAUAUAAAAAAAACAACCACAUUGGCGUAUCCUUGCCUAACCAGCACCAAUCUAAACAUGCAAAAAUAGACACAAUUGGGCUCCACAUUUUUCAUCUAUUUGUGAUAAUCAACUGAUCGCCAACAAAAAUAAUAUUAUCAAGAAGCUAUUAAUAUCACUUUUCUUUGCUUCAAUUUAAGCCUUUCAAUGGUGAGAUCAUUCAUAUUCAUGCUUUCCAACAAACGCGAAUAAGAGCCCAAUACCUUUAGGUACAUUUCUAGAUCAUGUCAUGCAAAAUUAUUACAUCAUUCACCACCCUUUACAUACAUAAAAGCAAGUUCAUUUAGAAUCGUAAAAAAAAUGACAACAAUUUGCUUAUUUACACAAUCCAUAUCUUCUAUCCAGCACAAGAAAAAUAACUUUCCAAGGGUUGGGUUGUCAUUUGUAUAUCAAGUAAUUAACAACCUUUGCUUUCCUACUAUAUCUAUCUAUCCAUCCACACUUUAAAUAAAAGUACCAUAAGUAAUGACAAAGCUAGGGCCCAAGGUCAACGAAGCCAAAAUAUAAAAAGAGUAAAAGAAAAAGUGAUGUCGGUAAUGCACUAAAAUCAUAGUUAUAUGAAAAUGUUAUUUGCAAUUACAUUUUUUACAAUGAAAAAUAUGAUAAUGAAGUGACACCAAAAAAUUGAUAUUCGAUUUAAAAAUUGAUACAUUUUACUCGAAAUCUUGUAUUAUGAUUUGGAUUGCAAAGUACAAGAUAAAAAACAUUUAAACUUGUUUUAGACCUUUUAGGGGGAUAAUUUGUAGGAAGAGAGUAAUGUUGAAAAAAUAUAAGGGGGGUAAUUCUAAAAAAUUAAAAUUUUGGAAGUUUUCUCUACAAUUUUGUAAUUUUUUAGUUGAGAGGGUUAAUUGUCCAACUCAAAGUAGCUCCGCCACUGACCAUAAGUGUCAAUAAGUUAAGAGUACAUGUAGGAAUUGUUCUUUGUUUUUUGUGAUGUCCAAAAUAUCCUUUUGCUGUUAUAGUUACAUUUAGGAAAAAUGAUCGGUUUCAUCCUUCACAUUUCACAAAAAUAUUCUUUUCAUCCCUCACUUUUAAAAUGAAGCAAUUUCGUCCUUGACAUUUAAAAACUGAAAUUAUUACAUCCCUGAACCCAAAUUUCAAUUUGAAUCAAACCACCAAUCAACCUGAUUACAAAUUUUGGAGUGUAAUUGAUAGAUCAUUUGGUUAACUCAACUUGAUAUUCAUGUGAAAUUUAAUGAACCUAAAAAUUAAAAUUAAAAAAUUACAAUAUAAAAAAGAAAGAUUAAUCUUUCCUACAUUAUCAUUGUAUACAUUGACGGUUUUAUGUAUCGCCAUAUCAUUUUAAUUUAAAUUUGAACACCAAAUUUUAUAUUUAUGAUACACAUCUAGAUUCGCAAGCGGAUAUACUAACGGUGCAUGAAAAGAUUUACCAAAAAAAAAACUCUACUAUUCCAAGACAAAGAAUGGCCUUUUAUUUUAUAAUUUUUAUUUAUUUGAUUUAAUAAAUGUCAUGUCAAUAUGAUGAAAUUGACCAAAUGAUCUAUCAAUUCUAUUUCCGAAAUUUAUUACUGGGUUAUUGGAUGGUUUGAUUCAGAUUGAAAAUUAAGUUCAGGGAUGUAAUAGCUUUAAUUUUUAAAUAUCAGGGACGAAUUUGCUUCAUUUUAAAAGUGAGGGACAAAAAGAAUAUUUUUGCAAAAUGUGAGGGAUGAAACAUGUCAUUUUCCCUUACAUUUAUUGUGUUACAAUAAUUUUAGGAGUUAUAAGAAUGAAAUUUUCCUAUCCAAAAAUCCAUUAAAUUUGCAUUAUUCUGGUAAUAAAAAUAAAAUACCCCAACCUAAAAUUCUCUACCAAACCGUAUUGCCUACAAAUGCACCAUUAAUGGUUAGCUACUAUUCGGUCUUGCUUUGAGCACUGUAUAAAGAUAUUUCUAGGCCUGGGGUUUCUCAUCAUCAUAUCCGCCCAUCCUUCUGUAUUCAAGGACCUUUUUAUGAAUGGAAUUUGGAACUUGUAGGAUGUCGAAGUUGCUCUAACUGAAUCUGAAAAUUUUCAAAUUUCUCAAUCUCAACUUCACCUUGCAUAAGGGAAGGAUUUUACGGUUUGGAAACACUUGAUGAAUGGUUGUUUCAAAGUUUCUUUGCCUUUGAAUCUGGUAAGGCAUCCAAGGAUUCCACCAAAUCUCUUCGAAGUUGAUUUGGAAUAAAAGGCUCCCCUUAAAAUUUCAGUGUCUAUGUGGAGACUACUUAACUGCUUACUUCCUUUUCCAGAUGUAUAGUUUGAUCUUCAACUUCCUUCUAAGUGUUUAUAUUAUAGAAAAGAAGAAGUCUUAACUGUGUUUACUGAGUUUAAUGUUGCUUCAUCGAUUUGGUGAAGCUUUGCUUCUUUAUUGGGAUUUGAUGGUUUUAUAGCUAAUCAUAUAGUGCUCGAACUUCAAGGUUAGUGGUCACAUUCAUCGAGUGCUUUUAUCUUUGGUAAGUUUGUCCAGUUAGUUCCUUUAUUUAUUUUUUGGGAGCCAUGGAAAGCUCGAAAUAAAGUUUUUUCUGAUGUAUAUUGCUCUCGGCUGAUCAAAUUGUUCAUCAAAUUUGUUAGUUGUUACUGUUCACAACUGACGAACCAAUACUGAUAUCAUACACGUCCACUUCGACAGUUGAUAAUUUGAUGGCAUGCCACUUGUGUUUAACAAGAAGAAGGGAAAGAAAAUUUGUGCUGAUAAGAACCUAACUCCUUGACUAAUUGCUAUUCAUCCGCUCCGAGAAGUCUCAAGGAAUUAAAUUCUUGCCAAACACAAUCGAUAAAAGAAGAAAUGGGGACAAUUGACUAACAAAGAAGAGGUGACUAAUGUAGGUUAACAACUUGAUGAACACUUGCCAAAAAUUAACAUGAAAGUUCAAAAGUGAAAUGAAACUAACUUGGAAAUUUGUUAGCAAUUCUAAGAGCAUAUACAGAAUCUAGCUUAAGUGUGAUGACUCCACCUCCCCUUAGGGCUUAUCCUAGGGUUUAGCGGACCGCAUGUCCAACUCUCACCAGGACUCACUCACUCAUUUCAAGAAAAUAAGUUACAACUUCAAGAGUAAAUGAAAUAACAGUUCCCAAGUUUGGAACGUACAAAUACAUUCAUUUCUAUUUCAAUCAUUCAUGCAAUUCCAAAUAUAUCAAAAGAUAUGAGUUCCAGAUACAUUCAACCCUAAUCGAGCACUAGCGCGAGUACAAUCACAAAAUUUCAAAAACUAGACUAUGCUAGCCUGUACCAGUCUCACACCUCGCUCGUACCCCCUGUAAGGAAAACGAAUCUAAUAGAGUGAGGUAAAACUCAGUGAGAUUCCAAAUAGCAAGUUGACCAUUAUUCAAAGUGCAAGUAUCAAAGUAGCAAAGUUGCGAGUAUAACAAGUCAAAGUAGCGAGCAUAAGAGUUCAUAAAAGUGAGUAAUAACACUUCAAAUAACAAAUAUCAAAAUGAACGAGUGGAAAGUUUUUGAAAAGAAACAAUAACACUCAAGUAAUAAUCAUUUCAAAGUAUAAAGAUACAGAUGGCUCUCAAGAGCUAAAUUCCCGUUACUUCACCAUAACUUGAUCAAGUAGUAGUUGACACUCUAUCAACUUUCAAGUAAAGUAACCUGUCCAGUAGUGCCCCACUUAACGCCAAUCUCCGUCCACCAUUCAACCCCCUUAUCGGGCCCGAACGUUCAAAUAAGCACGUGUAGUAAUACUCGAGUAUACCAAUUAGUCGAGAAGGUAUCACUCCACUCGACAAAACAAGAGACCUAUGGUUCAUUAUCUAAUCGACCAAGUCCUUGCUGACUAGACUCGAUUAACUAGCUCGAUUAACUAACCAGUAAGGUUUGGGUUCCCAAGUAAUCAACAUAGUCGAUGACCAAUCGACUUAGUCAAGAGAAAAAGUAUGGAGACGGGAAUGAGAGGCACAUCUAACUCGAAUCGAGUGUGGUACAUGCUGCCGCUCAAUACUUACAAGUCAAGCACAAGUACAGGUCAAUGCAAAUCAAAUUACUUGUACAAGCAUGAACGAGAUAUUAAGUGUUUAGUUGAGUUAGGUCAAGCGCGAUAAAGUAUACACUUGCCCGACCAAACCAAACAAAUCUUAUCCGAUCGCGUUGGUAAAGGAUUUAAAUCAAGUAUCAAAUUCAAUCAUAUAUUUGGAAGCACUCGCCAAAGGUCUAGUGCUUUUCAAAAAUCAUGUUCAGGUCCAACUCCUUGGUUGGAGUCCAAAUUUGCGAUAAAAUAUCAUUUAAGAAUGUAAAACUCUCUAGAGUUCAAAACAUAAGAGUUUUGCUUUAAGAAAAUCAAAUAAAUGAAACUUGUUUAAAUAGUGGUCAUGUGGCUUAUCACUCUAGAAAACUCAUGUUCGCUCUUUUAGUUUCGAUAGAGAAGUGAUUUAUACUCUUGAAGUCACACUCAGUAUAAAAACUCAAGAAAAUCGUCUUUUUAAGCGUCGCUACUUUUACCUUUAAAAGGGUACGAGGUUCGACAAAAAUUUCAGCUUAUGUACUUCUUACUAAAGAAAACUCGAAUACCGUAAACAAUCGAAAUUCGCUUCAACCUCGAGUCGUCGCUCAAGUCUCAAGUUCACUCGUCUAACCCUCGAGCGAAAAUUUGGGCAGCAUGCCCUUUGUAUUUAGCUAUUUUCCAGCCAUUUAUGCCUUCAUUUUUUCCUCAACUUAGCCCAAAUUUAACACAUAAGCAAGCUUAACAAAAUAGCUCUUCAACUAGGGUUAAUAUCAUCCAAAUACCAGUCAAUUCUAGCAAUGAAACCAUAAAAAUCAAAGCUCGAAACCAAUUUAUAGAAGAACUUAUAAAUGACAAAUUUGUCAUCUUUCGGUGUUUUGGUCAUAAUUGAAGCUAAGUCUAUUGGAUCGAGGUAACUUUUAUGGCGUUUCGAAACUAAAACAUAGACCUACAUUUCCUAUAAAGACAUCGACACCCAGUUCUUGCAUUUGAAAUGUCAAAAUUUGAAAUCUCAGAGAAAACAGAAAGUUGUUGGUUAAACGGGACAUUUGAGCAGUUAGAGGUAUUUUAGUCAUUUAACAAGUUACAAUGCUCCAAUUGAGUUGAUAUUUUUCAGGUAGAAAACUAAGUCAAAUCCCUACAACUUUCAUGUUUUGAGGAAGAACUGAUUUGGCCUUUAUCAUGGACGAAUAUACAGGUCAGAUUAGUUUCAAAAACAAGACAGAAUCACUACCAAAUGCUGGAAUUCAACUUUAACUCUAACAAAGUUACACUCAAGCCCAAAAUCACUUCACAAGUUCCAUUUCCAACCUUAAUAACAUCAUUUAGUAGUUAAACAAUACUAAUCAAAAUUGAAAAGAUGCAAACCGUAACUAAACAUGCCACUACUCCAUCAAAACUAAGCAAUCAACCAUCAUAUGCCAAGAUUACAAGCUUCUAUACCGUUUUUAGCUAGAUUAAGUUGAAGACAAGAGGUGGAUGAACUUAAACCUUCCCAAAACCUUCUUGUAAUUCCAAAAUUUCACUACACCAAGUUUUCCAAACACCAAAAAGUAAGUUUAAUCGGUUUAGUCUGUGUGAUUUCAACUCAACAAUGAAGAAUCAAGGUUGGAGUUGAAGUUGUUUUUCUCUCUUUUUCUCUCUCUUAGUUUUGGCCAACAUAAAGAAGAAUGAAGGAGAAAUGAAGUCAAUUUGGUGAUAAGAAGGAAGGAAAUUGGUUUAGUCAAAGUUGGUUGGAUUUUCGCCAAGUGUCACUACAAGAUUAAAUCUCAAAAUUUUCUUUUCUCUCUCUUCUUUUAGUCCAAAUUUUCAGCUGUCUUAAGGAGAUAUUUAGGGCUGAUUUUGCUCAAUUAAUAUGAAGGAGAUUAAGGUAAUAAAGUAGUGUUCAAGUGGUGUAUUCAAUCGGUAGUAAACGGUGCACGGCAGUUCAAGCCGUUUUUUCCUAACUCGUGCGUACUAGUGUUUUAACUUAUGAUUCACUAACUUAUUAUUAGCACUUCUAAUCACACACUUUCUCUUAUUUAAUACUUGUUCUUAUCCACCAAAUUUAGUACACACAUCUCCACAAUUAAUCGCACUACCAAAAUAUGUGAAAAUCCUAAUUUAUGCUAACUAUAAAACUAAGGGCAAAACUCUUAAUUCUAUUAUUUCUUACAACUAUUGAGGGAGUAAAUGAGUAGUAAAGAUAUUAUAAAGUAAUUUAAUCAAAAUAAGAGGGAAUUUUAAGAAAAUAUGAGCGAAUUUUCCAUUCGUCACAUUCUCUCCCUCUUAAAAGAAUUUCGACUUCAAAAUUCAUACAUUUAUUCAUAAAUAACUCAAGGUAUUUUUUCUUACAUGUCUGUUUCUAGUUUCUAAGUCUCAUCAUAACCAAAAUUUAGCCAAACAAUAGAAAAUACGAAUCGUACCUUCUACUACCUCCAAUGGCUCAGGUACUGCCGUUGGUCCAAGGCGUACACUCUAACUGGUACCCUUAGCCUAGUCCCUCCUACAUUGGUCGGUUUAGCGUUUGAUCGGUCAGUUGGUUGGGCAUCACUAACAAGUGAACAAUUAGUGAUCUGGUGUUCAGUACUUCUGCACCGUAGGCACUUUCGACCUUUUCGCCAGCAAGUAUCUUCUGUGUGGUUGGAUUUUCCACAGUACCCACAAGAUACUCGAGGGCUGAGGUCUGACCUCCCUGCGAGGCACCUCUUGCUUGUCCCUUUCCACCUGGAGCUUCUCUUGAACUAACUUCCUUAAGUGUCCCCAAAAUUUUCUUUCCACCAUCUCCUCGACCCACCUUAGAGGGUGGCAUACCUAGAUCAGCUUGUUCUUGCCCUUAACUUCUAUUAGGCGCACCUCUCCUAUUUGCAUGAAAAACCAUUACUUGUGUCCUGGCAAUUUCUAUUCUCUGAGCCUUCUCCAAAACCUCCGUAAAAGUAUUAAUUUAUGCCGCCACUAGGGCCUCAUGUAUUUUCAUAUUAAGUUCUUGUACAAAUCUUCUUACUCUUCUUUGCUCGGUAACUAUCAAUUCGGGAGUAAAUUUUGAUAGUUUAAUGAACUGAGUGUCAUGCUUAGAUACACUGAGCGUUCCCUGACGGAGUUUAAUAAAAUCAUCCUCCCUCUUUUCCUGAACUAUCGGUGGAAGAUACUUCUCAUUAAACUCCCGUACAAAAUUCAACCAUGUCUAUGCUAUACCUUCUCUCUCUCACUUAACCCUUAUCACGUUCCACCAGGUUCUAACUGGUCCCUCAAACUGAAAUACAGCAAAAUUCACAUGCCUAUCCUCAGUGUAGUUUAAAGUAGCGAAAAUAUUGAUCAUCGUCUCUAACUACCUCUCAUCUACUUCGGAGUCCGGCCUUCCAAGAAACUUAGGAGGAGAAAACUUUUGGAAUCUCUCUAGGGUCCUAUCUUGCCUCAUAUUAGGAUUCCUAGAUUGAUUGACAGAGGUUUGACCCUGCUGCUCUAUCAGUCGAGCAAGAAUAUUGGUCAUUUGCUGAAUUGCCGUUGCCACCUGAUCCUUCCUUCAACUCGGGAUCCAGGUUGCGGCUCAACCAUUGCACCUCUCUCCUCUCUCGAUUCUUGUACCGGUUCCUGUGCUUGUCGAGUCCCAUGGCCACGGAUAGAACCACGUCCUCGGCUAGUUUCACGAUCCCGACUUCUCCUACCCUCCAUAUCUCUUGUGAAAAAUAGAUGACAUAGAUAUGAGUAAAAUAAAGUAGCUAUAAAACUCAAUAAAAGCAUUUUUAAAUUAUAAAUUAAAAAAUAAUAGAACACAUUGAAAAUAAUAUACUUUCUUUAUAUACAUAUCACAGCAAUUCACAUAUUCUAUGGGACAUUAACCUCAGGCAUUGCUCAAACAUCACACUUAAUCAAAACUCGAAAAAGUACAAUUAGAUAUGUACACUUGAAUAAUAAAGGUCUCAAAUCUCACUAAUAUCUUCAAUAUCUCCCAAGUCUAAACUAUUCGCAUUCCCGUGCCUUGGCUUUCGCCAUCCUGACUUAUUCUAAUAUUACUCGGGAUAUCGACCUAUCAUAAAGGUAUCAUUCUUUGAUACUCGGGUACAGGAAUCCGAAAAUAUGAUAAUUCAUCACUCGAGUUAGCUGGUAUCGAGAGAAAAUCAACCACUUUUGAAAUUCCUACCCGAUAUACAUAUCUAAUAUCCCCAACAAUAGACAUUUGUUCCACCUUUAACAAACCAAUCCCUACAGUCCGAGAACCCUUUUCUGGCACGAGCUCGAUAAGAGCUCUGACACCAUCUGUGACGACCCCAUCACCCCUUAAGGCUUACCUCAAGGUUUAGCGGACCGCCUGCCCAACUCUCGUCAGGACUCACUCACUCAUUUCAAGAAAAUAAGUUACAACCUCAAGAGUAAAUGAAAUAACAGUUUUCAAGUUUGGAACGUACAAAUACAUUCAUUUCUAUUUCAAUCAUCCAUACAAUCCCAUAUAUAUCAAAAGAUAUGAGUUCCAGAUACAUUCAUCCCUAAUCAAGCACUAGCGCGAGUACAAUCGCAAAAUUUCAAAAACUAGAUUAUGCUAGCCUGUACCAGUCUCACACCUCGCUAGUACCCCCUAUAAGAAAAAUAAAUCUAAUAGAGUGAGUUAAACCUUAGUGAGAUUCCAAAUAGCAAGUUAACCAUUAUUCAAAGUGCAAGUAUCAAAGUAGCAAAGUAGCGAGCAUAACAAGCCAAAGUAGCGAGCAUAAGAGUUCAUAAAAAUAAGCAAUAACACUUCAAAUAGCAAAUAUCAAAAUGAGCGAGUGAAAAGUUUUUGAAAAGAAACAAUAACACUAUAAAUAAUAAUCAUUUCAAAGUAUAAGGAUACAGAUGGCUCUCAAGAGCCAAAUUCCCGUUGCUUCACCAUAACUUGAUCAAGUAGUAGUUGACACUCUAUCAACUUCCAAGUAAAGUAACCAGUCCAGUAGUGCCCCACUUAAUGCCAAUCUCCGUCCACCAUUCAACCCCCUUACCGGGCCCGAACGUUCAAAUAAGCAAGUGUAGUAAUACUCGAGUAUACCGAUUAGUCGAGAAGGUAUCACUCCACUCGACAAAACAAGAGACCCAUGGUUCAUUAUCUAAUCGACCAAACCCUUGUCGGCUCGACUCGAUUAACUAGCCAGUAGGGUUUGGGUUCCCAAAUAGUCAACAUAGUCGAUGACCAAUCGACUUAGUCAAGAGAAAAAGUAUGGAGACGGAAAUGAGAGGCACCUCCAACUCGAAUCGAGUGUGGUACAUGCUGCCGCUCAACGCUUACAAGUCAAACACAAGUAUAGGUCAAUGCAAAUUAAGUUACUUGUACAAGUAUGAAUGAGAUAUCAAGUGUUUAGUUGAGUUUGGUCAAGUGCGAUAAAGUACACACUUGCCCAACCAAACCAAGCAAAUCUUAUCCGAUCACAUUGGAAAAUAAUUUAAAUCAAGUAUCAAGUUCAAUCAUAUAUUUGGAAGCACUCACCAAAGGUCUAGUGCUUUUCAAAAAUCACGUUCAGGUCCAACUCCUUGGUUAGAGUACAAAUCUGCGAUAAAAUAUCAUUUAAGAAUGCAAAACUCUCUAGAGUUCGAAACAUAAGAGUUUCGUUUCAAGAAAAUCAAAUAAAUGAAACUUGUUUAAAUAGUGGUCAUAUGGCUUAUCACUCUAGAAAACUCAUGCUCGCUCUUUUAGUUUCGAUAGGGAAGUGAUUUAUACUCUUGAAGUCACACUCAGUAUAAAAACUCGAGAAAAUUGUCUUUUUAAGGGUCGCUACUUUUACUUUUAAAAGGAUACGAGUUUCGACAAAAAUUUCAACUUAUGUAUCUCUUACUAAAGAAAACUCGAAUACCAUAAACAAUCGAAAUUCGAUUUAACCUCGAGUCAUCGCUCAAGUCUCAAGUUCACUCGUCUAACCCUCGAGCGAAAAUUUGGGCAGCAUGCCCUUUGUAUUUAGCUAUUUUCCAGCCAAUUAUGGCUUCAUUGUUUCCUCAACUCAGCCCAAAUUUAACACAUAAGCAAGUUUAACAAAAUAGCUUUUCAACUAGGCUCAAUAUCAUCCAAAUACAAGUCAAUUCUAUCAAUGAAACCAUAAAAAUCAAAGCUGGAAACCAAUUUAUAGAAGAACUUAUACAUGACAGAUUUGUCAUCCUUCGGUGUUUUGGUCAUAAUUGAAGCUAGGUCUAUUGGAUCGAGGUAACUUUUAUGGCGUUUCGAAACUAAGACAUAGGCCUAUAUUUUCUAUGAAGAUAUCGACACCCAGUUCUUGCAUUUGAAAAGCCAAAAUUUGAAAUCUCAGAGAAAACAGAAAAUUGUCCGUUAAACGGGACAUUUGGGCAGUUAGGGGUAGUUUAGUCAUUCCAAUUGAGUUGAAAUUUUGUAGGUAGAAACCUAACUCAAAUUCCUACAACUUUAAUAUUUUGAGGAAGUACUGAUUUAGCCUUUAUCAUGGACGAAUAUGCAGGUCAGUUUGGUUCCAAAAAUAAGGCAGAAUCAUUACCAAAUGCUGGAAUUCAACUUUUACUCUAACAAAAUUACACUCAAGCCCAAAAUUACUUCACAAGUUCCAUUUCCAACCUUAAUAACAUCAUUUAGUAGUUAAACAACACUAAUCAAAACUGAAAAGAUGCAAACCCUAUCUAAACAUGCCACUACACCAUCAAAACUAAACAAUCAACUAUCAAUGUCAAGAUUACAAGCUUCUAUAGCAUUUUUAGCUAGAUUAAGUUAAAGACAAGAGGUGGAUGAACUUGUACCUUCUCAAAGCCUUCUUGUAAGUGAAAACCAAACCAUUUCUUCCAAAAUUUCACCACACCAAACUUUUCAAACACCAAAAGAUAAGUUUAAUCAGUUUAGUUUGUGUGAUAUCAACUCAACAAGGAAGAAUCAAUGUUGGAGUUGAAGUUAUUUUUCUCUCUUUUUCCCUCUCUUAGUUUUGGCCAACAUGAAGAAGAAUGAAGGAGAAAUGAAGCCAAUUUGGUGAUAAGAUGGAAGGAAAUUGGUUUGAUCAAAGUUGGUUGGAUUUUCGCCAAAUGUCGCUACAAGAUUAAAUCUCAAAAUUUUCUUUUCUCUCUCUUCUUUUAGUCCAAAUUUUUUGCUGUCAUAAGGAGAUAUUUAGGGCUAAUUUUUCUCAAUUAAUAUCAAGGAGAUUAAGAUAAUAAAAUAGUGUUCAAGUGGUGUAUUCAAUCGGUAGCAAACGGUGCGCGGCGGUUCAAGCCAUUUUUCCCUAACUCGAACGUACUAGUGUUUUAACUUAUGAUUCACUAAUUUAUUAUUAGCACUUCUAAUCACACACUUUCUCUUACUUAAUACUUAUUCUUAUCCACCAAAUUUAGUACACACACCUCUACAAUUAAUCACACUACUAAAAUAUGUAAAAACCCUAAUUUACGCUAACAAUAAAACUAAGGGCAAAACUCUUAAUUCUAUUAUUUCUUACAAUUAUUGAGGAAGUAAAUGAGUAGUAAAGAUAUUAUAAAGUAAUUUAAUCAAAAUAUGAGCGAAUUUUAAGAAAAUAUGAGCGAAUUUUCCAGUCGUCACAUUAAAAAUCAAACAUAAACAUGAAACUACCAGAGAUUGACUUCUAAAGGGAAUUGAAAAUCCUAAAAAUAACCUAAGAAUUCUAAAUGGAAGCAACCUUAAAGAACUACUUUGAGAGAGAACAUGAUUAUAAAAAAUGCCAUUUUUAUGUGGGAUGUAUGCCAGACCUUCUUGUGAUGCUUCUUCUCCUGUUUACAGGUGUGUUCUUCCCUCCAAAAGUGGUGGUUUUCUAAAUAAAAAACCCACCUCUUCUGUUGAUGAUAUGGAUGAGACCACUUCCUCUUUCAUGUAUUCAUGUUAUUCGCGUAAAUCAUACCAACUAAAGACAUGGGUGGUGGUUGUGGUAACCACCCAUUCCUAUGUUUUAGGGAUCAUGUAACCACCACAUCCCUAAUUUGUAGGCCAUAAGUAUCAGUACAUAUCCUUUCCUUUGCCAACUAUCACCAUCAGCUUUAUUACUUAUCGAUACCUAAUCACUCAUCAUCGACCACGUAUCAGCACCUAUUUGAUUGCACCAAGAACUACAUGGGGAAAGUAGAUCUUUACAAUCUUGAUUGACUUAAUCAAUUACCAUUUUACCCUUGAGAUGGACAAAAACUUAUGCCUAAUUUGCCUUUGUGGCCCUGACUGAGACUGCUUUGAUAGCACAAGUUCCCAUAAUUGAAACUUCUCCCUUUAUUGAUUUGUAAUAGACCGAGUUAAAAAUAAUGUUGCCACUAUAGUCUGUGAUGGUAAGGAGCCGGAUUUAAAGUUAAUUAAUUAACAUGAACAAUUAUCUAACAAUAUCAAUAGUAGAGCCGAGAAAUGAACUAUUUCAUUAAGAUGAACAAGCCACAGAGAAAUUACCGAGUUCAAAACUGGUGGGGAAAAGGGAGAAAGUGUUCAAGAGGAAGAAAAAUUGGGGAAAAGGAAAGAUCCAACUUAUAGGAGCAAAAUUCGGAUAAUAAACCACAAAAAUUGUGUGAUCUAAAAAUGCACUACUAGCACUACUACUACCUAUUAUAGCUAGAGUUUAUUAACAGAAUUUCGUAUGGCUCUCCGUUAUGCCACCAUGUGUCCCUUCUACUAGUUCUCCUCUACCAAUUGAAACUUUACACAUGCAAAUGAAAUUGUGGAAACGUGGUCCCCAAACUUUGCCUUCAUCAAAUUUAUGUCUCUGACUACUAAUUUCCCUUCCACACUUUUUACUGUCCAAUGAUAAAAUUGAAAUUAAAUUAAAUUAUCUAGCUAUAGCAUGACAUUGCCCCUCCAUGAAAAAGUCUUGACCUUAAGACUGGAAAUUAGGAAAUAUGUCUUGAAUCUUCUUAGUAAAUUCUCAAGUAGCAUCCUUAAGAUGGCAAUUCUACCAUUGGAUAAGCCACUGUAUUGCUAUUGCAUUCUUCCUCUUCACUAUCCUCUUAGCUAAAACAGCUAUUGGUUCCACUUAGAGUUGAUUUGUAUAAUUAUUUUGUUGAUAAACUUUUUUAAUAUCAUCUAAAUUUACAUUAUUAUUUGUACUUGAUUCAGCUUCUCUACCCUUUUUAAAACCAAUAGUUUGCAAUAAGCAUGCAAUAUAAGCUUGUCAAAAAUAAUAAAUUUGCAUGCAAUAGUAUAAUAUAAGCAUGCAAUAGUUUGCAAUAAGGAUAUAAGCUUGUAAUAAGCAAAAGAUUUGGACUUACAAUAAAAUUUUGAACUUGAGUUACACACGGAAGCUUUGACAAAUUGAAUCUUCUUACAAUUGCUUGAAGUCAAGGGUGGUUGAGAGUGGUUGAGAUGAAGUUGAAAAUAAGAGAGAGUGGUUGAGAGAUUUUUUCUAAGGCUUUAAAAGAACUAGUCUGCUAAUUUUCGCCGAUGCCUUCAUUCUGCAAUCUUUCUUCAAUUUAUAGAGGCUCGGGACUUUGUCAUUUGAAUUUCAUUUCAUCUUCAUUUGCAUUUCAUCUUCUUUUAUUUUGUGGCCGACAUCUUUUUUGAAAUGAUCAACUGCUUUUUCAAAAGUCGUUUGGAUCUUGUCCGCAUGGUCCUCCGAAUGGAUCAAAAGUUGAUUCGGAUGAUUCUGCUGACUCGUCAAUUUUGUCGGUUUCUUCUUUCUUAUCUGACUUUUGUAAAUAGUCCAGAUAUUCUUUGAGUAGCCUUGGAUCUUGCAUCAUCUUUUUCAUUAAAAAGUCGUUUGAAGUUGCCUCGGAUACCAUCUCGGUAUCUUUUUCUUUCUUUAUUGGAGUAGUGGUUGGCGUUGGGGCCGUAGUGGUUGGAGUUGGUGAGGACUUUGUUGUAGUAAGUACAAAAGUUGUUGGAGUAGAUGUUGGUUUAGUCCAUUUGAGUUUAUCUCCGGUAGUUAGAAAUCUGAUGACAUUUACUUGAUCUCCAAAUUCUUGAUUGAAUCCUGUCCACCAUUUAAUUUUGAAUUCUCUGACUAAUGACAUUGGAAGUGGUUUUUCAAGCUCUUGAUGAAUUUUGAAACUCCAGCAAAAUAUCCAUGGAACUUUGAACUCCAUAUGAAAUAAAAUUGGUCUUGUAUAUUCUUCCCCCCUUGCUCUUUUUAGAUAUGUUUGAAAUCCCAUGAGCACAUUAGGAGGUAGUAUCUCUGGUUGUGGUUUUUAAUAUGAUAAUUCAUUUGGAAUUUUAAUUCUGAUUUAUUUAUUGUAUCUAUCUUAGUAUUUAAUACUUCCAUAUGUUGAGAUAUUGUAUGAAGGAUUUGAUUUGUAUAAUUAUUUUGUUGAUAAACUUUUUUAAUAUCAUCUAAAUUUACAUUAUUAUUUGUACUUGAUUCAGCUUCUCUACCCUUUUUAAAAGGUGAGACUAUUAUAUCUUCUUGUCCUAUAUUAAUUUUUAUUUCUUGUAAUGGGGGAUGUAUUGAGAUUAAUAUUUGAUCAUCUUUUAAUUUCCAUUUUUUAUACAAAUUAGUUUGAACAUUUAUUUGUGGUGUAUUAUAAACAUUGUUUAUUCCUAAUUUUGAUGUAUAAAAUGUUAACCAUGUAAAGAAAGGAAAAUCAAACUUUUGUUUAUUUAUUUCAUUUUUCCAUUCUAUAAUGUUUAUGAUACACCACAAAUAAAUGUUCAAACUAAUUUGUAUAAAAAAUGGAAAUUAAAAGAUGAUCAAAUAUUAACCUCAAUACAUCCCCCAUUACAAGAAGUAAAAAUUAAUAUAGGACAAGGAGAUAUAAUAGUCUCACCUUUUAAAAAGGGUAGAGAAGCUGAAUCAAGUACAAAUAAUAAUGUAAAUUUAGAUGAUAUUAAAAAAGUUUAUCAACAAAAUAAUUAUACAAAUCAAAUCCUUCAUACAAUAUCUCAACAUAUGGAAGUAUUAAAUACUAAGAUAGAUACAAUAAAUAAAUCAGAAUUAAAAUUCCCAAAUGAUAUUUCAGCACCCCAUUUUAAACCUAGAAGCCUGACAAGAGAAAAAGAGCAAGAUUUAGUUCAAAAUAUUAAUAGUCAAAAAAUAAAUACUACAGAUAAUUUAUUAAAUAAAAUAUCUCAAGCCCUACAAAACUUAACUACAGAAUCUAAACCUUCCACUCCAAAAAUAAAUACAUUAGAUAGAAUAAUAGAAGAAAACUCAACGGAAGAAAUAGAAUGAUAUUAUUAAUCCUUUAUCUAUUAAUGUUUUUAUUUCCUUUUUACAAAAUUCUAGUAGCUCAGAAUUCAUUUGUAUUGGUCUAGCUUUUGUUGGAAUAUUUUUUUCAUUAAAAUCCUUUUCAUAUGGUAAUUCUAUCAUAUGUUGUUUUCUAUCCCAAAAAGCAUUAGGAAUAUCUGCACAAAUUUCUUUUUGUAAUAAUUCUUCUACUUCUAAUAUUCUUUUUUGUAUUUUAAUAUCAUUUAAUUGUUCUUCAAUUUUUAAAUAAGAUUUUUCCUCUUUAAUAUAAUUUAUUUGUUGUUGUACUUUAGUAAUAGUAUUUAUUGUUUUAUAUAUUGAAGAUGUUUGUAAUGUUUGUAAUUCCUUUUGUCUUAUGGGAGUUAAGAAUUUAAAGGUAACAAUUUUUCCCAUUAUAUUUACUGAAAUGCCUUCAUUACUUACUGAAAAUGGAUAUAUUUGAAUUAAAAAGGGUGUUCCUAAUAUUACAUCAUGAUUUAUAUUAUUUACAAUUAUAAAAUUGUGUCUAAUACAAUAUUCAUUAUUACAUAUUGAUCCUUUGGUAAAUUUAUAUUUUACUUCUAAAUCUUCUCCAUUUGCGGCCAUUAGUUUUUCUUUUGUUCUUUCACAAUAUUUAGUGGGGAUUAUUCCUUCUUUAAUACAACUUGUAUCAGCUCCACUAUCUAUUAGAGUUAAAAAUGUUUCUUUGAAAUCUUCUACUGUGAUGGUUACUAAAGCAAACCAUUUUUGAAAAGUCAUUUUUUCUAUAGUAUUUAAGUAUUGAUCUUCUUUUACUGGGCUUUCUGCUAUUGAUAUUUCGUUUGUUUUAACAUUAGAAGUUGAAGGUUGAUUGUUUUCUAUUAAUGUUAAUCUUAAUUUUGAACAUAACAUUAAUCCUUCUUUUUUCACAAAAGCAAAUAAUUGUCCAAAAGUAAUAUUCUCGAAUGAAAUGACAUCUGUUCCCAUUUCUUUUUGUAAAUUAUCCAUUAUUUUUUGUGAAAAUAAAUUUGGUAAUCCUGUUAUGAAUCUUUCUUUCCAGAAUGAAGCAUUAUAUGAGUUCAAAGUUCCAUGGAUAUUUUGCUGGAGUUUCAAAAUUCAUCAAGAGCUUGAAAAACCACUUCCAAUGUCAUUAGUCAGAGAAUUCAAAAUUAAAUGGUGGACAGGAUUCAAUCAAGAAUUUGGAGAUCAAGUAAAUGUCAUCAGAUUUCUAACUACCGGAGAUAAACUCAAAUGGACUAAACCAACAUCUAGUCCAACAACUUUUGUACCUACUACAACAAAGUCCUCACCAACUCCAACCACUACGGUCCCAACGCCAACCACUACUCCAAUAAAGAAAGAAAAAGAUACCGAGAUGGUAUCCGAGGCAACUUCAAACGACUUUUUAAUGAAAAAGAUGAUGCAAGAUCCAAGGCUACUCAAAGAAUAUAUGAACUAUUUACAAAAGUCAGAUAAGAAAGAAGAAACCGACAAAAUUGACGAGUCAGCAAAAUCAUCCGAAUCAACUUUUGAUCCAUUCGGAGGACCAUGCGGACAAGAUCCAAACGACUUUUGAAAAAGCAGUUGAUCAUUUCAAAAAAGAUGUCGGCCACAAAAUAAAAGAAGAUGAAAUGCAAAUGAAGAUGAAAUGAAAUUCAAAUGACAAAGUCCCGAGCCUCUAUAAAUUGAAGAAAGAUUGCAGAAUGAAAGCAUCGGCGAAAAUUAGCAGACUAGUUCUUUUAAAGCCUUAGAAAAAAUCUCUCAACCACUCUCUCUUAUUUUCAACUUCAUCUCAACCACUCUCAACCACCCUUGACUUCAAGCAAUUGUAAGAAGAUUCAAUUUGUCAAAGCUUCCGUGUGUAACUCAAGUUCAAAAUUUUAUUGUAAGUCCAAAUCUUUUGCUUAUUACAAGCUUAUAUCCUUAUUGCAAACUAUUGCAUGCUUAUAUUAUAUUGCUUGGGUAGAAGUGCUAUCAGAGCCUCACCCAAAUUUAUAUGCACCUGCAUAUUUAAGAUUUUGAGCUAUUAUUAUUUGGUUUGAAUUACGCUUUUAUUUUGAAUUUGCUAAUUCAUGCAUUUAUAUUUACAUAUUUUAUUAAACUUUUGCUAAAAUCGUUGGUAAGACUUGAUGCCUUGUAAGACCGUUGGUAAGUCCAGGGUAUGAUGUUCCAGGCAUAGUGCUCGGUUGUUCCCGAUUAGGUAAAAAAUUUAAUUAAAUAUUAAACAUGGCUGCAUUUCUUAGACAAUUUAAAAUAGGAUCUAAUUCAAAACAAGCUAAUAUAGUACAAAGUCAUGAAUAUCAUAUGCCUAUAAAUAAUUCAGAUUGGACUAUUCCAGAAGAAAAAAUAGAACAUAUUUAUAGAAUAGGCCCUUUAGAUUUCAAAACAGCAUUAUCAGUUAAAACCAUGAAGAAACAAUAUCUAUUCAAGAAGAAUAUCAAUCAAUUCCAUUAUUAAAUCAUAGUACAAUUCAAAAAUACUUAAGUAAAGGAAUAGUCCAAUCUGAAUUAUUUAUAGGCAUAUGAUAUUCAUGACUUUGUACUAUAUUAGCUUGUUUUGAAUUAGAUCCUAUUUUAAAUUGUCUAAGAAAUGCAGCCAUGUUUAAUAUUUAAUUAAAUUUUUUACCUAAUCGGGAACAACCGAGCACUAUGCCUGAAACAUCCUAUCCUGGACUUACCAACGGUCUUACAAGGCAUCAAGUCUUACCAACGAUUUUAGCAAAAGUUUAAUAAAAUAUGUAAACAUAAAUGCAUGAAUUAGCAAAUUCAAAAUAAAAGCGUAAUUCAAAUCAAAUAAUAAUAGUUCAAAAUCUUAAAUAUGCAGGUGCAUAUAAAUUUGGGUGUGGCUCUGAUACCACUUCUACCCAAGCAAUAUAAUAUAAGCAUGCAAUAGUUUGCAAUAAGGAUAUAAGCUUGUAAUAAGCAAAAGAUUUGGACUUACAAUAAAAUUUUGAACUUGAGUUACACACGGAAGCUUUGACAAAUUGAAUCUUCUUACAAUUGCUUGAAGUCAAGGGUGGUUGAGAGUGGUUGAGAUGAAGUUGAAAAUAAGAGAGAGUGGUUGAGAGAUUUUUUCUAAGGCUUUAAAAGAACUAGUCUGCUAAUUUUCGCCGAUGCCUUCAUUCUGCAAUUCUUCAAUUUAUAGAGGCUCGGGACUUUGUCAUUUGAAUUUCAUUUCAUCUUCAUUUGCAUUUCAUCUUCUUUUAUUUUGUGGCCGACAUCUUUUUUGAAAUGAUCAACUGCUUUUUCAAAAGUCGUUUGGAUCUUGUCCGCAUGGUCCUCCGAAUGGAUCAAAAGUUGAUUCGGAUGAUUCUGCUGACUCGUCAAUUUUGUCGGUUUCUUCUUUCUUAUCUGACUUUUGUAAAUAGUCCAGAUAUUCUUUGAGUAGCCUUGGAUCUUGCAUCAUCUUUUUCAUUAAAAAGUCGUUUGAAGUUGCCUCGGAUACCAUCUCGGUAUCUUUUUCUUUCUUUAUUGGAGUAGUGGUUGGCGUUGGGGCCGUAGUGGUUGGAGUUGGUGAGGACUUUGUUGUAGUAGGUACAAAAGUUGUUGGAGUAGAUGUUGGUUUAGUCCAUUUGAGUUUAUCUCCGGUAGUUAGAAAUCUGAUGACAUUUACUUGAUCUCCAAAUUCUUGAUUGAAUCCUGUCCACCAUUUAAUUUUGAAUUCUCUGACUAAUGACAUUGGAAGUGGUUUUUCAAGCUCUUGAUGAAUUUUGAAUUCUUUUUUCAGUAUUUUCUUCAUCAUCAAAAUCUUCUUGUAAAUAUUUAUGAUUUAUUUUAUAUGGUUUAUUUAUAACAUUUAUUUCUCCUUUCAUUUGUGAAUGGGUAGGUGAAUAUUCUGAUUGAUAAUUGCUGUAAAACCUUUAUUCCAUCUAGGAGUAGAUGCUCCAAUACAUUUAGCAUUAAGAGAUACUAGACUCAAAAGAUAUAAAACUUCUUUACUUUCUAUGAUUCAAACUAAUGUUUGUAAUGAACCCAUAUAUUUUAACUGUGCUCCAAAUUUUUCAAUAGACUUAACAGACCCACAUAAUCUAAAUUCAGUUAUAUUAGAUAUUCAUUUACAAGGAAAUGAAUUUGAAAAACAUACAAAGAAUUUUGCAAUAAUAUACCGAAUAUAUUACAGACCUUUAUCUUCACAUUUAAAUCCAAAAUUUAUAAUGACUCCAACUCUUAAAGAAGAAACAACUUUAUUACAAGUAGAUGCAGAUAAACCUACAACUUAUACUCCAAAAAGAUUAAAAUGGAAUGAAAUAACCAUACCAAGUGAAUUUGAAAUUAAGAAUCCACAAAUAGCAAGAAAUAUAGAACAAACUACUGCCGAAGAUAUUAUAGAAAAGCCUGAUGGAAAUACUUUAAUAAGAUUUGCUUCAUUAAGAGAAAGACCUAGUUCAAGUUAUUCAUGGUUACCAGCUAGACAUUCUAAUUAUGAAUCUACUGAAAUAAAUUUUCCGGUAGAAAAUACUUCAACUUUUAAAUAUAAAACUCCUGUUCCAGAAGUAAUAAAUCAAAAUCAAUCAGAAUAUUCACCUACCCAUUCACAAAUGAAAGGAGAAAUAAAUGUUAUAAAUAAACCAUAUAAAAUAAAUCAUAAAUAUUUACAAGAAGAUUUUGAUGAUGAAGAAAAUACUGAAAAAAGAAUUUGGUUUUUUCAACUGGAAUCACAAUAUAAAGAAAAAUUAAUUAUAGAAUGGAAAAAUGAAAUAAAUAAACAAAAGUUUGAUUUUCCUUUCUUUACAUGGUUAACAUUUUAUACAUCAAAAUUAGGAAUAAACAAUGUUUAUAAUACACCAUAAAUAAAUGUUCAAACUAAUUUGUAUAAAAAAUGAAAACUAAAAGAUGAUCAAAUAUUAACCUCAAUACAUCCCCCAUUACAAGAAGUAAAAAUUAAUAUAGGACAAAGAGAUAUAAUAGCCUCACCUUUUAAAAAGGGUAGAGAAGCUGAAUCAAGUACAAAUAAUAAUGUAAAUUUAGAUGAUAUUAAAAAAGUUUAUCAACAAAAUAAUUAUACAAAUCAAAUCCUCAUACAAUAUCUCAACAUAUGGAAGUAUUAAAUACUAAGAUAGAUACAAUAAAUAAAUCAGAAUUAAAAUUCCCAAAUGAUAUUUCAGCACUCCAUUUUAAACCUAGAAGCCUGACAAGAGAAAAAGAGCAAGAUUUAGUACAAAAUAUUAAUAGUCAAAAAAUAAAUACUACAGAUUAUUUAUUAAAUAAAAUAUCUCAAGCCCUACAAAACUUAACUACAGAAUCUAAACCUUCCACUCCAAAAAUAAAUACAUUAGAUAGAAUAAUAGAAGAAAACUCAACGGAAGAAAUAGAAGAUUUAUCUGAAAAAUCAACAGAAUCAGAAACAGAAGAGGAAGAUAUAAUUUUACCAAUAGAAAAUCAAUUUGAAGAAAUAAAAGGAAAUCAAAUAAAUAGAAUAAAAAGAAAAAAUAAUAAAAAUAAUUGGAAGAUGGUAAGUUCAAAAAAUUAUUAUCCCAGACCUAACCCUCCAGAUAUUCAAUACAAAGAAAGAUCAAAAUUUAGAACUACGAAAUAUGAUAGAGAUUCAAUAUAUGAAUGGAAUAUAGAUGGCAAAACUGAAUAUGAAGUAUUAAACAAUUUGCAAGAAAUGUGAAUGGCCAGAUUAGCUUAUAAAAUUAAAAAUAUUCAAGAAAGAAAUAUUACAACAUUAUUAGUCUCAAGAUUUACUGGACAAUUAAAAAAUUGGUGGGAUAAUGCACUAACUUUACAAGAUAAAUUAUCAAUAUUAGAUCAUACACAAGAAAUAGAAGAUGAUCAAGGAAAUAUUCAAAUACAGUCAGAUGCUGCAGAAUUUUUAAUUGUAACAAUAGUUAUGUAGGAAAUCUAAAAGAAGAAUUAAAUUCUAAUAAAACAUUUUUAACGAAUUUAAGAUGUCCAACAUUAUCAGAUUUUAGAUGAUAUAAAGAUAUGUUUUUAACAAAUGUAUUAAGAAGACCAGAUUGUAAUGCUUCAUUCUGGAAAGAAAGAUUCAUAACAGGAUUACCAAGUUUAUUUUCACAAAGAAUAAUGGAUAAUUUACAAAAAGAAAUGGGAACAGAUGUCAUUUCAUUCGAGAAUAUUACUUUUGGACAAUUAUUUGCUUUUGUGAAAAAAGAAGGAUUAAUGUUAUGUUCAGAAUUAAGAUUACAAAUAAAAUAUGGAUCAAAAACAAAAGAAGUAGGAUCAUUCUGUGAUGCAUUUGGAAUUAAAAGAAUUAAGUCACCAUCAGCAUACAAAAAGAAAGUUAAAAAAUAUUCUAAAAAAAUAAGAUAUAAAAACCCUAAGGAAAAUGAACCAACUAAGAAGAGAAAAUUUAUUAAAAAGAAAAUUGUUUGUUAUAAAUGUGGAAAAAUAGGACAUAAAGCAAACAGAUGUAAAUUAAAAGAAAAAAUUACAGAAAUUUGUGCCAACGACGAAGAAAUUAAAAACAAGUUAAUAAAUUUAUUAAUAACUGAACAAGAUAACCAUUCUGAAAACGAAUAUUACGAUGAUAUAUCUAGUUCUGAAAGUGAAGAAGAUUGCAAUUGUACUCCAAAAUAUAUAAAUGUUAUAACUAAAAAAGAAGAUAAAGAAUUUUUAUUAGAUAUAAUAGAUAAAAUUGAAGAUCCAAUAGCUAAAAAAGAAUAUUUAGAAAGAUUAAAAAGCUUAAUUAUUCAAGAAGAUAAAAUGCCUAAGAUAAUAGAACCCUUUAGCAUUUCGAAAUUAAUAGAUAAAUAUCCAAAUAUAAAUAUAAUGAAAAAAGAAACUACUAAAGAUCUUCAAUCAGAAAUUAACAAUCUUAAAAUACAAGUAAAACAAUUACAACAAGAGAUUAUAGAGUUAAAGACAAAAGACUUAGAAAUAGAAGCCAAAAUAACAUUAAUAGAAAACAAUCAACCUUCAACUUCUAAUGUUAAAGCAAACGAAAUAUCAAUAGCAGAAAACCCAGUAAAAGAAGAUCAAUACUUAAAUACUAUAGAAAAAAUGACUUUUCAAAAAUGGUUUGCUUUAUUAACCAUCACAGUAGAAGAUUUCAAAGAAACAUUUGUAACUCUAAUAGAUAGUGGAGCUGAUACAAGUUGUAUUAAAGAAGGAAUAAUCCCCACUAAAUAUUGUGAAAGAACAAAAGAAAAACUAAUGGCCGCAAAUGGAGAAGAUUUAGAAGUAAAAUAUAAAUUUACCAAAGGAUCAAUAUGUAAUAAUGAAUAUUGUAUUAGACACAAUUUUAUAAUUGUAAAUAAUAUAAAUCAUGAUGUAAUAUUAGGAACACCCUUUUUAAUUCAAAUAUAUCCAUUUUCAGUAAGUAAUGAAGGAAUUUCAGUAAAUAUAAUGGGAAAAAUUGUUACCUUUAAAUUCUUAACUCCCAUAAGACAAAAGGAAUUACAAACAUUACAAACAUCUUCAAUAUAUAAAACAAUAGAUACUAUUACUAAAGUACAACAACAAAUAAAUUAUAUUAAAGAGGAAAAAUCUUAUUUAAAAAUUGAAGAAUAAUUAAAUGAUAUUAAAAUACAAAAAAGAAUAUUAGAAGUAGAAGAAUUAUUACAAAAAGAAAUUUGUGCAGAUAUUCCUAAUGCUUUUUGGGAUAGAAAACAACAUAUGAUAGAAUUACCAUAUGAAAAGGAUUUUAAUGAAAAAAAUAUUCCAACAAAAGCUAGACCAAUACAAAUGAAUUCUGAGCUACUAGAAUUUUAUAAAAAGGAAAUAAAAACAUUAAGAGAGAUUCAGAGAAAUACCAUUCGAAUCAAAGUUAUGAAAAGAAUUGAGAGAAGUGAGGAAUUUAUUCAAUAUCACAGAGAACAAAAUAAGCAAUUAUCUGACCAACUUAAAGAUAUUGUUUAUUAAUAUUGCAGGAUUAUGAAUUCAAAAGCAGGAAAUUCCACACCAAAGACUCCUCAAGAUUAUGAGAUGAGUCUAACUCCUGUUACUCAAAACAGAUUCCAACUCUUAUCAGAUUUUCCAGCACUGACUUAUAGUCAAGCUGCUUGUACUCCAACUUCCUCUCAAAUUAGACCACUUCAACAACUACCAAAAUCCCCAGAAAAAUCCACAGAAAAUACCUAUUUUACAAAGCUAUUUACUCAACAUAUCACUUUGACCAAAUUCCAAGAAGUACCUUUGUAUUCUACACUCAAUCAAAUUACCCAAAGAAUCUUUCCUCAAAAGUGCUUUUGGCAACCAGAUGAUCCCUCAAAAAAUUUGGAUUAUUAUGAAUUAAUUCUUACAGCACGCAGGCAAUAUAAGCACUAUAUUAUGAAUUAUUAUGAAUUAAUUCUGGUAGAAGUGGUAUCCAAUAGCAGAAAUAUUUGAUUCUGACUUUGAUAAUAUUCAUGACUAUUCAUAUAAUUUUGUAUAUAAUUUGAUACUUAAAAGAUCCGCUUAAUUCUGAUUUAAAUACUAUAGAAAUAAUCUGAUUUAUUCAAACCAAAUUCAUUGAUAUUUCAGAACAUAUCUAAAUUAACAGAAUUAAUUCAUAAUACUUAAAUACUUAAAUAUUGUAUCAGAAAAUGCAGAAUUAAUUCUUACAGAUACUCAAUCUGUAGAAAUAUUCCCCAUUCCAGACAGAAAAAAUCCAAAUAUGAUUAGCCACUCAAAAUGCAUAAUAAAGAAAGUUUGUUCUCCAAAUGAAUGGACUUCUCUUUAUUCUAAAAAAUCCUUUUCAGUAAGAUUCAUUCCAGAUGGAUUCACAUAUCAAGAUUACAAAAUGGCAUGGUAUCGUGCCUUCCUUUUUAGACCAUUCAAUCACUCAUGAUUCUUCACAUUUAAAGAAAAUUGCAGCAGAGAAUUUCCAAUUUGGUUCAAUCACUGGUGGAAAUGGUUUGGACCACAACCAGAGAUACUACCUCCUAAUGUGCUCAUGGGAUUUCAAACAUAUCUAAAAAUUAAUUCAAUAUAAUAUAAGCAUGCAAUAGUUUGCAAUAAGGAUAUAAGCUUGUAAUAAGCAAAAGAUUUGGACUUACAAUAAAAUUUUGAACUUGAGUUAUACACGGAAGUUUUGACAAAUUGAAUCUUCUUACAAUUGCUUGAAGUCAAGGGUGGUUGAGAGUGGUUGAGAUGAAGUUGAAAUUCAAAUGACAAAGUCCCGAGCCUCUAUAAAUUGAAGAAAGAUUGCAGAAUGAAGGCAUCGGCGAAAAUUAGCAGACUAGUUCUUUUAAAGCCUUAGAAAAAAUCUCUCAACCACUCUCUCUUAUUUUCAACUUCAUCUCAACCACUCUCAACCACUCUUGACUUCAAGCAAUUGUAAGAAGAUUCAAUUUGUCAAAUCUUCCGUGUGUAACUCAAGUUCAAAAUUUUAUUGUAAGUCCAAAUCUUUUGUUUAUUACAAGCUUAUAUCCUUAUUGCAAACUAUUGAAUGCUUAUAUUAUAUUGUUUGGGUAGAAGUGGUAUCAGAGCCACACCCAAAUUUAUAUGCACCUGCAUAUUUAAGAUUUUGAACUAUUAUUAUUUGGUUUGAAUUACGCUUUUAUUUUGAAUUUGCUAAUUCAUGCAUUUAUGUUUACAUAUAUUUAUUAAACUUUUGCUAAAAUCGUUGGUAAGACUUGAUGCCUUGUAAGACCGUUGGUAAGUCCAGGAUAGGGUGUUCCAGGCAUAGUGCUCGGUUGUUCCCGAUUAGGUAAAAAAUUUAAUUAAAUAUUAAACAUGGCUGCAUUUCUUAGACAAUUUAAAAUAGGAUCUAAUUCAAAACAAGCUAAUAUAGUACAAAGUCAUGAAUAUCAUAUGCCUAUAAAUAAUUCAGAUUGGACUAUUCCAAAAGAAAAAAUAGAACAUAUUUAUAGAAUAGGCCCUUUAGAUUUCAAAACAGCAUUAUCAGUUAAAACCCAUGAAGAAACAAUAUCUAUUCAAGAAGAAUAUCAAUCAAUUCCAUUAUUAAAUCAUAGUACAAUUCAAAAAUAUUUAAGUAAAGGAUAUCGAUAUAUUCAUAUAGGAUUAAUACAAAUUGCUGUAAAACCUUUAUUCCAUUUAGGAGUAGAUGCUCCAAUAUAUUUAGCAUUAAGAGAUACUAGACUCAAAAGAUAUAAAACUUCUUUACCUUCUAUGAUUCAAACUAAUGUUUGUAAUGGACCCAUAUAUUUUAACUGUGCUCCAAAUUUUUCAAUAGACUUAACAGACCCACAUAUUCUAAAUUCAGUUAUAUUAGAUAUUCAUUUACAAGGAAAUGAAUUUGAAAAACAUACAAAGAAUUUUGCAAUAAUAUACAGAAUAUAUUACAGACCUUUAUCUUCACAUUUAAAUCCAAAAUUUAUAAUGACUCCAACUCUUAAAGAAGAAACAACUUUAUUACAAGUAGAUGCAGAUAAACCUACAACUUAUACUCCAAAAAAGAUUAAAAUAGAAUGAAAUAACCAUACCAAGUGAAUUUGAAAUUAAGAAUCCACAAAUAGCAAGAAAUAUAGAACAAACUACUGCCGAAGAUAUUAUAGAAAAGUCUGAUGAAAAUACUUUAAUAAGAUUUGCUUCAUUAAGAGAAAGACCUAGUUCAAGUUAUUCAUGGUUACCAGCUAGACAUUCUAAUUAUGAAUCUGCUGAAAUAAAUUUUCCGGUAGAAAAUACUUCAACUUUUAAAUAUAAAACUCCUGUUCCAGAAGUAAUAAAUCAAAAUCAAUCAGAAUAUUCACCUACCCAUUCACAAAUGAAAGGAGAAAUAAAUGUUAUAAAUAAACCAUAUAAAAUAAAUCAUAAAUAUUUACAAGAAGAUUUUGAUGAUGAAGAAAAUACUGAAAAAAGAAUUUGGUUUUUUCAACUGGAAUCACAAUAUAAAGAAAAAUUAAUUAUAGAAUGGAAAAAUGAAAUAAAUAAACAAAAAUUUGAUUUUCCUUUCUUUACAUGGUUAACAUUUUAUACAUCAAAAUUAGAAAUAAACAAUGUUUAUAAUACACCACAAAUAAAUGUUCAAACUAGUUCAAGUUAUUCAUGGUUACCAGCUAGACAUUCUAAUUAUGAAUCUACUGAAAUAAAUUUUUCGGUAGAAAAUACUUCAACUUUUAAAUAUAAAACCCCUGUUCCAGAAGUAAUAAAUCAAAAUCAAUCAGAAUAUUCACCUACCCAUUCACAAAUGAAAGGAGAAAUAAAUGUUAUAAAUAAACCAUAUAAAAUAAAUCAUAAAUAUUUACAAGAAGAUUUUGAUGAUGAAGAAAAUACUGAAAAAAGAAUUUAAUUUUUUCAACUGGAAUCACAAUAUAAAGAAAAAUUAAUUAUAGAAUGGAAAAAUGAAAUAAAUAAACAAAAGUUUGAUUUUCCUUUCUUUACAUGGUUAACAUUUUAUACAUCAAAAUUAGGAAUAAACAAUGUUUAUAAUACACCACAAAUAAAUGUUCAAACUAAUUUGUAUAAAAAAUGGAAAUUAAAAGAUGAUCAAAUAUUAACCUCAAUACAUCCCCCAUUACAAGAAGUAAAAAUUAAUAUAGGACAAGGAGAUAUAAUAGCCUCACCUUUUAAAAAGGUGAUUACAAGAAUAUUCUUGUAAUAUUCUGGAAUAUUAUCAUAAUAAUUCAUAAUAUAGUUUGAUUCUCGGAAUAUUAUUUCAGCACCUUAUAUUGAUAUUCGGAAUAAUAGCCUCUUCUGGAAUAUUAUAUCAAAGGAGAUAUAAUAGCCUCACCUUUUAAAAAAGUGAUUACAAGAAUAUUCUUGUAAUAUUCUGUUUCUGAUUCUUGAUUGGUAAAAUUUUGUAAUCUUGAUAUGUGAAUCCAUCUGGAAUGAAUCUUACUGAAAAGGAUUUUUUAGAAUAAAGAGAAGUCCAUUCAUUUGGAGAACAAACUUUCUUUAUUAUGCAUUUUGAGUGGCUAAUCAUAUUUGGAUUUUUUCUGUUUGGAAUGGGGAAUAUUUCUACAGAUUGAGUAUCUGUAAGAAUUAAUUCAUAAUAAUUCAAAUUUUUUGAGGGAUCAUCUGGUUGCCAAAAGUUCUUUUGAGGAAAGAUUUUUUGGGUAAUUUGAUUGAGUGUAGAAUACAAAGGUACUUCUUGGAAUUUGGUCAAAGUGAUAUGUUGAGUAAAUGGCUUUGUAAAAUAGGUAUUUUCUGUGGAUUUUUCUGGGGAUUUUGGUAGUUGUUGAAGUGGUCUAAUUUGAGAGGAAGUUGGAGUACAAGCAGCUUGACUAUAAGUCAGUGCUGGAAAAUCUGAUAAGAGUUGGAAUCUGUUUUGAGUAACAGGAGUUAGACUCAUCUCAUAAUCUUGAGGAGUCUUUGGUCUGAAAUUUCCUGCUUUUGAAUCCAUAAUCCUGCAAUAUUAAUAAACAAUAUCUUUAAGUUGGUCAGAUAAUUGCUUAUUUUGUUCUCUGUGAUAUUGAAUAAAUUCCUCACUUCUCUCAAUUCUUUUCAUAACUUUGAUCCGAAUGGUAUUUCUCUGAAUCUCUCUUUGAAUAAGAAAGGCUCUUUCUUGAGGAGUAAUAGUAGUAAAAGGGCUUUUUCGAAUAUGUAUAGUGUCAUAUUUAGGAAUUUGAUGAGUUGGAAUACAUUGUAUGCCAUAGCUAGUUUGGGCAAAGUAUUGAUAUCCUCUGGAUUGGAUAUCUUUUUCUUUGUUUUGAAAUAUGGGAGAAUCCCUUUUAACAUUAGAAGUUGAAGGUUGAUUGUUUUCUAUUAAUGUUAUUUUGGAAGAAGAUCAAUACUUAAAUACUAUAGAAAAAACAAUAAAUACUAUUACUAAAGUACAACAACAAAUAAAUUAUAUUAAAGAGGAAAAAUCUUAUUUAAAAAUUGAAGAACAAUUAAAUGAUAUUAAAAUACAAAAAAGAAUAUUAGAAGUAGAAGAAUUAUUACAAAAAGAAAUUUGUGCAGAUAUUCCUAAUACUUUUUGGGAUAGAAAACAACAUAUGAUAGAAUUACCAUAUGAAAAGGAUUUUAAUGAAAAAAAUAUUUCAACAAUAGCUAGACCAAUACAAAUGAAUUCUGAGCUACUAGAAUUUUGUAAAAAGGAAAUAAAAACAUUAAUAGAUAAAGGAUUAAUAAUACCUUCAAAAUCACCUUGGAGUUGUGCUGCAUUUUAUGUUAUGAAUCAAGCUGAAAAAGAAAGAGGAGUUCCAAGAUUAGUAAUAAAUUAUAAACCUUUAAAUAAAGUAUUACAAUGGAUUAGAUAUCCUAUUCCUAAUAAAAAAGAUUUACUCAACAGAUUAUUUAAUGCCAAGAUAUUUUCAAAGUUUGAUUUAAAAUCAGGAUAUUGGCAAAUACUAAUAAAACCAAAAGACAGAUAUAAAACAGCAUUUACAACACCUUUCGGAUAUUAUGAAUGGAAAGUUAUGCCAUUUGGAUUAAAAAAUGCACCAUCAGAAUUUCAAAAUAUAAUGAAUGAUAUUUUUAAUCCUUACAGUUCAUUCAGUAUAGUAUAUAUAGAUGAUGUAUUAAUAUUUUCAGAAUCAAUAGAACAACAUUUUAAACAUUUAAGUAUAUUUUUAAAAAUAGUUAAGAAAAAUGGAUUAGUUGUUUCUGCUCCAAAAAUGAAAUUAUUUCAAACAGUCUUUCUCUUAAUGAAGCAAAUCUUAUUAAAGUAUUUCCAUCAGGCUUUUCUAUAAUAUCUUCGGCAGUAGUUUGUUCUAUAUUUCUUGCUAUUUGUGGAUUCUUAAUUUCAAAUUCACUUGGUAUGGUUAUUUCAUUUCAUUUUAAUCUUUUUGGAGUAUAAGUUGUAGGUUUAUCUGCAUCUACUUGUAAUAAAGUUGUUUCUUCUUUAAGAGUUGGAGUCAUUAUAAAUUUUGGAUUUAAAUGUGAAGAUAAAGGUCUGUAAUAUAUUCUGUAUAUUAUUGCAAAAUUCUUUGUAUGUUUUUCAAAUUCAUUUCCUUGUAAAUGAAUAUCUAAUAUAACUGAAUUUAGAAUAUGUGGGUCUGUUAAGUCUAUUGAAAAAUUUGGAGCACAGUUAAAAUAUAUGAGUUCAUUACAAACAUUAGUUUGAAUCAUAGAAAGUAAAGAAGUUUUAUAUCUUUUGAGUCUAGUAUCUCUUAAUGCUAAAUAUAUUGGAGCAUCUACUUCUAGAUGGAAUAAAGGUUUUACAGCAAUUAUCAAUCAGAAUAUUCACCUACCCAUUCACAAAUGAAAGGAGAAAUAAAUGUUAUAAAUAAACCAUAUAAAAUAAAUCAUAAAUAUUUACAAGAAGAUUUUGAUGAUGAAGAAAAUACUGAAAAAGAAUUCAAAAUUCAUCAAGAGCUUGAAAAACCACUUCCAAUGUCAUUAGUCAGAGAAUUCAAAAUUAAAUGGUGGACAGGAUUCAAUCAAGAAUUUGGAGAUCAAGUAAAUGUCAUCAGAUUUCUAACUACCGGAGAUAAACUCAAAUGGACUAAACCAACAUCUACUCCAACAACUUUUGUACCUACUACAACAAAGUCCUCACCAACUCCAACCACUACGGCCCCAACGCCAACCACUACUCCAAUAAAGAAAGAAAAAGAUACCGAGAUGGUAUCCGAGGCAACUUCAAACGACUUUUUAAUGAAAAAGAUGAUGCAAGAUCCAAGACUACUCAAAGAAUAUCUGGACUAUUUACAAAAGUCAGAUAAGAAAGAAGAAACCGACAAAAUUGACGAGUCAGCAGAAUCAUCCGAAUCAACUUUUGAUCCAUUCGGAGGACCAUGCGGACAAGAUCCAAACGACUUUUGAAAAAGCAGUUGAUCAUUUCAAAAAAGAUGUCGGCCACAAAAUAAAAGAAGAUGAAAUGCAAAUGAAGAUGAAAUGAAAUUCAAAUAACAAAGUCCCGAGCCUCUAUAAAUUGGAGAAAAAUUGCAGAAUGAAGGCAUCGGCGAAAAUUAGCAGACUAGUUCUUUUAAAGCCUUAGAAAAAAUCUCUCAACCGCUCUCUCUUAUUUUCAACUUCAUCUCAACCACUCUCAACCACCCUUGACUUCAAGCAAUUGUAAGAAGAUUCAAUUUGUCAAAGCUUCCGUGUGUAACUCAAGUUCAAAAUUUUAUUGUAAGUCCAAAUCUUUUGCUUAUUACAAGCUUAUAUCCUUAUUGCAAACUAUUGCAUGCUUAUAUUAUAUUGCCUGGGUAGAAGUGGUAUCAGAGCUACACCCAAAUUUAUAUGCACCUGCAUAUUUAAGAUUUUGAACUAUUAUUAUUUGGUUUGAAUUACGCUUUUAUUUUGAAUUUGCUAAUUCAUGCAUUUAUGUUUACAUAUAUUUAUUAAACUUUUGCUAAAAUCGUUGGUAAGACUUGAUGCCUUGUAAGACCGUUGGUAAGUCCAGGAUAGGGUGUUCCAGGCAUAGUGCUCGGUUGUUCCCGAUUAGGUAAAAAAUUUAAUUAAAUAUUAAACAUGGCUGCAUUUCUUAGACAAUUUAAAAUAGGAUCUAAUUCAAAACAAGCUAAUAUAGUACAAAGUUAUGAAUAUCAUAUGCCUAUAAAUAAUUCAGAUUGGACUAUUCCAGAAGAAAAAAUAGAACAUAUUUAUAGAAUAGGCCCUUUAGAUUUCAAAACAGCAUUAUCAGUUAAAACCCAUGAAGAAACAAUAUCUAUUCAAGAAGAAUAUCAAUCAAUUCCAUUAUUAAAUCAUAGUACAAUUCAAAAAUACUUAAGUAAAGGAUAUCGAUAUAUUCAUAUAGGAUUAAUACAAAUUACUGUAAAACCUUUAUUCCAUCUAGGAGUAGAUGCUCCAAUAUAUUUAGCAUUAAGAGAUACUAGACUCAAAAGAUAUAAAACUUCUUUACUCAAAAGAAAGAGGUUGAUAUGGAGUGAUUUUGGGAAAAAAAAGGUUGUGCUUUGCUACUCUCCUUAGGGAUUAAAGGUACUCUGGGCAAGGAACUACUUUUUUCCCUUUAAUCUUACAUUUUAGUGGAUAUAUUACUUGAAUAUGGAAGUUUUGUGGAAGAUUUCAUGGGUUGUGAAGUUGGUGGAUUUUUUCCAACUUUGAUUUUGAUUUUUCCAACCAUGAAAUGAGAAUUUCUAAUCUUGAUAUGGACUUCUGUAGCUUUGAUAUUAAGAUUUCUAGUUGGAUAUGCAUUUUUAGCUUGGUUGUCCGAUUUUUCUAGCUCUUGUAGUUAAUUUCCAAUUUUGCUAUGUUAAUUUGUAGCCUUGGGAUACCAUUUCAGCUUUGUAUGACCUUUUUAGGUCUUAACAUGGGAAUUUUCAAUUUUAUUAUAAAGUUUUAGCCUUGUUAUAGAAUUUUCUAACUUUAGUUACAAUUUUCAACUUAGGUUGUGAAAUUUCAAACUUAGGUAUAUGAUGAAGAUAUAAUUGGUACAUGGCUAAUUUAGUUGGUUUUGUGGUCUAGAAUAAGAACCUCUUGUAUCUUAUCACUUGUGGACUUAUUUGGGGCUGUUUGAUUAUGAAAUUUAGCUUUGAAAUUGGAGGGAAAAUGUAAGAAAAAAACAGGAGAAAUGCUACCCGUUUCAUUUCUUGUAGUAUAAGCGAGUGAAAGUGAGAGUAGAAGGAUGAUUUUUGGAUGAUUUGGACUUAGUUUGUUUAGGGAUGCUUGAGUCCACUUUGGUGGUGAUAUAUAAACUGGAAUUUUGCUAAAACCCAUCCAUUUUGCAAGGAAGCGUAAUGACCUGUUUAAAAAUGAUUUCUAGUUGCAUAUGUCAAGUUUUAAAUUCAAAGGUUUUAAUCAUAUUUUUUCAAAAACAAAAAAAAGAGUGUGCAUGUAUCUUGCGUAAGGUUUACUAAAUCUCAUGAGUCUAUUUAUAUAAGUUCGAUUUACAUGAUCUUCCAUUGAUAGUCACAAGUGAGGGAUUGGAUUUUGAAACCCUAUUUGAUUGUAUUUGGUCAUAUGACAUUUGAUCGCAGAUUUUGAAUCCGGCUAGAGAGCUAGGGCUGAACCCGAUUUAGAUAAACAAUAAUCAUUAGGGAGUGUUCCUUGCAUGUUGUGCUUCCAAUGACUAUGUGGAAUGUUGUGAAUGUUUACUUGAAUGUUAAAUGCUUUUCAAUGAUUGUUAAAUGGAUUUUCAAAGGAUGAGUAUGUACAUUGUCGCACUCGACCUAAGUAAAUGUGAAUUUUCAAUGAUCAAAUGAUUUAUGCAUGAAUGUAAGCCUUUGGCUGAACCGGGCCCUUGCCCUUCGUUACCAGUCGACUUGAGCCAGAAGCGGAUUUGGUUAGGCGACUGGUGACCCUAGAAUAGUGUUAGGUAUACUCGAGUAUGACCAUGAAGUCGGGUAGAGUAUUGGCCAGUAGAUAUAAUACAAUGAUUGAAAUGAAUGAAUGAAAUGAACACUAAAGGAUUUCACUUUUAAAUGCUUUCAAAUGUCCGAUGUAUAAGGGAUAUGGACGGCGACUGAGUAAAUGGUUCCAAGUGAGCUCCUAUCCUUCUAAUGAUUGAAUGUUUAUUUCUUGAAUGACUGCUUAUUGCUGUGCAAAGUGUGUGAAGUGUUAAAUAUAAUAUUUCCUUACUUUACCUACUUGACUGUUUGUUUGGGAACCUCACUGGAUUAUUAGUUUAUUACUUUAGUUUUGUUUUUCUUAUAGGAGUGGAGGCCGGAGUAAGUAAGUGUGAAUUAGUGUGUAUAAUGUUAUGUACUUGUACUUUUAUAAAUGAAAUGUAUUUGAGAUCUUUGGUAAUGUACCCCUAUGUUUCACUUUUGGAUUGAAGUUAAGUUGAAAUUUUUGGUUGAAUUGGGAACUUUUAUGUUAAUCUAGAGGCAUGAAAGACUAUUCCAAGAAUGUUAGUGAGUGAGUCCUGACAAGAGUUGGACAAGCGAUCCGUCAAAUCCUUGGGUAUGCCCUAAGCGGAGGUGGGGUCGUUACAUAUUUCUCAUCCACUGAUUUUGGCCAUUUAAACAUUGCUUCCACCUUCUUGGGAUCUGCCUUCACUCCUUUCCCGAUGAUUACACGACCAAGAUAUUUCACCUGUGGUUGAGCAAAGACACACUUACUCUUUUUAGCAAACAGUUGGUUCUAUUUCAAAAUAAUCCGCACCUCUCUUACAUGCUCCUAAUGACCCUCUAGUAUAGAACUAUACACCAGAAUGUCAUCAAAGAGCACUAGCACAAACCUCUUUAACCGAUCCUUGAACAUCUUAUUCAUUAGAGACUGGAAAGUUGUUGGAGCAUUUGUAAGUCCAAUGGCAUUACCUUGAACUCAUACAGUCCUUGAUGAGUUCUAAAUGCAAUUUUGUACUCAUCCGCAACCUUAAUACAUAUUUGAUGGUAACUUGCCCUCAAGUCUAUCUUAGUGAAGUACUUAGAUCUGUGAACUCAUCUAUCAAUUCAUCAAUAAGAGGUAUUAGGAAUUUAUCCUUAUUUGUUAGCUUAUUCAACUGCCUAUAGUCUCCGUAAAAUCUCCAACUACUAUUCUUUUUCUUAACUAAUAGCAUAAGGGAAGCAAAUGGACUACAACCAAGCUGGAUAAUACCAGUUUUCAGCAUUUCCUUAACUAAUCUCUCAAUUUUAGACUUCUAUACAUAAGGGCAUUUAUAGAUCCUCAUUUGAAUAGCUUUGGCCCUCUUCUUAAGUUGGAUGUGAUGGUCAUGUCUUAUAGGUGGAGACAAUCUAAUUGGUUCAGCAAAAACUUCCUCAAAGUAACCCAAUACCUUUUGAACUUCCUCAGGUGUUUUGGCUGGUUCUUCCACCCCUUAUUCUAUGGAGUUGAUAUGAGCUAGAAUGCCAUAUGCUUGUUUCUUUAUCUAUUUUAUCAUCCUACUUCCCUUGAUUAAAUUCAGUUGAACUUCAUCUAGAUUUCCUUGUAAAGCUCAACUUCUUGAACUCAAACUCCAUGGAGCUAUAUUUGGCUAAACAGUCCACCCCCAACACCAUAUCACCUCCUCCCAACUUGAGAGCACACAUUUUAUCCUAGAAUUCAUAUCCUUCUAUCUGCCAUAUGAGUUGUUUAAGAGGAAGGGAAGAAAGUGUUCAAGAGGAAGGAAACUUGAGGAAAAGGAAAGGUCUAACUCACAAGAGCAAAAUCCAAAUAAUAAAUCACAAAAAUUACGUGAUCUGGAAAUGUACCACUACUACCUAUUUAUAGUUAGAGUUUCUUAUAGAAUUUUGUACGGCCUUCUAUCAUGUCGCCAAGUGUCCCUUCCACUAGCUUCUCCUCUACUGAUUGGAACUUCACUCGUGCAAAUGAAAUUGUGAAAACACGGUUCCCAAUUCUGUCUCCAUUGAAAUCAUGCCCUCUACUACUAUUUUCCCUUCUACGCUCUUUACCGCCCAAUGACAAAAUUGAAAUUAAAGUAAAUUAUCUAACUAUAACAUGGUAUAGUUUUUAGCAACUUAAUCAAAACCAGACUUGGAGUCACCAUUGUUGAGUGGCAUGUCAUGUUUGCUUAUUCACUAUACUCGACUAAAGUCCUUGUUAGCUUUCUAUCAUAGGAUUGGUACUUGAAUCUUGAUUAUCAUUCUUUCUAACUUUCUUGAACUCUGACCAUUCUAUCACAAGAUUAUUGGAGAUUUUAGUGUUGUCUUCUCUUACUUUUCAAACUUGCUAGAGAAAAUUAGUCAUGAUUUAGUAUUUUUUUUGUAGUAACAAAAACAAGUGCCUAAUAUUUAGUUCUAUGAGUUGAUUGAUGGCCAUGUGAUUGCCCAUGACUAUUCUAUAAGCAUUUUCAAAAAUCCAUUAACCAUCUUACUUUGCCUAAAUUUAAAAGGUUCAAUCACCACAUUUUUUUUUGAUAAAAAUAAGGGUAAAAUACCAAAAACUCCUUUGUGGUUUGCGAAUGUUCAAUUUACUUCUCUCUUGUUUACAAAUCUACACUUUAACUCCUUGUGAUUUUCAAAUAAAUUGAAAUGGGAUAGGAAACAUCUAAACUAAUGAUAUUUGACUGUUAUGCGCUUUUGAUGAGUUUUGCUUGUGAUAAAUAAUAUCUAACAAAAAAAUAAUAUUUUUAGUUGUUAAACGUACAUCUGUGUGUAUAUCAAGACCUGAAAGAAUGUGAUGUUCUUAAUCUCUUCUUCUCUAAACCCUAAAUUGGGCAGGAGAUUAGAAGCAAAAUUGGUGACUUUGGAUCCUUGAAUUGCCUGCAAUCGAUUUGGGAGCAGAUGUAAGAACUCUAUAUUGAUUAUUUCGAGAUGUCUUCAGGGAUGUCUUUCUUAAGUUAUAGAAGUGGUAGUAGAAAUAAGGAUUUGAAAUAUCAGUAGAGGUUAUGUGAUUGUGGAAGGAAGGCCAAGGUAAAAAUCAUUGAAUCAAAAAAAUCAGCUAAAGGCAUAUUAUAUUUUGUAUGUGAAAGAGAUGAAUGCGCCUUUUGGUAUUAGUGUAACCCAACUAGUCAAGAGUCGCUAAGGUGGGAAGCUGGAAUUGGAAAACCAAUAGAGGAAGAACAACCAAGUAUGUAAGCUAGCAUGAUGUCGAGAUGGCAAAAAGUGGACAAUGAAUUGAAAAGUUUGAAGUUGCUGGUUUGCUGUUGUCUAAUGGGGUUUGUGUUUUCACUCUUGAUGUUGAUGUCCAAGAUGUGAAUUUGAUGUGUGAAUCUUUUGCUUAGUUUAGGUAGUAGAUGAUGAAUAGGGUAGGAAAAGUGUAAGGAAUAUCCAUAUGUAGAAUGAUGAUUUCAUGUUUUGCUUUGUAGAAAUGAAAAGUAUCCGAUUGUCUUUUAGAUAGCUAUGGUUAAAUGUAGAACCCCUACUAUAAUUGAUAUAGGGUAUAUCCCUUUUUUUUUUUAUCAAUUGUUGUGGUAAAUGAAACUGAAGAACGUGAAAAAGAGAAAUGAAAUGGCUAUGACAAAUGAAACUAGAUAACUUAAAAAAGAGAAAUGAAAUGCUGCAAAAUAAUAUCCAUCAACAAUUUAACAAAAAGAUUAAUAAAUUGCUACAAAAUAUUGUCCAUCCUUCUAUUCAUUCAAAAAUAGCCAUUUAGAUCAUCUAUACAAAAGUAGUACACAUCAUUUUCAGUUUACAUCAGGUUCAACACCUAAAAAAAUAACAGAAAAAUAAGUAAUUUGUCCAGAUUUGCACUAUCUGAGUCUAACUCAGUCACCAAAAUAUGCCAGUUUACAUAACUCAAGCUAACUACAAAUUAGACAUACAUACAAUUUAGGAGAAUGACUUUAUUCUUGUUCUCUUGGCCCUUAUUUUAUGCAGCACGUCUGUAACUAUUGGAGGCCUAAUUCAUCCACUAGCCGUAUUGGAAACAAGUCCACCAUCACAGCAAGUUGCAAAAUAGAGGGUUGUUAAGAACAUGACACAUGUUUCAAGUAUUAUCUCUAAUGUUCAUGAAUAAUACCUGAGAAGCAACGUUUUUCUGAGUGGUAACCUAGUUUACGCUAGACUAUGUUGAUUGAGUAUAUGUCUUUCUCUUUGAAACUUUUAAUUUAGAUGGACUGGCAUGAUCAAUAAGCUUUUCUUAAGGGGCUAGUUUUAACAUUGCCUCUUGUCAUGGUACUGAAAUGCUCGCAGUAGAGUGUUUAGCAACUUGUGAUUCUGAAGUGUUAAUAAAGAAGUACAUAUGCCAUGAAUAAAAAAGAUUAUACCCUAUGAAAUUUGGAAUUUAGAUGGAUAGGACUCUUGUAACUUCCUGAAUUGUGUCCAAGUUUGAAGCAUCUGUUGCAAUGCAUGGUUAGGCCCUUUCUUAAUUGAUACUUGACCCUUAUUUGGUUCAUCAAGUGCUUUCCUCCGUAUCUUCUUUGGUCUUUCAGGCAUCUUUCUUAUUAUUGGAAUCAUAUUGUCAUUACCAUCUCUCUCUAAGACAUAUAGUAAUUGACCACCUAAUGCACUCUUUAAAAAGCAUCCAUCUAGACCUAUAAAUGGUCUAUAUCCACCAAGGAAUCCCUACUUGGAAGCAUCAAGACAGAAGUACAUUCUUUCAAAUAUACCUCUAGAUUCCGGUGAAGGCUUGUCUAUUUGAAUCUAGACGGUGCUACCAGGAUUAUACUUCGAGAUAGUGGUUGCAUAAUGCCAAAUAUCAUGGUAUUGCUCUAUUUCUGAUCCCUGUAUAUUCUCUCUUGCCUUCCUUUUGGCUCUAUACACGUCAGAUGAAGUGACAUGACCAUUAAAUCACUUUUAACAUCAUUUUGAAAACCAAUUAAGUUACACUUAAGAUCAUCCCUAACCUUAAAUUGGUAUCUUUGGCUAAGGUACCUUGCUGUAACAUGUUUGUUAUUGUACUCUCUACUGCAAACAUGCUCUCCCUUCAAAAUCUUGAUCUAGAAGGUACUAGUCUCCUAAACUUUUGUUGCAUGGAUCCUCCAUGAUCAACCCCUUUUCAUACCUAAUUGUUAUUCUAUAAGAGUUAUUUUUUAUCCAUUUCGUUUCAUAGCCCUCUCUUAUAUUCCAUUCCAACAAAGCCAUCCUGAAUAAUCUGAAAUCUAUAAAAUUAAGGCCCACUUUAAGUUAAAAUUAAGGUUUCUUAAGCUCAACUUCUGGAUAUAAGUCUAGAUAUUCUUAAAACUCUUCACUAUCAGAACCAGUCCUCUCCAGCAGCUCCUUAUCUGGGAUUGCAAGUUCAUUCCAAUUGGCUUCCACUCUAACUUCAUUGUUCAAGCCUUUAACAUCUUUUUCAAUCUGUUGUUGUACAUGACUUCCACUAUCAUUUAGGUAUGAACAUAUAGAGUAGUAUUCUGCUAUUGUUUCCCUAGACUAAAUAGUAGGCUUGUCAAUUGUAACCUUUUUCUUUGGACUUUUGAGAUCAUCUUUCAGAGCAAACACAUGCACUUUGAGGUUAGGACAAUUUUUGGCUUGGCAGCCAUAUUCUUAUGUGGCAUCACAGCAAAAAUAUUUUCGUCCUAUAUAGUCUUAAGUCCCUCAUCUAACCAAUGAGGCUUAGCAUUUUUUGAUUUUCUUGCUUUGUCCACUGCAACCCCUAUUUUGUUGUCCAUAUUUGAUCCAACUAUAAUCUUUGUAACCCCUUAUCCGCAGUUUCUUCACAUGUAUAGUUAGCCUCUACACCCUCUUUUUGCAAUAUGCUGACCCUAUCACCAUAGUGGGAAGGCUCUUCAAAUGCUUGGUCCCCACUUCCACUGUAUAUCACCCUUGCGGGAAAAUGUAGAUGGGAAUUAUUCAUCAAAUUAAUGUCAUCAUUCCCUCUAAUUGGUAGCAAUCCAAUCUCCAUAUCCAAAUCAGGCACACACCACCAAAAAAUGACCCUAGUUCUGUCCUUGUCCAUUACCUUAAACAUUCUACACAGUCUAACUAUGAACAGCUUACUUGGAUCUCUAUCUUUCCAUAUAACUAGCUUAUAGUCUCCUACAUAGACUAUGCUUGGCUCAUUUCUAAAAAUCCUAUCAAAGUACAAGUGUAUCUCAACCAUUUCUUUUUCUUUUUCUUGUUUGUUGUCUUUUGUUGAUAAAACAAAUGCAAUAUAUAUAUACACAUACAUAUAUAUAUGUAGUGUAGUUUAGUCACCCAAGUAUGUUGUCUAUACUUUAUGUAAAGAAAGCAGAUAUGAUAAGAACACAUGUUUACAACUACACACAAGAAUUUGGCUCCAAUUUGACUGUUGAAUUGCCAAGGAUGAUGACAAUCUAACUAGAAUAAUUAGGGGUGUGCAAAGUCGAAAAAUUUCGAUUUCAAGAUUGAUUUCGAAUUGAAUUCGAAAUUUUGGUAAUUCGGAAGUGAAUUCGGUAAUUCCGAUUUCGAAUUGGUCGAAAUCGGGUCGAAUUCAAAAAUAUAUUUUGCGAAAUCGGAAUUGUAAACUAAGCAAAAAGGAGAAAAUACUCUUCUUCAUAUAUCUUUGGAUUACACUGUAUACAAAUAUAUAUACAUAAGUGUAACCUAAUUUAGAUCUUAAAAUAAUGCUAAUCUAUAUCAAUCUACUACAUAAUUAAUAUAUGAUACUAUAAUCAUAUGAUACCUAAUUAAUAUAUGAUACUAUAAUCAUAUGAUAUUAUAAUCAAAUCUUUUCUAAUAUUUACAAUAUUAAAUCUUUUCAUAAUAUCAGAUCACAUAUCUUCAACACUCCCCCUCAAGAUGGAGCAUAGAUGUUAAUCAUGCCCAUCUUGCCACAAAUGUAAUCAAUUCUUGGACCAUUUAGAAGUUUAGUGAAAAUAUCAGUUAACUGUUCUCCAGUUCUCACAUGACUGGUUGAGAUCAAGUUUUGCUAGAUUUUUUUCACGAAUAAAGUGGCAAUCAAUUUCGAUAUGCUUUGUUCUCUCCAUUUGAAAAAUAGUUUUACAUCUUCCCUUAGCCAAACCUUCUUUUCUUCCCCAUCAACGGGUGAGUCAUCAGUGAGAUGAUCAUCUCUAUCGAUGCUGCACAGAUAUAUCCGAAUAGUUUUACUCCAAUCCAAAAAAUUUUUUCACUCAAUUUGUGUUCAGUAAUUUUUGAUGUUGUAGGAAUAACAUCAGAAAUUACUGUUUUCAUCUCUCUACUACUACUUUUCAUAUUUGCCAUUAUAAUUCACACAAGAAAGACCUAAAAGUGACUUAAUAGGGUCACGUCAAAAGACAAACUGUUAUAUAUCUGUCAUUAGGAUCCUAACAAUUUCUUUGCUCAGAAACGACAAGUUGAAAUACCUCCUCAAGUCGAGCAAGAGGAGCUGAUGUUCAUGAAUUGUGUUAUAAAAAUGAAUAGGCUUCAAAAGGGGUGGCAAAAGGCAAGAAUACAAAUAAUUGAUUGUAUCCAAGUUCGCAAUUAUAAAGGGGAACAAGACGGAACAAUGAUGCUAUCAGGAAUGUGUCAUCCCACGGAGUUUUUUUCAUCAAUAAAUAUAAGUCUGAGUUACCUCUGAUUUCUUUGCGGUUUCGUUUGAUUUACCUUGUUCGUCCUUUAUGGCUCACCGAAGUACGCCUGAACUAAACAGAUGUGCCGGAAAGAUUGGAGAGUAUCUAGGUGUGUUGAAAUCCGUAACGGAUAAAACUAAAGAAAGACGGGAAAUGGAGGAAGAGAUCAUGGCGAGAGAAUUCGUGCUCCUCGGUUGUGUCCAAGAUUGCGACAUCAUGAAGAAGGUUAUCAAGAACUCUCGACGCACUUAUGAAGGUAAAGUCAUCACCAAAGGAGUUGAUGUAUUUGAGAAAACAACUAAUGUAGGGCUGAACCCCAUAGAUAUUGAUUCUGCGAAGGGUGCACGGUACAAAAGCGCUUUUAGGAUUCAUCGACAUCUUGAGUACGACCCGUCAGCCUUCCGCCAACCUUGAUGAGGGUUUCUUGAUUUUGAGGAUUUUGUUAGUGUUGUCUUUUUAUUCAUGGGUUUGAGUUAUACGUAAUAGUUCACGGAUUGCUUUAAUUACUUUUUUUCCCUGAUUGUUUGUUUACUUCAUGGUUACGUUUAUGUCUUCUCCGUUGUCAAAGGAGUAAAUAUUCAUAUUUCUAUUAAAUAAAAUUAAUGGACAAUUCGGGUUUCUCUCCGUGGAUGUAGACUCAAUGAUGGAACCGAACCACGUUAAAUAUUGUGUGUCGUCUAUCUUUCAUGCUUGUGGCUUAUUUGUCAUUAAAUUGUUGUGCACUUGAUAUCUCAAUAGUUGUUUAUUCCGCAUUUGGAUCCUAACAAGUGGUAUCAGAGUUUGGUUGUGAGACUGGGCUGCUCAAGGUUCGUAGUUGGAUCCUAGUUAACUAUUGAGAUCAAGUGGAUUGGUAGCUGUUACCAAUUGAACAAUUUAAUGAGUGGUAUCCUUGUUUCAAUGGUUUGGCAAAAAGCAUUGAUGGUGAAGGAUGGAAAGUCAAAAAGCAUGAAAAUACUUGACGGUGAAUCUAGGUAGAUAAUUCAAGGGUCAAGUAAAAAGUGGAGUCCAAUUUUGAUUUUGGACAUGAAUCGGUGGAGAUUUUCUCACACCUCCAACGGUUGAUACUUUAUCUCGGUGGAUUUUAGAUUUUGGUUAUAUUCUUUGGGUGGUGUAGCACAUGUCCCAAAGAAAUAAAGAAAUAUAAUUUCCAUGUGCCAGAAGACUCUGAAAGUUACGAGUUUUUUAUUUUAAGUGGAGUCUUGAAAAUCACACAUGGCAAGACAGUCCUGAGAAUGAGAAGAAAUAUGGUAAUUUUACGACUUAGGUGCCGCAAUGGUUAGAGUUAGAGCUCACAGAAGGAGAUUUCGGAUUGCAAGUGGUGGUGAGAAGAAAUCCUGCAAAGGGAGAUGGUGAAUUGAGGCACCUUCUCACGAGUCAAUUGGAGGUUGGACUCAGGGUAACUAUACAUGUUCGUUUGCCGAUUGAAUCAAUUUGGUGUCAGGACUGUAUUGAUUCGAGUGUGUAGUUUGGUACUAUAUUAUUUGGUAGUUGAAGGCAAAAAGUUGUUAAAAGAAAUUUUUGACAAAGUGGAGAUUUGUUAGGAAAUUGACUUAAUUUCUUUUAGUCAAAAUUCCUAUUUGGUGUGGGAAGUAACUAGUUUUCUAAUUGGAUUUAGUUACUUGAAAUAGUAGUCAAGUAAAGCCUUAUUUAGCUAGAAUUAGAUGUUAUUUUUUACUCUAUAUGAGUUUAGGAAAUAGUAUUGGUUUUCAAUUAUUAUUUGGUUUUUUGGCAGUAAUGUUCUCUAUAAAUAGGUAGAUUGGCAUACUACAGAUACACACAAGGGCACACAAGGGCAUCAUGUAGCCUUAUACAUGGAGUGUGAGAGAGGGUUCUUGGGAGAUAAGAGAUGGUAUACAAUGGUUGAUCUUGGGUUCAAGUUGUAUUCUUGUAUAGGAUUUUUCUUUCAUAAUAAAGAACGGGUUUCUCUCCGUAGAUGUAGAUUCAAUGGUGGAUCCGAACCACGUUAAAUAUUGUGUAUCAUCUAUCUUUCAUGCUUGUGGCUUAUUUGCCAUUAAAUUGUUGUGCACUUGAUAUCUCAAUAGUUGUUUAUUCACACAAGAAAGACGUAAAAGUGACUCAAUAGGGUCACGUCAAAAGACAAACUGAUAACAGAGCCUGAAGCUCUGAUACCAUAUAAACUAAGAAAAAGAGAGAGAAAAUACUCUUUUUCAUAUAUCUUUGGACUACACAAUAUACAAAUAUAUAUACACAAGUGUAAUCUAAUUUAGAUCCUAAAAUAAUGCUAAUCUAAAUCAACCUACUACCUAAUUAAUAUAUGAUACUAUAAUCAUAUGAUACCUAAUUAAUAUAUGAUACUAUAAUCAUAUGAUACUAUAAUCAAAUCUUUCCUAAUAUUUAUAAUAUCAAAUCUUUCCAUAAUACCAGAUCGCAUAUCUUUAACAGAAAUUACCAAUUUCGAAUUGGGGAAUUCAAAAUAGGAAUUCGAAAUCGGAACUAUGAUUUUGAUUUCGUUUAAUAAUAUUUAUAUAUAAUAUAAUAAUUUUUUACAAUACAUAUAUAAUAUAUAUUAUAUAACAUAAUAAGUUAAUAACAAUAAUACUGAUACAUGAUACAUCUAACAAUUGAAAUUUCAAAAACCCUUCUGUUAACUCUUGUUACUCUUCCACCGUCUCUUCCUCAUCGUCUCUCAUUCACUCUCAAGACUCACUGUCUCUCACCUUCCUUCCUCCGCCUCCACCACCUGACUCACUGUCUCAUCUUCCUUCCUCCGCCUUCGACUCACUGCGAUUUCCUACUUCCUCAGCUUACUCUCUCUCACUCUCGGUUUCACCUUCAUCUUCAUGCCAUCUUCAAGUCCGACAGAGACAUCUUCACUCUUCAUUUUCAAGCCAUCAUCAGCCUUCAUCUUCAAGGACAAAUUGAGGUACGUGAGUGAUUUUACUUAGCUUUCGUCUAUAUUUCUAGUUUAUUUUUUUUAGGCAUUUCAUCAAACAGCUUCCAUAGUUUGGCCUUUUGUUUUUGAGUUUUGUGAUGUUUGAUGUGUUCUUAGAUAUGUUUCUUCUCCAGUAGGUUGCUGUUUAAAAAGGUGAAUAAUGAUGAAAGAUUGUAUAGCUGGAGACUUAAAAACUCCAAGCAUGCAGUAUAGGUUCUGGAUGAAUUAGGCGGUGGCUAUUAUGUUUGUUGUUCCUGUGUUCCUGCAUUUUUUAUUAGUGAUGGGCUUGUCGUGCCCCAUUUUUAAAAAUAACGUAUAACGUGUUUUAUAAAAAAUGAAUUUUGGUUUGUUUUUUAUUGAAAAAUGAGUUUUUGAAUUUUUUUAGAAAAUGAAUAAAAAAAAGGGUCUAAAUGGGACUUAAAAGUGCGACGAUUUUGACCCAAAAUAAUAGUUUAAAAAGGGUUUUUAAUGAAAAAUAGGAGUCGCAACUUGGUAUUGAGUUAAGGUGUAUCAAGUCACCUAAAAAUGAAUUUUUAAAUGAAAAAAGUAGAAAAAAAAAUCUUUUUUAAACGACUCCAAAUCUACAAAAAUCAGAGAAAAGUGUUCGGGAGUCACAUUUGAAGAAAGGGAGUUGGGCAUAAUGGUAGAUUUGAAAAAAAAACUACUAAAUGUUAUUUCAAAAGAUGGAAAAGAAGCCCAACAACUACUAGUCUUCUCCCUUUUUUCAAGUCACCAAGGAGCCUAUCAAGAAAAUAUUUCCAAUCGUAAGUUGAUUUGUUUCCUUUAUUUUCUCUCCUAAUCAACUUCAAAAACUUAUAUGAAACUAACUUAUCCCAAAAUAAAAUACUAACUAAGCAAGUUCCCUGUUCUGAUAAAACUCUUAACAAAACAUCCAAAAGAUAAUUCUAAAUAUCAGAGAUAAUUUCCGGGUCCCAUCUCCAAUUUUCAACUUCUCAAUCUCUGGCUUGGGCACGUUUUGAAGCAAAUAGUCUUCUGAAAAUUUUAACUUGAAGUGCCAUUUUCUGCUCUAAAUUCCUAUAACAACACAAACAUCAAAUAUAAGCAAAAUCUAUCAAUUAACAUAAUAUUAGGUGAAAAUUAAGAUAGAAUAUUAGUAAAUAAUAUGCACAAUUAUCUUGCUAUCAUUAUGUCUUCCUACGGUUUCCUCCAAAGCUUCACCUCUCUCUCUCUCUCUCUCUAUUCUUUGAAUUGCCAAAAUGACGUAACAUUCCGUUGAUGUAUUCAUUUAUAUAAGGGCAACUAUGACAUUUUCCAUUCAAUUGUUAGUUUAGAUAUUUUUUGUCUCACUUUCCGUUUAGUUGAAAACAUAGAGUUAAAGUGUAGAAUUUCAAAUCAAAGGGGGAUAAAUUGAACAUUUAGCAAACCACAUAAGAGUUUUUGGCAUUUUACCCUAAAAACAAUAAGGAUUACUUUAUAUACAAACCAAAUGUGCGAGAAUUAUAGUCCUGGUCCUUGAUAUUUGGCUUGUGUGCCAAAUUGGUUCCUAAUGUUUCGUUCAAAAUAAAUCUAGCCCUCAAAAUUUGCAAUUUUAUGCAGAUUUAGGACAAUUAAUAGAAAUAGAACAAUGACUAAUGGUAAUAUCAAAUUGCCAUUAAUCAGAAACUUUGUAGGAAAUCCAAAAGAAGAAUUAAAUGCUAAUAAAGCAUUUUUAACAAAUUUAAUAUGACCAACUUUAUCAGAUUUUAGAUGAUAUAAAGAUAUGUUUUUAACCAAUGUAUUAAGAAAACCAAAUUGUAAUACUUCAUUUUGGAAAAAAAGAUUUAUAACUGGAUUACUAAAUUUAUUCUCCCAACAAAUUAUGAAAAAUUUACAAAAGGAAAUGAGAAUUGAAGUAAUUUCAUUCGAAAAUAUUUUUAUUGGACAAUUGUUUGCUCUUUGUCAAAAAGGAAGGAUUAGCUUUAUGUUCUGAAUUAAAACUUCAAAUAAAAUAUGGAUCGGAAAGAAAAGAAGUAGGAUCAUUCUGUGAAACCUUUGGAAUUAAAUGAAUCAACUCCCCAUCAUCAAGCAAUAAGAAGAAUGAUAAAAGAAGUAAAAAAAUAUAGAAAAAUUUUAAUAAUGAAUAUUAUGAUAAAAAUAAAUACAAAAGAAAAUUUUGAAAAACUAAAAUAGUAUGUUGGAAAUAUGGAAGAAUGGGGCAUAAAGUAGAUAAAUGUAAACUGAAAGAAAAAAUAAAUGAAAUAUGUGCUGAGGGAGAUGAAAUAAAAAAUAAGUUAAUAACACUACUAAUAAAUGAAAAGGAACAAAAUACAGAAGAUGACUAUUAUAACGAUUUAUCUAGUUCAGAAGAACAAGAAGAUUGUAAUUGUUCAAAGGUCUCAAAAUAUAUAAAUGUCAUUACAAAAAAGGAAGAUAAAGAAUUUUUAUUAGAUAUUGUAGAAAAAAUAGAUGACCCUAAAACUAAAAACGAAUUUUUAGAAAGAUUAAAAUAUAUAAUUUUACAAGAAGAUAAAAUGCCAAAAAUAAUAGAACCUUUUAGUAUUUCAAAACUAAUAGAUAAAUGCCCAAAUAUGAACAACAUAAGAAAAGAAACUACUAAAGAUCUUCAAAUAGAAAUUAAUAAUCUAAAAACACAAGUAAAACAAUUACAAAAUGAAAUAUUAGAAAUAAAAACAAAAGAUUUAGAAAUUGAAGCAAGAAUAUCAUUAAUAAAAACUAUAGAUCAACCUUCUAUAUCUAAGACAGAUGAAAUAGUUAUUUCGAAAAAUCCAUCAGAUGAAAAAUAAUAUUUAAAUACAAUUGAAAAAAUAACAUUUCAAAAAUGGUAUGCAUUAGUUACAGUAAUGAUAGAAGAUUUUAAAGAAACGUUUGUAGCUUUAUUAGAUAGUGGAGCAGAUCAGAGUUGCAUAAAAGAAGAAUUAAUCCCAACAAAAUAUUAUGAAAGAACAAAUGAAGAAUUAAGAGCUGCAAAUGGAGAAAAUUUACAAGUAAAAUAUAAUUUACCAAGGGAUCAAUAUGCAAUAAUAAUUAUUGUAUAAGACGUAAUUUCAUUGUAGUAAAAAAUAUUCACAUAGAUGUAAUUCUAGGAACACCCUUUUUUAUUCAAAUAUAUCCUUUUGCUGUAAAUAGUGAAGGAGUUCACGUAAAUAUUAUGGGAAAAACUAUAAUUUUCAAAUUUAUAACACCAAUAAAACAAAAAUAAUUACUAGUAUUACAAUCCUCUUCUAUUUAUAAAACAAUAAAUACUAUUCAAUACGUUAAACAACAAAUAAAUUAUAUUAAAGAAGAAAAAUCAUAUUUAAAAAUAGAAGAACAAUUAAAAAGGGAAGUAUGUGUAAAUUUUUUUUUAAUUAGAACAAAUAAUAAAAAGGGAAGUAUGUGCAGAAUUACCAAAUGCAUUUUGGAAUAGAAAAAAGCAUAUAAUCAAUUUACCCUAUGAAAAGGAUUUUAAUGAGAAAAAUAUCUGAACAAAAUAGUUCAAUAUUUAGAUUUAAAACCCUCGUACCAGAGGUAAUACAUCAAAAUCAAUCUAAAUAUUCACCAACACAUUCGCAAGAAAGACAAAAUAAAUGUAAUAAACAAAGUUAAAUGUUAAAACCUUGAUUAUCUAACAUCAAUUAGCAUAAUAUUUGGCCAAAAUUAAGAUAGAAUAUUAAUAAAUAACUUGCACAAUUAUCUCACUAUCAUUAUGUUUUCUUACGGUUUCCUCCAAAGCUGCACCUCCCUCCCUCCCUCCCUCCCUCCCUCUCUCUCUCUCUCCAUUCUUUGAAUUGCCAAAAUGACAAAACAUUCUGUUGAUGUAUUCAUUUAUACAAGGGCAACUGUGACAUUUUCCAUUCAAUGGUUAGUUUAGAUAUUUUUCGUCUCAUUUUCGAUUUAGUUGAAAGCACAGUAGUUAAAGUGUAGAAUUUCAAAUACAAAGGGAGAUAAAUUGAACAUUUGGCAAACUACAUAAGGGUUUUUGGCAUUUUACCCUAAAAACAAUAAGGACUACUUUAUAUACAAACCAAAUGUGCGAGAAUUAUAGUCCUAGUCCCUGAUAUUUGGCUUGUGUGCCAAAUUGGUUCCUAAUGUUUCGUUCAAAAUAAAUCUAGCCCUCAAAAUUUGUAAUUUUAUGCAGAUUUAGGACAAUUAAUAGAAAUAGAACAAUGACUAACAGCAAUAUCAAAUUGCAGAAACUUUGACAUUGCACAUUUGGUUCCCAAUAUUUUGAUUUUGAAUCAUUAUAUAGUUUUUUAAAUUUUAAAUAGUGAUAUUAAGGAUUUUAGCAUGAAUUGAGAUGCAAAUUAGGCAAAAAUAUUGCUAAAUGGGUAAUAAAAAUUCUAAUUAUACUUCUUUUUCUUCUUUUUUAUUUAUUCAUUCUAAUAAUGUAUCAUAUGUUUAUUUCUUUUGCAUAGUUGGUCUCAAAUUUAGUAUAAUAUGUUGAUAUUAUUAUUUCUUAUAAUAAUUAAUUCAUAAUAAGUUUUUAUUUUUGUAAUAAUAAAAAAAAUUUAAUUAAUUAUCUUUGUUAAAUAUAAGAAAUAUAUCCUUUUCGUAAAUUAAGUUGAUUUUUUUUUGGAAUUUUAAUAGGUUAUCAAUUGAGUUUGAAAUGAAGUUGACAUUUUAUACACAUUAUAUGAACUAUUAAAUGAUUAUCAAGGUACAUAGAUAUUAAAAUAAAUGCUUUAAAACUAUAAUAUGGACUUUUAGUUUUAUGGCAAGAAAGAAGAAAAAAGCGGAUAGAUUUCUUAACAAUUCUUUAAGUCACUUCAUAUUGAUACUUAUCAUCACUAGUUUUUAUAAGUGCAAUGACCAACUACAAGAAUAUGAGACUUAUGUGCACAAGACAUGUAAUAAUUUUUAUAAAAGUAUCUAUAAUAAUCUAAGUUUAUAAUAGUUUUCUCCCUAUAAUCUAAGUUUAUUAUCAUAAGUUUUCUCCCUAUAAUCUAAUUUUAUAAUAAUUACUACUACAAAAAUUGUUGUGCCUUGUACACGUACACUUUAAAUUUUUGUAGAUACCCAUUUUACUUAUAAAAACUAGUGAUGUUGAGUAUCAAUGUGAAGUAAUUUUAAAAAUUCUUAAGAUAAUUAUCUUUUAUUUUUUGUUGUCUUUCUUGCCACUUAAAAUCUAACAUUUAGAUUUAAAACCUUGAUUAUCUUGUACUGAUAUAUCAGAAGUAUUAACUUCUAGGUUACCACUUUAUGCUUCUAACAUAUUGAAGUAUUAAGUACUAAAGUAGACAAUAUUCCAAAACCUUUAACUAGUUUUCCAAAUGAUAUAUCAGCACCUCAUUUUCAACCCAGAAGUCUUCCAAGAAAUAGUGGAUAAGAGUUAGUACAAAAUAUAAGUCCAACUAAUACUGUACUUAAUAGAAUAUCACAAUCAUUACAAUCCUUAACUAAUACACCAAGAAUUAAUACAAUAGAUAGUGGAAUUACUAAUGAACAAUUAACAUCUGCAUCCUCAGAAGAAGAAUCUGAAUCCUCAGAAGAAGAAAUAGAAGUAAUAACUCUAAUAGAGCAACAAUUUAAAGAGGAAAUAGAUAAUCAAAUCAAUAAAAUAAAACGAAGAAAGAAUUAUAGGAAAAAUUGGAAAAUAGUUGAUACAAGAAAUUAUUACUCUUGACCAACUCCUCCAGAUAUUCAAUGUGAAGAAAGAUCAAAAUUUCGUACUACAAAAUAUGAUGGAGAUUCAAUAUAUGAAUGGAAUAUAGAUGGAAAAAUAUGAUAUGAAAUAUUAAACACACUCCAAGAAAUGGGAAUGGCAAGAUUAGCUUAUAAAUUAAAAAAUAUUCAAGAAAGAAACGCAGCAACUUUAUUAGUAUCCGGAUUCACAGGACAACUAAAAAAUUGGUGGGAUAAUACUCUAAGUCUCCAAGAUAAACUUGCAAUUUUUAAUCAUACAAUAGAAGUUGAGGACACAGAAGGAAAGAUUCAACCUCAAUCAGAUGCAGCAGAAUUUUUAAUAGUAACAUUAGCCAUGUAUUUUGUAGGAAAUCCAAAAGAAGAAUUAAAUGCUAAUAAAGCAUUUUUAACAAAUUUAAUAUGUCCAACUUUAUCAGAUUUUAGAUGGUAUAAAGAUAUGUUUCUAACCAAUGUAUUAAGUGUGAGAGCCCGUAAAUUUUUCCAUUUUCUAGGGUUUUAUCCUAUUUAAUGGCAUGUUUUUCUGCAUUUCUUUAUUAGGAAAAAUUUUCUAGAUAAUUUUUAUGAGUAAAUAUAGUUUUUAGAUGAUUUUUCUAGUAUCGGUUGGUUUUUGAGAAAUUAAGAGCGUAUAUCGGACGUGGGACCCGCUAGUGCGGAAAGUUCGAAAAAAUUCGGCCAAUUAGGUUAAGUUUUGGAUACCGGGUUUACUUUAGCAGGUGUUAAGAGAUAACUAGAGGUUACCAAAUGGAUGAGAGUGGAGAGACAAAAGGAUAACCAUGCAUUUAAUGAAAGUGACAAGUGUCACUUGGAGAUUAAUUCUUACUUUUGACCACUAUUCACCAUUUUACCAAAUAAACCAAAAAUUGACCAAAAAUCUCUUCAUUUCAAGCUUCUCAUGGCCGGCUAUCUUCAAAGGAAAAUGAAGGAAAAGUUUUCAAUUUUCUAGUCUCCAAUCUUGCUCAAUCCAACAAAUCAACCGAUUAAUCUUGUAUUUGCUCCAUAAAACCCCUUAAGUUAGUGAUUGUGAGGUGAUUAGUGAAGUGGUUUGGAAGGCUAAGGUGCUAAGUUGUCUCUUUUCCUUGGUUGCUAAGGUGAGUGGUUAAGGAACCUCUCUUUUCUCUCUAAUGAUGUCAAAUUAAUGACUUGCGUUGGUUAAAUGUGUGAUUGGGUGAAAGAUUUCUUGAUUUUGGUUGAAGUUGGUGAAGUUUUAUAUUUAUUCAUGAUUUUUCUGUUUUAAUAUGAUUCAUGUGGUGUGGCCAUGAAUGAUGGUCUAGUAUGAGUUAGAAUGAAGCUUUGGUAUGAUAGUUGUAAUGAUUAGUGGAAAAUUCCUGGUUUGAAGCAAAAAUUUCCAGAUUAGGGUUUCCAUUUUUUUCCCUUCUGCCCGGUACUAUUUCACCUUGUUAGAGGCUGAACUAGCCUUAGCACAAAACAUGAAAGUUGUAGAGAAUGAUGUUUUAUAGUUUCCUGCAAAAUUUCAGCUCAAUCGGAGCAACGUAGCCUAUGAAAAGAUCAAAAUACCCCUGCUGCCCUGUUUCUACCCGAACAUGCUAAUCAGCUUCUGUAAUUAGUUGUUUUGACCAGGAAUGCUACUGAUUUGGUUGUUGAUGUCUUCUUAAGACUUAUAGCCUUGUGUCUUAGCUUUCAAAUGUCUUUGGAAUCACUUGAAUUGGAGUUGUAUAUGCUGAGAUAUGACUGAAUGAAUCCGGACGGCCACAGUACAUUUCGAACUGGGAAAUCUGGGGUUGUUUUGGGUAAAUUUGACCUCUAUAUAUUGCAAACUGGACUGAGUGGCCUUCUUCAACAUUGUAUCCUUUUCUCUUAGCUUCGAAACGGUGUAAAUUACACCUCAAUCCGACGAGGAUAGCUUCAGUUGUGUUAAUUCCGCUAAGCAACAGCAAAUCUGUCUUUUGUUUUCCAACCCAAACUCCGUUUCCGCAUAUGUCCUAAUUUGAUUUUGCACUUAUACAUUCCAUAUGAUUUUACUCUAGUGAUAUGUGGACUCGGUUUAUGACUCGUAUUCGAGCCUUAUUGUGGCUCUAACUAAAGGUGUUUGAUAGCUUGUGAUUUGUGGGUGUUGAGGUUUGGUUGGAAAGUAAAGAAAGACAAGGGAAAUGCUGUCAAAAAUUUCGCGGGAGCUUCUGCGCAGUCUUGGGAGAUUUGCUAUAUCUUGAUGUAGAAAUGUCAGAAUUGAGUUCUGUUUAUUGUGCUUUAAACUAGAUUCAUAGGGCUAUAAACCAUGUAAAUUUUAGACCCUGUUUCUAUCUGUGUAAUUUAUGGUGAUUUUUCAAAGUUGACUAAAAUAUUGUACCUGUUCUGUCUUCCACUGGAUAAAGCAGCAACUUGCAGCUUGAAUUCGACUGACUUGCGUUCCGAAUCUUACCAUGGUGUUUUCUAGCAAGUUAUAGCCCUUUGAAUGUAUUUUCCAACGGUAUAACUUUUAAUUUUGGACUUACAAAACUUGAGAUAUGAUUUUUCAUAUAGGGUUGCGCGAAACUGGAAAAUCCUGUUUUUCUAGUAUUAACCUUACUUUCGUUUUCUACUUCAAAUUUGGAGUUGGUCAAUCAUUGUAGGUAGAGUUUUGAGGUUAUUCAUGCCUUUAGAACUAAUUGUUACCUUUUCACUCCGAGGUCACCUCUUUGCUUUGCAUUAAUAGUUCUUUUGACUAGGCAUAUGGCUCGUAACCGAGUCUCACUUGCGAAUUCCAUACUAGGUCUUGGAGUCGAGUCUUAAGUGUUUGCCUUGAUUGUUCUAGGAGGUGCCGACGAUUAAAGCCAGUUUGAAGUGAAAUUUUUUGAAGCACCCGUACUUGAAUCGGUGAGUGUACCACUCCCCUCACUUGUUAUUUAACUCGGUUUCUGUACAUGCAAUCUGUGAUAUGAACGUCUGAACUAUCUGUUUAUUUUGUUGGAGACGAGGGUGUACUUUAUCACACUCGUUCUCUUCUCUGUUCAUAUGCCAAUUUUGGUGCGAAUCUGAAUCUGUUAUCUGUAUCUGUAUCUGUAUCUGUAUCUGUAUAUGUUAUCUGUAUCUGUAUCUGUAUCUGUUCUGAUGUCGUUUGGAAGCUGGUAUCCAACGACCUUUCUGUGACCUCUGAGUUCAACACCUGUGGUUAGUUACUCGAGUCGGACCGGCAAGGGUCUGAUCGAUUAGAUAACGAACCACGGUAGUCUGUUUUGGGAUCUUUGGGUAUUGAGACCCUUAAUUCCGGUAUACUCGAGUAUUACCAUUUCUGAACUGAUUGGAGUUCGGGCCCGGUAGGGGUAUGUGAGGUGGAAAGAAUCGGAGAAAGUGGAGUCUACGGUAUUGGUUACUCUUUUAGUGUUGACGGAGUGUCAACUAUUAUUUCGAUCAAGUUUCGGUGAAGCAAAUGGGAAUUUGGCUCCUGAGAGCCACCCGUAUCCUUUCUGUCUAUGGUGUUUGUUCAUUUCUUUAUUUGAUUCGCAUGUGUGAUUAAUUGAAUAUGAAGUUCCACGUUUCUUACUUGCUAUUAUUUUGGUACCUCAUUGAGCGUAAGCUCACCCCCUUCCCGUUAUCUUUGUUUUCCUUACAGGGAACCAUUUUUGGGGCUAAGAUGUUUCGAAACACGAGUCGAGCUAGUUUUAAUAUAUUUUUGCAAAGCUCACCCUAAAUGUAUUUUGAUCUAAUUAUUUUCUUUUAUUUCGUAAAUUACAAACGUAUGUGUAUAAAACUAUUUACCCUGUUCAUGUAUGCUAUUUGGAUUGGAAAUGUUUUCCCGAGUUAUAAGGCCAUAUCUGUAUUCGUUUGGCUCCUGGUUGGAUGGUGAUGUGGCAACCACUAUUCAUUGUGGUUUCGAUUUUCGUUUUGCCAUUUGGCGACAUCGAAUCGUUUGAGCGCGCUAUUACCUUCCUGAACGUUUUCGAUUUCAUUUAACUGCUCGAUAGUUCUGGCGAGAGUUGGGCAGGCAGUCCGCUAACCCGUUUAGUACGCCUUAGGGGAAGGUGGCGCUGUCACAUUAAGAAGACCAGAUUGUAAUGCUUCAUUUUGGAAAGAAAGAUUUAUAACUGGAUUACCAAAUUUAUUCUCCCAACAAAUUAUGAAAAAUUUACAAAAGGAAAUGGGAAUUGAAGUAAUUUCAUUCGAAAAUAUUUUUAUUGGACAAUUGUUUGCUCUUUGUCAAAAAGGAAGGAUUAGCUUUAUGUUCUGAAUUAAAACUUCAAAUAAAAUAUGGAUCGGAAAGAAAAGAAGUAGGAUCAUUCUAUGAAACCUUUGGAAUUAAAUGAAUCAACUCCCCAUCAUCAAGCAAUAAGAAGAAUGAUAAAAGAAGUAAAAAAUAUAGAAAAAUUUUAAUAAUGAAUAUUAUGAUAAAAAUAAAUACAAAAGAAAAUUUCGAAAAAAUAAAAGAGUAUGUUGGAAAUGUGGAAGAAUGGGGCAUAAAGUAGAUAAAUGUAAACUGAAAGAAAAAAUAAAUGAAAUAUGUGCUGAGGAAGAUGAAAUAAAAAAUAAGUUAAUAACACUACUAAUAAAUGAAAAAGAACAAAAUACGGAAGAUGACUAUUAUAAUGAUUUAUCUAGUUCAGAAGAACAAGAAGAUUGUAAUUGUUCAAAGGUCUCAAAAUAUAUAAAUGUCAUUAAAAAAAAGGAAGAUAAAGAAUUUUUAUUAGAUAUUAUAGAAAACAUAGAUGACCCUAAAACUAAAAACGAAUUUUUAGAAAGAUUAAAAUAUAUAAUUUUACAAGAAGAUAAAAUGCCAAAAAUAAUAGAACCUUUUAGUAUUUCAAAACUAAUAGAUAAAUGCCCAAAUAUGAACAACAUAAGAAAAGAAACUACAAAAGAUCUUCAAAUAGAAAUUAAUAAUCUAAAAACACAAGUAAAACAAUUACAAAAUGAAAUAUUAGAAAUAAAAACAAAAGACUUAGAAAUUGAAGCAAGAAUAUCAUUAAUAAAAACUAUAGAUCAACCUUCUAUAUCUAAGACAGAUGAAAUAGUUAUUUCGAAAAACCCAUCAGAUGAAAAACAAUAUUUAAAUACAAUUGAAAAAAUAACAUUUCAAAAAUGGUAUGUAUUAGUUACUGCAAUGAUAGAAGAUUUUAAAGAAACGUUUGUAGCUUUAUUAGAUAGUGGAGCAGAUCAGAGUUGCAUAAAAGAAGGAUUAAUCCCAACAAAAUAUUGUGAGAACAAAUGAAGAAUUAAGAGCUGCAAAUGGAGAAAAAUUACAAGUAAAAUAUAAAUUUACCAAGGGAUCAAUAUGCAAUAAUAAUUAUUGUAUAAGACGUAAUUUCAUUGUAGUAAAAAAUAUUCACAUAGAUGUAAUUCUAGGAACACCCUUUUUUAUUCAAAUAUAUCCUUUUGCUGUAAAUAGUGAAGGAGUUCACGUAAAUAUUAUGGGAAAAACUAUAAUUUUCAAAUUUAUAACACCAAUAAAACAAAAAUAAUUACUAGUAUUACAAUCCUCUUCUAUUUAUAAAACAAUAAAUACUAUUCAAUACGUUAAACAACAAAUAAAUUAUAUUAAAGAAGAAAAAUCAUAUUUAAAAAUAGAAGAACAAUUAAAAAGGGAAGUAUGUGUAAAAAUUUUUUUUAAUUAGAACAAAUAAUAAAAAGGGAAGUAUGUGCAGAAAUACCAAAUGCAUUUUGGAAUAGAAAAAAGCAUAUAAUCAAUUUACCCUAUGAAAAGGAUUUUAAUGAGAAAAAUAUCCGAACAAAAUAGUUCAAUAUUUAGAUUUAAAACCCCCGUACCAGAGGUAAUACAUCAAAAUCAAUCUGAAUAUUCACCAACACAUUCGCAAGAAAGACAAAAUAAAUGUAAUAAACAAAGUUAAAUGUUAAAACCUUGCUUUUCUAACAUCAAUUAGCAUAAUAUUUGGCCAAAAUUAAGAUAGAAUAUUAAUAAAUAACUUGCACAAUUAUCUUGCUAUCAUUAUGUUUUCUUACGGUUUCCUCCAAAGCUUCACCUCCCUCCCUCCCUCCCUCUCUCUCUCUCCCUCCCUCUCUCUCUCUCUCUCUCUCUCUCUCUCCAUUCUUUGAAUUGCCAAAAUGACAAAACAUUCCGUUGAUGUAUUCAUUUAUACAAGGGCAACUGUGACAUUUUCCAUUCAAUGGUUAGUUUAGAUAUUUUUCGUCUCAUUUUCGAUUUAGUUGAAAACACAGGAGUUAAAGUGUAGAAUUUCAAAUACAAAGGGAGAUAAAUUGAACAUUUGGCAAACUACAUAAGGGUUUUUGGCAUUUUACCCUAAAAACAAUAAGGACUACUUUAUAUACAAACCAAAUGUGCGAGAAUUAUAGUCCUAGUCCCUAAUAUUUGGCUUGUGUGCCAAAUUGGUUCCUAAUGUUUCGUUCAAAAUAAAUCUAGCCCUCAAAAUUUGUAAUUUUAUGCAGAUUUAGGACAAUUAAUAGAAAUAGAACAAUGACUAACAGCAAUAUCAAAUUGCAGAAACUUUGACUUUGCACAUUUGGUUCCCAAUAUUUUGAUUUUGAAUCAUUAUAUAGUUUUUAAAAUUUUAAAUAGUGAUAUUAAGGAUUUUAGCAUGAAUUGAGAUGCAAAUUAGACUAAAAUAGUGUUAAGUAGGUAAUAAAAAUUCUAAUUAUACUUCUUUUUCUUCUUUUUUUAUUUAUUCAUUCUAAUAAUGUAUCAUAUGUUUAUUUCUUUUGCAUAGGUGGUCUCAAAUUUAGUAUAAUAUGUUUAUAUUAUUAUUUCUUAUAAUAAUUAAUUCAUAAUAAGUUUUAUUUUUCUAAUAAUAAUUAAAAAAUUAAUUAUUUAUCUCUUUUAAAUAUAAGAAAUAUAUCCUUUUCAUAAAUUAAAUUGAUAUUUUUUUGGAAUUUUAAUAGGUUAUCAAUCGAGUUUGAAAUGAAGUUGACAUUUUAUACAUAUUAUAUGAACUAUUAAAUGAUUAUCAAGAUACAUAGAUAUUAAAAUAAAUGAUUUAAAACUAUAAUAUGGACUUUUAGUUUUAUGGCAAGAAAAAAGAAAAAAAAAGGAUAGAUUUCUUAACAAUUCUUUAAAUCACUUCAUAUUGAUACUUAUCAUCACUAGUUUUUAUAAGUGCAAUGGCUAACUACAAGAAUAUGAGACUUAUGCGUACAAGAUAUGUAUUAAUUUUUGUAAAAGUAACUAUAAUAAUCUAAGUUAAUAAUAGUUUUCUCCCUAUAAUCUAAGUUUAUUAUCAUAAGUUUUAUCCCUAUAAUCUAAUUUUAUUAUAGUUACUACUACAAAAAUUGUUGUGCCUUGUACACGUACACUUUAAAUUUUUGUAGAUACCCAUUUUACUUAUAAAAACUAGUGAUGGUAAUUAGGGAUGACAACGGGGACGGGUACCCGCGGGCAUCCGAGGGGGUCAUUGGGGCGGGUCCCCGCCCCGCCACCUGUUUGAAAAAAAUAUAUAUGUACAUAAUUAUAUAUACAUAAUGAUAUUAUCAAUUAUACUACUAAUUAUACAUAUCUAUUAAUAAAAAAUAUUAAUUAUUUAUACUAAAUUUAUUAAUACAUUUAUGUUAAAUUUCUAACUACACUUAAUACAAUAACACUUUUUUCUAAAAAAAUACAAUAAUAAUUUAGUGAUUGUAUUUGUAUUAAAAGUGAAAACUUGAUUAUUUUAGUUAUAUUUGUUUUAUCAUAUUAGAUUGUAUUCAAAUAACCUUUGUUUAAUUAUUUUUAUGAGUUUCAAUUGUGAAGUUACAAUGAAUAAUAAUUUGGCGAUGCGUUGAUAUUUUAGUACUUGAUUAUUUGUUCAAAUUUAAUUAUAAUAAAAUUAUAUAAUAAAAUUUUUUUAACCCCACAGGUGCCCCCGCGGGGAAAGCGGGAUGGGGGGGGACGGGGCGGGGGCGGGGGCGGGGGGAAUUAAAAUGUAACGGGGCGGGGGUUGGGGGAGGUGUCCCUCGCCCCAUUGCCACACCCUAAUGGUGAUGAGAACAUGAAGAUGAAUCGGUUCGCAUUAGAUGGUGAGCAUUAAUGUGAAGUAAUUUUAAAAAUUCUUAAGAAAAUUAUCUUUUAUUUUUUGUUGUCUUUCUUGCCACCUAAAAUCUAACAUUUCAAUAUUGUAGUUUUAAAGCAUUUAUUUUAAUAUCUAUUUACCUUGAUAAUCAUUUAAUGGUUCGUAUAAUGUGUAUAAAAUGCUGACUUCAUUUCAAACUCAAUUGAUAACUUAUUAAUGUUAAAAAGAAAGCAACUUAAUUUACAAAAAGCUUAUCACCUUAAUUUACAAAAAGCAUACAUUCCUUAUAUUUAAAGGGAUAUUUAAUAAAGUUUUAAUUAUUAUUAGAAAUAAAGAUAAUAAAACUCAUUUUCAAUUAAUUAUGAAUAGUGAGAAACAAUAAUAUACAUUUAUUAUAGCAAAUUUGAGACUAAAUAUAUACAAAAAUAACCAUUUGAUAUAUUAUUAGCAUGAAUAAAUAAAUAAAAAUAAAAAUAAGAAGAAAAGGAAGUUUAAUUAGCAUUCUUGUUACCCAUUUAAUGUUAUAUCAUUCUAAUUUGCAUCUCAAUGAAUGCUAAAACAUUUAAUAUCACUAUUUAAAAUUUAGGGAAAUAUAAUGAUUUAAAAUUAAAACAUUUGAGACCAAAAGUGUAAAAACAAAGUUGUUGACUAAUAGCAGUUGAUUGAUCAUCAAUCAUUUUUUCAUUUCUGUUAGUUACUCGAAAUCUGUCUUAAAAUCACAAAGUUUGGGGACUAAAGUGACUUUAAUCAAAAUAUUAAGGACUAAGUUGAUACAUAGGCCAAAUAUUAGAUACCAAAGCUGCAAUUCUCCCGCAGCGAAUUUGAUUCUUAUCAACGUGCAUCCUUGACACAAAAGUUGGACUUUAGUGAGCUUUCAUUUUCAAUUGGAGCUUUCGUUUUCCAAGAAAAGAAAAGAAAGAAGUAAUGGCUGCAGCAGGAGCAGAACAUGAGGUACUCAAACAAGAAGAGUACCUUGAUGUCCUCACUAAAACUCGUCAGAAAACUGGCAUUUCAAAACCCAGGUGAUUAAUUCCUCCCUCUCUUCAUAUCAACAAAGAAGUGAAGAAUCCUAAGAAAUCAAGAAUUCAAUGAACUUAUUGGCUUUUGUGGAAAUCGCAGAUCAGAAAAGUGAAAUAACAAUAAGAAAAUCAACUGAAAACUUUGAUUGCAAUUGUUUAAAUUAUGGUAAUAAAGUUGCUGGAUAGUGCCAAAAAGGAAAACUUUUAGAUGUUCUUAGCGUUUAAUGGCUGGAGUAACGUUAACUUGGUUAUUGUUUACUCUACCACAUAUAUUCCUGUAUUUGGAUUUCUGAUGGGGCAGAAAUGAUGGAGUCUUUGGUUUUUUGAAGUGGGAGAUAAUAUAUUUGACAAGGGAGGUCUUUGAUGGCUAUUUUAAGUUGUUUUAAUUUCCUGAACGACAUGGUUUUGUCGAUGCUUUACUAUAAGCACCAAAGAAGAGGGAGACAUAAUUGUGUGUAUGUAGCAGGGUUCUUGUGAAAUUUGUGGACAGUUAUUCUUAGAUUAUCUAGCACUUAAUAUUUGUUAUUGCUUAAGUUCUGGGUCAGGAAACAAUACCAUGUUUCUUUUUCCGUGUAAAUCUGAAAUUUUAUUUAUUCAUAUCCGUUAGUUUUGCACUUGAAUUGCUGGUGGUAGUAGAAUGAUAUGGGCGGAUUACUUCUCAUCAAUCCUCCAGAACAUGCCAUUAAAGUUUAUGUUAUAGGUUACAUCACCUGAGUGUGAGAAUGUAUUGGUUAGGUACUGAUGGAGUUUAGUGGCAUUUUGACUGCUUUCGGAUUGUCAGAAGCUUGUUAUGAACACAUUUGAAUCAACCGAACAAAAUCCUUAUUCCACAUUAUCUGGCUAUAUGUACGCAAAGAGAUUCUUAGAUACAUGCAUUUACCAAUGGAAGCACAGAGGAAGUAGGAUGUCUAAAUUUACACAAUGAUCAAGGAAUUUGUAAUUUUUAUAAUUCUUUUCUGAUGUCUUGGGAUUAAGGUUUUGUUACUUGCAUAGGGGAGAUGUUCAUAGAGACGGGGACUACCAUGGAGCUGUUCAUGUGUGGAUAUAUUCCGAGAGUACUCAUGAAUUACUUCUUCAACAACGUGCUGACUGUAAGGAUUCAUGGCCUGGGUUGUGGGAUAUAUCUAGUGCUGGUCAUGUAUCUGCUGGCGAUUCUUCCCUAGUCUCAGCAAUGUAUGUUAAUGAAUUUAUAUUCAUGCUAUAGGCAUGCGCCUACACACAAUACUCAUUCUACUUAUCGAAAUUUAUGUUAAUUCCAAGCUUCCCUGAGUUUCUAUUGCUACACUGGCACAAAACUGGCCUAACAUGGGCUCUUUUAUAUUCCAGAUAGUCACUCCCCAUUUUCAUUCUCUGAGUCUGGGAUCCACCACUUUCUGACUGACAUGUUUGACAACCUACAUGAUCUUCCAUUAAAUCUUAUAAAACAAUUAGAGUUCUCAUUCGACAACUUUAAGUCAUACGUUAUUUGCAGCUCAAGUGCUUGAUGUGGAAUAUAACUAAUUCAUUUGUUUUUUCAUUUUGGAGUAUGAGGGUAACCUGCUAAUUUUAGAUCUGAUGAAAGAAAGAAGUUGCUAUAGGAUCAACAUCAAAGUAAACAUGAGAAAAUAAUCAACUAGGUAAUGUGUUAUUUUAGAGAACUUUUGUAUUAGCAGCAAAGCUGUUAAAAAUAUCAGGAGAACAAGUUUAAAGCCUAAUUUGGUUGGAAUCUAUAGCUUGUUUUUCCACAGAGAUUACAAUUUAUUGGAGAAUUCCAACCAGGAAUGCUUUAAGUGCACUCCUCCAAGGGCCAAACAUAAGACUGCCAAAGCAUGUACAGUCAAUCGUGGAUGUUUCUUAAACUGAGUUAUUUCCUUAUAGUAGGAUUUGAAAAUUGGUGGGUUGUCCAACCUCUUCUCCUGUUUCAAACAACUUCGGAUUAGCACUGUUUGAGAGCAUUUAUCUGGGAUUCAACUCUAUCCCUAUACCUAUGCUGAAGUUUGAGUGGGCUGCAUUCGAAAGCUAUAUACAAAAGAUGCUUGCGGUCUCUAGUAGUAUAGAAAAAUGAUAUAGCAUACUAGACCUCAUUUUAAUAUAGGCAAUUUUCUGGUUGUACUAUUUACCACUUGAGCAUGGGCAAGUUAUAAAUGUGUAUGUAAUAACCACCUACAUAUUUUGUAAGUGCAUGAAGUGUUUCAUGCAUUUAACUCUUUUAAUGGCCAGGAUUUUGAUAUGAUUUUUCUGAUCCUUUUUAUUUACUCUUCUCUUCUGGUUUGAAAUUUCUUUUCUGUUGGCCUCAGCUUGAUAUAGAAGUUUUGCUUGCCUCAGGAGGGAGCUUCAUGAAGAGCUUGGGAUACUACUUCCAAAGGACGCCUUUGAAUUGAUUUUUGUUUUCCUUCAAGAGUGGUUAGCACAUACAUCUUAUUAGAUAGUCUUAAGUCUUAUUUUGUUCAUCCAAAUAAGUCUUUCUUGCAUCAUCGAAAUUUAUCCAGUGUCAAGAUUUAUGCAAUUUUCCGGUUUGAAUUCUCUUCUCUUGGUUGAAAGUAUGGACACUAGAUUUGAUUUUGACUUACUGUAACUUGUCUUAUUUCAAAUCAUUUCAUUUUGAAAUUUCUGUUGGUAAGUUAUACAUUUGUAAAUUGAGACACAAGGUGUUUUGAAGAAACAUGUAAGAGAGAAAAAAGAUGAAAAUCAAGAUUGGCUCAGGGCAUAGUUAGGGUUUGCCAGGUAAAGUAUAGCAUAAGUACAUAGUCUGUUCUCCUAUUUACACGUCUGAGAGGUGUAACUCUAUACAUGUUGAGGAAGUUUUUCUGAUUGUGGAGCCUGUGAAAUUGAAUGAAUCUUGUUCUUCUCUUUAUCAAUAUCAGGAUAAAGAACCACAACAAUUCAGCCUAAUCUUUACUUGAGUGUGCUUAUGAGAGAGAUAUUGAUGUCAUUCUGUUGAGUUAUUAGUUAUGAGGGUUCCUGGAAAACAAUUUUUUGUCCUCUCAUUUCUUUUCCUUUUGGUGAUUGAUGCUCUUCCUUUCUAAUUUUCAUCCCAUCCUGCUGCUUCUAAAAGUUCUAUCUUUGUUAAUUGUGUUGAUAUAUGAUCUGACAAAGAUUCAGAAAUAAAGAUUAAGUAUGAGAUGAAAACUUGCUUCUAAAAGUUCUAUCUUUGUUAAUUGUGUUAAUAUAUGAUCUGACAAAGACAGGUGCCUCUUUUCAGAAAUAAAAAUAAGUAUGAGAUGAAAACUUGCCAGUAAUGUUCAGAAUAUUUUUCUCUGCUUGUGGUGAUUAUGUUUGGAUCCUCCUGUUAUAUGUUCCAUACUAGUAAUGAGUAAUUUAAGUCAAUUAUUUCACAUUUCAUGUUUAUUUCCAUGCCAGCCUCAUGCCAUUAAAAACGCUCUUGUUCUUAAAACAUCUGCAGUUGCAUAAUUUAUUAUUCUGUGAUUGAUUAUUCUCUGAAUGUGAUAUGUGUAGCUUUAGGAUCAGUAUAGGAGCAAAGGAAUGUACGUGGUAAAAGGAAUGGGGUAAACAGAAAAUGAGGGAAAAAUCAAGUACCAAGAGGAAAAGACAGAAAUGGGGCUUUCUUGUAUCUGUUAUUCAGUGUCCGUCUUCAUGAAAGAUAUGGAAGUUAUUGUCCUGAGACUUGUGUCUAUACUAACAUAGUAACUUCCACGUCGUGGCCCAGAUUUCUUCUUUUUUUUUUUUCAGUUAUAUCCAUUACAGGUCUACAUAAUCUGACUAUUUUGAUAUCCAUGGUUUAAAAAAUGUACGAGAAUAACAAUAAAAGUUUGACUAUUUUUUGUGCCAAAAGAAUGUGUUUUUGAGGUGUAGUUCCCAUUUCAACCGUAAGUAAUUUCAGGUUACUCUCCUUAUUUUAUAGAUUCUGUAGAAAUAUUGUCUCCAGUACCUAACUACAGCUUCUUGGAAUUUGUUUUAGCUGGAUGAUAUAUUUUCUUGAUACAAUAUUCAUGUCCUGUUACUGGAAACCAUGAAUUCUCACCACUUUUUUGUGCAGUGUGAUAAAUGGUGGUACAUUCAUUAACAACGAAUUUAAUGAUGUAUAUGUGGUUACGACAUUGGAUCCAAUUCCUUUGGAGGCUUUUACUCUUCAGGUAAGAGUCUGACAUUGUCUUUUAACUAUUCUCUACCUUCUAUGAACAACUAAACAUGAGUUUUCAUCUCAUCUUUGUCCUUUUGACCUGAAAUAACUGUGAUGGAAGUGUUGUUUUUGUUCUCAACUUAAAACAUUUCGACUUAUACAUAUAAUCAUCGCAUAAUCACAUUAAUAAAUUAUGUCAUGCUGUGCCUUGUAAUCUGUGUCUUGGUCUUAGAGUUGCUUUUUCUGUUACAUGUUCUGUUGUUUUAAGUUCCCUACCAUGAAUGUUCUAACAGUAUAGAAGUCACUGUAAUAUAAAGUUCUUAAACUAAAUUAUUCUAAUUUAUGUACCUUGACUGUGCUUUUGUUGAGGAUUAGUUCAAGAAAUGUAUUUGCCACCCGCAACAUAGAACCUUUUUCAUGUGCAAUAGAAUUUUCUUUUUUGAUGGUUUUCUGUAGUAAUAUUUAGUUGCAAGAUUUAUAAUUGUAGAAAAUGACUGAAAAUUGCUUUGGCAUAAAUUUGUCGGUGGAGUUGAAAUUCAAAUCAAUAAAACACCUGGGCUAUUUGAGGCUUAAGUGGGAGAUUACAACCCUGCCUUUGUACUGCCACUUCUCACCAAUUUUAGUGCAACAAAAGAUGGAGAUGGUCAUGCAGUCCUUUCGGUUGGUCAAUUGAGGCUCUUUUGUGAAAAAUAGGAAAAGUCACAUGGUGUAUGAUGGCAAGGUGGGUAUCGUGGUAGGCAUCUUGGUAGUCAAGAUUUUAUGAGCUGAAGGUACAUUAAGCAUCCAUGGGUGGGGAGGAGUCUGUUGGUGUAAAUCAUCAACUUAGAUUUCUGUUGUGUUUCUGACGCAGCACGAACACUUGGUAGGCACAACAGCGUUGUAGAAGGGCUUAUAUAUUGAAUAUCACCAAACUUAAAAUAGCAACUUGAAAUAGGCUGGCAGAUUAUGCUUAAGAAGGUAAAACUGGUUGGUAGUUCUAGGAAUCACUCCUAGGAAUCUUUAGGCCUCACACCUAAAGUUGGGAUGCAUCACACAGCCCUAAGGGAGACGUUAAGUCUGCAGGAAUAUUUUAUUAAUGACCAAAAAACUGCCUUCUCUUUGUGGAGAAGUUGAUAUUUAUAGACACUAGGACAAAUCCCUUUCCAAUCCUAAUUAAGAUUCCUAACUAGAAUAGAAUUAUAACUGGAAAGCUAGAAGGCUAAGCUUUCUUAUUCCCUAUAACAACCAAAUUACUAAUUACCAAGAAUAACUACUAAACAAAAAAAAUUACUGUAAACAUAAAAUUCCUGCAGCUAAUUCAAAUUACCAAAAUACCACUGCUGACAGAAAUCAGAAAAUAAACUCCAUAGGAUUCAGGCCAACUCCCAAGUUGGUUCCUUGUCAUCAAAAGCAUGCCAAAUCAAUGCCUGGGCAUUCGACAUAUCCUUCCCACGUCUCCUAUAAACCUUAGUGGACUUUUGCCACUUAUCGCUAUCAGUUUCAGAAUCAGGAUAUUCUCAUCAUUUCCCUUCUUGUAGUUUCAAGGAGAAUUAUAGUAUUAGAAUUUACUAUACACUGCCUACUACUCAGACUAACAUGAGAUAAUUGCUGAUCUACUAAAAAAGGAACAGGUUGCUGAUAAUUUUAGAUAAUGACUACAUCUUCUUGAGAAGUUUAUUAGGUGGUUAUGCUGAUAUUUCUCCUUUAAAUUACUACAACUAAAUCUUAUAAUUUUUGUGACCCAUCUGAUGAUAAUUGCAAAAGUGUUAUAAAAGUAUUCUCAACAUCCAAUUUCCUGUUUAUUUAUAUUGACCGCCAUCUCCUUGUUACCCUUUACUUUGCAUCACCUCCUUCGAGUUAACAAGAGGCAAGUUGAUGUCAAAUGAUGUGAGGCAAGUUGAAGUCAAAUGAUGUGGAUGAGGAGUACUUUUAGGGAAAAAUGGCAGUUGGGAAUGGGUUGAUCUGCCAAAGGUCAAAGUACGUUGGAAGCAAGUAGGUGUACAUCAUCAUGUUAUGAGAACUCAUCUCUGGAGAACUAUGGCAGCUGAUUGCAAAAGGAUAAAAUCAGAAGCAAGUACUACAAAGAGAUGCUUAUUUUAGUAGCAAAACUAAACCAUAAUCUGGUUUUUCUGUUUGGAAGCUUUUUGAAUAGGAGCUACAUUUGUACAAUUUAAAAGCAUUUCUUAUUUGUGGAAUGGAUCUUCCUGCUGGAUAUGUGGUGGCAUGCAAUGUGUGUAUAUGUAAAGAAGUCCUAUUAUGGAUUAAAGAAAUCUCCUAGAGGAUGGUGGGAAUGUUUAUGUGGAGCUACAAAAAAUUGUUGCCAUCCGGUUAAAUGCAUGACAUGCUCUUCUUAUAGAACAACAGCUGAUUGCUCUUAAUAAUUGAUGUGAUACAAUGGUCACAGGAAUUGUCUUAGUCAAAUAAGAGGUGAGGACAGGCCUCACUGUUGAAGUUGAGAUUAAAAAGGCUGCUGGUGUAUAUCUAAAGGGUUCAAAGUUGCAAGUCAAAGAUAUCAUUUUAAUUUGUAUUAAGUAAGAUUCCCUUAAUUUCUCGAAUAGGAGGGAAUUCGGCCAGCUGCUGCAAUUAAUCUAAUAUAGCUUCAUUUAGAUUUAAAUUGGUUUGAUGCAGUAACAAUCAUUGAUGCUUACAGAUAUAGUCAUUUAUUAUCAUGCACUUGUAUCUGUUAAGAGGAUAUUGUAGAAUUUGCAAUUGGUGCAGUUUCUCAACUCAUGCAUAGUCAGAGGUUUUAACCAUCAAGUUAUUCACCUACUCAUAACUCUAUAACUUAUCUAAGGGAGAGAGAUUUAAUAUUUCAUAAUCAACAGGAGCUACAUACUGAAGCUUAGGGAUGUUGUGUUUGGAAAGAACUAUUAUGUACUUUUGUAGGGAGACCUUGUGAACUGGAGAUAAUAUGCUAUGCAUUUGUGCACAUUCCACUGCAAGGGUGAAGUAUAGAGCCAUGUAGCAAGGUGUUUGGAAAUGAUUGGAAGACAAUUCUGCUUUAGGAACUGAAAUGAAUUUUGAACAGUCAAUAAACUGUUAUUCUGGCAAUAGAGCUGCUCUUUGUAUUGUGAAACAACCUAGUGCAAAAUUACUGGAUCAAACAGAUUGAGUAAGCCAUUUAUUUGUGAAAGGCUUGUAUCACGGUUAUUGUGCUUCCCCAAUAUUCAAGUGGGAUUCAACUUGCUGAUAUAUCGACUAAGGAGCUACCUAGGAUAAGGUUUCAGGAGUUGUUAAACAAGCUGAAUAUGAAUAACAUCUUUUCUUAGCUUGAGGGGGAGCAUAGUAAAAGAUCCUUAGUUAUGUAAUUCCUUUUGAUACAUUUAGAUGACAUUAUAGUUGUAUAUAUAGCUCAAACCGAAGGAAUACUCAAGAGGAAGGUGGGGUUGGGCGGGGAAGAAUUGCAUGCAGAAAUGUUUCUGCUAUUCUUGUCAUACUCUCUCUCUCUCUCACACACACACACACAUCUGCAGUUAGGUUUCAUCUUCAGUAACAUUAAUUAUCAUGAUCACUGUUUCCUUUAAAUGGUGAAUAUGUGUCCAUGCUUUUUCACUUCUAUUUCAUAUGUAUUGACUCAUUCAUGCAGCUCUACCACUAAUAGAGAAUGUCUCAUUGUUCAUUGUAGGAAUCCGAAGUUUCAGCUGUGAAAUAUCUCUCUGUGGAGGAAUACAGAGACUUGCUUGCUAAAGAAGACCCUGACUAUGUGCCAUAUGAUGUAAAUGGUGGAUAUCAUCAAGUCUUUGAAAUAAUUAGUGAAAGGUAUGCAUGUAAUAGUUUCCAGUUGAAUAACAGGCAGCAUUUUGCUUAAGCAUGCUGAAAAGAUAAAUGGCAUAUACUUGCACUUCUUGUUUUUCCUUUCCUGUUUCUUUUGUAUGGAUAAGUAUGCUUCUUCUGCUACUUGUUUUGACCUUUUGAGAAUUGUUUGCUCAAUGAUUUCAUUUUCACUCUUCCAUAUUCUGUUAUUCUGUUUGUAAAAGGUACUGUCUACAUUUUUCUUGUCUUUUAAACAGAUGGCGAUAUUGGCUCUCUAAUCUUGUUAUAAGCAUUUCAACUUUUUAUUUGUCUGUGCAUACAGUAUACAAUGCCCUUGUGCAAAGAUUUAAAUUGAAUAAGAACGUUUUAUUUUUAAAAGAAAUUAACUACUUGAAAUCAGAAUUUAUAGAAUAUACUUGUAAAGCCAUAGAAUCCACUAAGAAGCCAUUUAGUUUUGUUAUUCAUAGAGAGUAAGGAUGAUUUCGUCAAGUAAAAAUUUUCGAUCCUUUCUGUUUUUAUGAUAAUAUUAUGUUUAGCUUCUCAAUGUAUUAAGUUAAGAAUGUGUUAUUCUCAUUGUAUUAUGGUAAGAAACGUGAAAAUUAAGAUGGUUAUAUGUGCAUGUAUACAUAGAUACAUGUAUAUUUGCACUUUGAUGUAUAAAUGUGCAUAUGUAUGUCUAUAUUCAAAAUUCUUGUAAUGUGCCUGUUGAAAGAGUGGACGUGCCAAUAUUUCCUUCUCUUUUAAAAUUAAAAUAUAUGUUGCUGUCUCAUGGUUAUAGUCUAAAAUAAAGCAUUAGUUUUGCCUACACAAAAAUAUUUGGAAACUUUUCACACCAUUACUACAUUUGGGAACACUAGUUUCCUCUGCAGGGCUUUAUAUUUCCCAAGGAUUCUUUUUAUAUUUAUAAGCUGUUGGGGUACUGUCUAGGUACAGAGAAAAUCUGGAAGGGUGGAGUUUGACAGUAGAAAUGCAGCUUAGUCAUUGUGCAAAAUAAAAGCAACUUCUCUCAUUUUUUUUUUUGACUUUUCCCUGCAGGGGAGGAGUGGGAUUUAAGAAGUGGGGAGGGGAUGGGGGGAUUUGACCCAAUGCCUCUACAUCCUGAGGCCUCAACCUUAGCUGCUAGAUCAAGGCCUCAUCGGCCUUGUCAUAAUCUAAUAUAAAACAUAUGUUUGCCUAUACAAAAAUAUUUGGAAUUGUAUUCGAGCAUUUCUGCAUUUCAGAAUGCUCAUUUACUGUUGAGCUUUGAAUAUUCAAUGGGUUACUUUUGCAAACAUGAGCUGUUGGAAUAUUUGUAGGUACAGAGAAAAUCUGGAAUCUCGGAGUUUGACACUAGAAAAGCAGCUCAGUCGUUAUGCUCAGAUCUCCCUCAGUGCAGAGGUCCUUUUUUUCCCUUAACUAACUUUUUUUUUUUUAUUGAUACAGAUUCAAUAUCUAGGUGAGAUUUAAGUGGAUUUUAAGUUAUUUUUCAUUUCCAGUCUGUUAAUUGUGCACCUUGUUUUGUCUGUCUUUUAGAGGUGAAAAAAUCAAGAAAACUGAAGCAUAUUUUAAAGAAUGAGCUAUCUGUUUGUUGUGGUGAUGUCCAGGCUUGACCUUUAUAAGUGCAAUGGAAUUAAGUUCUUGUUGAAUGAAGUUAAUUUCUUUCUCUUUAUACUAUAGUUGCACAUGUGUUGUGACUACAGAUGUAUGAUAUUUUCAACUAUCCGAAUAUAUUCUUGAAGCAACUAAGAAUAGGUGCCUUGAUGCCAAAACUCUUUCCACUAGUCAAGGAAUGGCCACACAGAUUCAGAAAAAAUCCUUCAGUAAUCAUGUUGACCUGGUCUGGUUUAUGUAGAUGAAUGAGUCCCAUCUUUAUGAUAAUGAGAUUUUGACUCUCUUGUUUCCUCUUUUAAUUGGAAAAGGACUAUUGUUUAUUUUUUUUUCUUUUUUUUUUCCAUUCUCUAUUGUUUAUUUGAGGAUGUUGUCAGCUUCUUGGUGUGUUCUAACUUCUAAAUAUGAAUUUUCGAGGAAUAAAUACUUGUAAGAAUGAAAAAAUUUUACAGUUGCUUGUCACCAGAGAUGAAUUGUAUUCAAACAAAUGACAUCUAGUUUCCCAAAAUCUUAUAGAUUAGACACAACAAUGUAAAUUGAUACUAUGUUCAUUUUCAGCUCAACAAAGACAAAGUUGCCACCAUUCUCAGCAGUCUGAUUCUCUCAUGUGAUUGAUUUUUGUCAAGGUGGUAAUCUCAGUUGGCAAAGCAUUAAUUUGUCGUUCUAUUUUUUUCAUCCUGAUGGCCCUUGAAUUUUGGAUAUGUUACUUCUGGGCACAAGUAGUAAGAGAGAUUGUCAGAGCUUGAAUUAUGAACAUGACAGAGAAAUGGUCAUUUAUCUCCUUUUGUGCAUUAUCACAUAAAAGAUGGACCUAAAUUGAGCUGAACUGAAAAAAAGUUAGCUCCAAAGACAACACCUAUAUAUUAGUGCAUAAUGCUUUUUUUUAUUAGACCUACUUGAACUUUUUCAAGUUUAGCUUUUUCGUCAGUUUCUACUGAUAUGGUGCAUUAUUUGUUGCUUUACUCAGAACUCUUUUUUCCUCAUGAUAUGCACAAUGCCAUGAUUGUGGUACCAGGAAACCUUAUUUAAUGUAUUUAUCUCAAAGGUGAAAAAGAAACUUACUGGUGACAUUGUAUUCUCUUUGUUCUUGUACAGUUAACGGGGCUUACAAGUGCAGAUAAAGAAGCUCUAGCAUUACUGAUUAAGGCUGCAGCCAUCAUGGAUGACAUUUUUUGUCUUCAGGUUGGGAAGAAAAAGCUUUAGAUGGCUGUUAUUUAUGCCAGUGUCUUAUGUAGUAAUGUUACAUGAACAAAUAUUUGCAUUCAAAAGUUUUGGCAUUCUUUUCGACUAUUGCUUUCAAGGUUUCACCAGGAAAAGAGGAGGUUGGGAUUGGGUUCUCUGUGAAAAGAUUACCAAGUAUAUCAGUGCUGAUUUUGAUUUUUAAUUGAACUAGUUCCUCUGAAAAAGAUUCAUAAGCACUUAUGUACUUAUUCUGGUCAAUUUUCAACAUGGAAAUAGAUUAUGAUGGUUCCUUGCAAAAUGAUAAAGAUUUGAAAAAUGCUACACAUUAGCUUUAUUUGACUCAUCUUUUGCUUGACCCUGUCAUCCUCACUUUUUCAUCAAUUUGCGCCAUCUUUUUAUAUCUUCUUGAGUGUAUUCCUCUGUCUGUGAAGUAGGAGAUUAUCUAAAAUUUACUUUAAAAUAUUCAAGUUUCUUUGUGAGUUAGGUCUGAGUUUAUAGUCUUAAGUUAUAGACUUAUAGGAAUAGAAAUUAAGGGAAAGAACACAACAUGAGUGGAGUGGCCAGAGCAUUCAGAUUAUGGGUACCAUUCUCCCAAGCAUCUGGCUUGAGUUUAAAUGGAAGUCAGCUUGACUUCACUAAUGCAGAUUGAGCUCAAAAUGCUUGAUGGAAGUCGGAGUCAUAUUCAAGUAAAGUCGAGUCGGUUUGCACUAGAUGCUCACAUUCUCUGUUUCCAAUGUGUAAACCAAGUUAUCCAUAGUUUAAUUAUUAGCUAUUUUUCAGUGUUCAUAUUGGGUGGAAUUAAAUUGCUCACUUCUAGUAACCUAUCAUAGAAGGUUGUCCACAACUAGUUAAGAAACCUAAGAUAAAAGGUUAUAAUUCCUUUUACUUUCUACCAUAAUGCUUUAUAUUGUCAAUAGCUUUUGCAUGAAGCUAAUUGAAAAGAUUUAGGAACUAAAACCAAAACAUUUUGGAGCAAUUUGGAUUUGUAUUGUGUGUUUUUGUCGAACACGUUAUAUUCCCAAAUGUUAGUUAUCCUUACCUGGUGCACAAAUUACUUCACCUUCGUGCAUUUUUUGGGUCAUUUUUUAGAGUUAGGAAAAACAGGGUUUUCAUGGAGACUCAUAAACAAUAGAACAAUUGAAAAUGUUUUUCUCCGACAGCCGUCAGCUUUUGCUUCAUAAAUACUAUCCAAGAGAUUGCCUAUUUACUGAUUUUUUUGGCCAAGCACAUAUGUGUCAUUGUACAUUGGUUUGCUUCUAUAAGAUGUUGCACUUCCUUAGUGCCUUCAAUUAAAUUUUACCUUUUCUCCAAAAAAAAAAAGAUUUUUUUGGCUGGAAGUAUCAUGUUUCUUCUUUUCUUCAUAAAUCAACUCGAUGUCACUUUAGUAAAGAGUUAGUUAUUGUAUUCGUUAAAGAAUCUCAAAGACAUUAACAUGAACAGCUUGAGUACUCUGGUAUAAAUGGUGGAUGAUAUUUAGGAUCAACAAAAGAGCGCAUUAUAGUUUGUCUGACCAGUAUGUAAUGAAUUUACUUGAAGACAUUAACAUGAACAGCUUAAGUACUGUGGUAUAACUUGUGGAAGAUAUUUGGGAUCAACAAAAGAGCGCAUUAUAGAUUGUCUGAUCAGCAUGUAAUGAAUUUACUUGUCAGUUCUUUUACUGCCCACUCACCUGUUGGGCCUCUUGUUGUUUUUAUCUAGGAAUGAGCAUUGCAAAGUUGAUCAGUUUAAAUCAAAUGUAUGGUAAAGAUGUGCUUAGAGAAUCGGUCCUCUGUCUUAAUUUGUUUCUACUUUUGUAUGACUCUUACUUGGAAUUUUGUUCUUUUUCCUCUUCCUUCUUUUGCUUCAUAAACAGGUUUGGUACAGCAACCCAUCCUUGAGAAAUUGGCUAAAGGAACAAGCUAACAAAAGUCAGUUGGACAAGUUGAAGUGGAAUUAUUAUCAAGUUAAUAAAUCUCCAUGGUAUGUGUCUUGCCGUGUAACUCUUUUUGUACAUGCUCCUGUUUGUUUGUUAGAUUCUCUUCACGUCCGUAUGUACAGGAAAGCUAUCAAGUUAAUAUUCAAUUCACAAAUUCUCUGAGACCUAGAAAUCCUGCUGCAUCAUGAAUGUUACCUUCCCAUUUAGGCGUCCUUCCCAAUCUCCCCCUAUAACAAAAGCUUCACCCUUGCUUUCCUGGAAUUGUUUCUCAAAUGCCUAAAAGACCAUCUAGGUCACCAACACUUUAAUGGCCUUUGCAAGGGGAAACCUCAUGUAUGCAAACUAACAAUGCUCAUUACCUCAUUAAUGCAUCACCAACUCAUUAUACCCCUAAGAAUAUUUAAAUAUUCAAUGUGGAAUUGAAUUGACUUAAUAUGUUGGUGAAUUUGAUUUAAUUGGUCCAAAUGCGAGGAGAUCAUGUGGACAACAAUGAGAUAUCUUUCCAUGCAAGACGAUUAGUCAAUCAAGUUUGUAGGCCUUGUAGACCAACUGAGAAGAUACACCAGCUUAUCCAGCUUGCCAUGGGCCUGUUUAGUUUAUCCCAAAUGUAAUAAAGUCAGGCUCCAAACCUGGAACUUGUCCAACUAGUGCUUUUGCUAUCUCAAAACUGGUCCUUAAUCGAGCUUAAGUUCCAUAUACAAGCUAUAUAGACAUUCUUUCUGGUAUGCUGAAAGUUAUAUUUAAUUUGUGAUCUUCUUUCCCUUCCCUUUUACGUAGUCUAGUUGUCUUUACUUCUGUAUUUUAUAGAGGAUUCCAUAAUCAUCACUGUUAUGACAUGAACGUCACCAUUAGCUCAAACACCUCCCUUAAUACUCUAUGUCUUGGAUGCAAAGAUCUCUGGGUGCCCAAGUAACUUCUGGUUUUAGUUGGAUUUGUAGCUUGCAUCGACUUGCUGUUUCUGUGGGUGUGUUCUUUUGACACCAUCAGUAACUCAUUAAAUUUUCCUGGCUGGCUUUUGGCACAAUAUCCAUGUUUCAAUUGCUUUAGUUAUGGAACUCAUUAGGAUGAAUAACUAAAUAUCAUAACUAGUGUCUUUUUAACACAUAUUUACUGCUGUUAUAGUUUUAAAAUUGAUUUGUUGGAUGACUAAUAUAUUUUGGUGCUUGCAGGUCUUGUCUUGAUGAAAAUAAGGCAUUUUUGACAACUGCCGACUCUGCUAUUAAGCUGCUUCCUGAAGCUACAAAGCCAGUAGCAGGGUGGAAAGGCCUCCAGUAUAGAACAGCAUUUCCUGUUGUGAAACCACCUGGUGCAAAUUUCUACCCCCCAGAUAUGGACAAAAAGGUAUGGAGUGAGAACAUUUUUGUUUGACCAAAAAAAGAUGGUUGCACAUGUUGCAUCCAACUGCUUCACUUGGACGACCUACCUUCAGCAGUGUAACGUGCUCUUCAUUGAUUUGUUUAAUUGAAUGUUCAAAAUAUUAUCAUGCCUUAGGAAUUUGAAUUGUGGAAGAACAGUCUCUCAGAGGAUCAGAAAAAGGAAGCAAUUGGCUUUUUCAAUGUUAUAAAAAGGCAUAGUGAAAUUUUUCUGGAUAAAGCUGAGUCUCUUGAUGUAGUGGUUGGCACCAAUUAUGCUCAUGAUCUUUAUAUUGUCCCUUACUCCAAAGAGUACAAGUCCUUGCUUGGAAAAGCUGCUGAUCUGUUGCAAAAAGCGGGAGAUCUGGCUAGCUCACCUACGUCUGGUUCCCUUUUUAUAUUUUUAUUUUUUUGAUUUCUGUGAUUUCUUAGAGAGAAAUUGUAGACAACUGCAACUACUGAUGUUCAUAUUACCAAAUUCUUGCUGGUGCAGUCUGAAGAGGCUUCUACAUGGAAAGGCUGAUGCCUUCCUUUCAAAUGACUACUAUGACUCAGAUAUUGCCUGGAUGGAGUUGGUUAGUAUUCUGUAAUUGCCAAUCAUUUCGUGCUCUGUAAAUUAGAUGUGCGGCACAUCAACCCUAUUUACCUUUGUAAGAGUUUCUAGUUAGUUUCCUACUAUGACUAACUACUUGCAGUUGGGAACAUUCUGAUUGACAUAUUCAAGACUGCUGAUAUUUAAAGGAUAUUGAAGUUCUAUCAGUGUGAAUAGAAUACUGCUAUCGGGUUUUAUGGAUUUACUUUUGUCAAAUUUCCCUUACAAUUUUGGUGACAUCCUCUGCCACCAACGAGUAAACUUAUGAGAGAAUCCUUUUCCCAAGUUUAGUGUUGGAGUACCAUAUUUUAGGAGGAUAUACCAGCCACUCAUCUAAAGAAAUAAGUAAAACAAUUAAGAGACGCAUCACUAUCCAUUAGAAGGCUUCUUCUUUUGAGUUUUCGUAUCUCGAAGUUGAUUAGAUAUAUAAUAUAGAAGAAAAAAGACAGUUGAAUUUUGGAUUAUAAUGGUUAUGACUUGUUGAUUUUGUAUGCUAUUUAUAAAGGAAUAAAUCACUUCACAUAUUUGACCUUUGUGUUUGAAUUAAUAAUCUAAAUCUUAUUAUGGAUGUAAGUCUGACUGAAUGAUACGCACUGUCAAUUAGUUUUGAGUUUUAUAUCCAAACCCCAAGACAAAAUCCAAACUUAAAAGGAUGUUUAAUUUUUUUUACAUGACUUCAACAGGAGUGCUUAUGUGAAACUGAAACACAAUGGGGAUAAACAAUUACUUACAGACAAAUUAAUUUUUAGAGACUCUAUUGAUGAAAGUUGGAUCUUAUGUUAUAUAUCAUUUAUGUGAUCUUCGAUCUGGAACCAUUAGUAGUUGUUGCACUUUCAUAUAGAUGUAAAUGAAUGAAGAUAAAUAGGUGCAUGUUUUUCUGAUCAUAUACUUUUUUUAUUUGUUUGUGCUGACUAGCGUACUGUUCUUUCAAUUAACAGACUUUGUUUCAAGUGAACUGCUAAGGUUCAAAAUUAAACUGAUUUUGUCAGAACGUUAGAUGAUGAGUUGAUCCGUAGGUUUAUCUUCAGAGUUGAGGAAGUAGAUAAAUCCAGAGUUGUUGUAAUACAUUCUUGGGAAGUUCACCUUGAAUAUGUUGACACAAUAUAUGGAAGAAAGCUAAACAUUUCUUGUUCUAUAACUUAUCAUGCUAUGCCUGUUGGUUUGGUUCCAGUGGAAUAACUGUAAUCCAUGGAAAAAUUCCAUCCAGAAAAUUUCCUCGUUUAUUAGAAAAUAAAUAUGAAAUAAGUGAAAUAUUUAAAUACUUAGCGAUUGAAGCAAUCUGGUGAAAAUGGGUGCUUAAGAGGAAUUCAUAUUUUAUGGGUUUCUUGUUUCUUGAAAAUGACUGUGUUUGAUUUAAUAACAGCCCUCUCUCCCUGUAAUCCUGAAAUUUUCAAUUUCUUUUAUUUAAGAUUAUGUCAAACUCACGAGUAUGACUCAGCAUUGUCAUCGCAUUUGUCUCCUUGUUAGUUCCUCUCAUAACAUUUUCUUGUGCAUGUCUGUGUUCGACUUACCCACAGAAUUCACUCCCUGUUAUCCUGAACUUUCAAUUUCAUUUAUUUAACUUUGGCAUCAACAUCAUAAAAAUGAUUUGAUGUGGGCAUCGCGUUCUUCUGCACAUUAGAUCCUCAGACAGCAUUCUUAUUCUGUUUUCUUAAAUAUCCACCUUUAGUUGGUAGGAGAUUUGGUGUUGAUAUAUUGGUUGUACUUAAAAUAGCAAGCAUUCGUGAAUUGUCUUAGCUUGUCUUCAGUGUUUUAAUAUUUUGGGAGUGUGAGCUAGAGAGUCUGAGGAAUUUAGCAUGGAUGCUUAUCUAGUCAUAAUGAUAUGUCAAGAGCACAUGCAGGGUAGUUGGACCAAGGGUUAGUUCUUCUGGACUUCUGGGGGGGAUGUGUAAUCUGACACAGUGGAAGAAACUAAGGACACAGAACAGUUAAUUAUAAUGAGACUAUGAAAAAAAUCAUAGUAACUGCAGAAUUUCUCUGCUCUAGAAGUGUGGGGUUUAGAGCAUCUAUUAUAAAAUUGUCUUUUGCAUCGAUUUUAUUUGCCAUCAAGAAGCUCACAUGUCUGCAUGCUAUGUUUAUUCAAGGACUCAAAAUUGGAUGUUACAAUUGGUCCAUACGAGACUUAUGAAGAUGGACUUUUUGGAUACAAGGUACUUCAUGGAUGUCAUUUUGCCUCUGCUUGCUUAUAUUCUUUCUUUAUUGGGUAUUGGGUUGGAACGCAUAACUUGUUUAUGUUUGUAUUUAUAAAUAUGGUACUACACACUCGUGUUUGGCUGCUUUUGAAUCUUUGAAGGGACUCUCCAUAUGACAUCACUGAAAUCCACUUAGUGGUUACCAUCCACAAGAACAUUUUGAGAAUAGUCUUUGGUUCUUUGGAACCUGUUCCUGCCGAUCACUUUUAGUACAAACCAUGUGCUGAGAAAUAGGCUUAUUUAUUACUUAAAAGAGUAUUACAUUCAUUGUUGUUUGGUUCUCUGGACAUCUGAGACCCAGCCAGCCUUUGGCCACACUUACAGCAUUUGAAUAAUGGAUACUAUUUUACUGCUAAAACAUGUAAUCGCAGAAGUAGAUGAGUGGAAAGCUGAAAUGCAUUGUCAAUACAUGUAAAGUAGUAUUUUCUUUUCCACAUUUUCUUGGAAACAUUCUUGGAGAAAACUGGAAGUAUUACCUGCCUUCCUCUUGAUCUUCUGCAUCUGCAGAUAAAUGCAACUUGAAUCUUGAUAUGCUUUUUAUAUUUUCAAUAGUAGCAUGCGUAUCCGAAAUUGAUUAUUAUCCAAGCAUCUUUUGUAGGAGCAGCAGAAUAGAUUGUCUAUCUGAUCUUAGGUUAAUAGUGAAACACACAACCCAACAUUUAAACACUGGUUUGUACCGCUCAGAAUGUAUGCAAUUGGUACCAAAAGUGCAUUUUUUCAUUUCCUUGUUCUUGUAGCUCAUUUUGAGUCUCUUCAGGCAACAUUUGAGGCAUUUAUUGGAGUUCGAGAUGAUAAAGCUACAGAACAAGUUAAACUCUUUGGUGAUCAGUUACAGGUUUUCUUGAUUUUACGUUUUCCUCUAUCAAGCAUUGGUUCCUUGCUUUUUCUGCCACCUCCUUCACUGUCUUCUUAUCACAAAUUUUUACUGACUAGUUCUUAGAGAAAAACCUUCCAAUGGACGAUGCUUACAAGUCAGAGGAUGUGAUUGCUGCCCCUAUUCGAGUCAUCCAGCUGCUUUAUAACUCUGGCGUAAGUUUUAAGGGUCUAUAGUUAACCAUUCUGUAUAUAAAUGCUCAUCGCGAUUAUUAUGGAAGCCAAUUCCUCUUUUAUACAAAUGGAGAAAGAUCUUCAGAGCAUAUUUUUAGGUAAUAAUUAUCUUCUAUCAGAUCAGAAUGCCAAGUGUAAAUAGCUUUCAUACUAAAAAUGAGAGAUUCCUGUUUAUUGACUUAGGGAGUGAAUGAAACACGAUGAUGUUUUCCUGACUGAUAGGACUCAUUCUAAGAGGUCGAAAUAAUCAAAUAGGUUGUACAUGUUUUCUACCAACCAAAGUAUAUAGAAAUUCAAGGUUUCCUCUCUGUGCCAGUGCUGGGCUUAAAAGUGCACGCGUGCAUGCUCUGAUAAUAUUCUGACUCCCAAGGUAAAUGAACAGAAUGCUAUUCUAAUCAAUUCUUCACGGUUAAUGUACCUGUUAACGAUGUUGCGUCUGACAAAUUCUUGAGUAUCAUCCUUCCCUCCUUUGAAGUUGUUGGCUUUCCUUUUGUAGGAGACUAAAUAUAUCAAAUUUCACAGUGAUAUGAAACUCUGUUUACAAUUAACCAUCUUCGUUCAGUAAACCAUAAAAGUAUUUGUCGUCCCUGAGAAGAAAUGCAUUUAUAACAGCUGAAGAAACACCUUUCCGGACCAAAGCAAUGUUAAAUGGCAUAAGUUUUUUGCUAAUUAAAGUUAUCAACAAAAAAUGAACAGGUACCCAAUUCUGCAACUAACUUAUUGUUGAACUAGGCCGAAUAUGUGGAAUCAUGUUGCAUUUAAAUGCUUAACUAAUACUGAAGUCCAUAGGGUUGCUCCUCUAGUUUUAGUGAUUUUUCUACUUGACUCCUGGCAUUUUUUUGUAAUUGCAAAAUCAAGAUCACCUUGAAGGUGUGUUGGUGUUUCUAGAUUAUUCCUGUAGUUGAAAACUUGCUUUGUUCAACUUUUAGAAAAAUAAAGCACCAAAAAUAUCUUGAUCAUUGUUAUUUUUACUUUUGGCAGGAUGUGAAGGGCCCCCAGACUGUUGCAUUUAAUCUUCCAAAUGACGAGCGCAUUGUAAAUGAUCGAGGGACAUCCAUGGUCAUGCUCAAGAAUGUCUCUGAGGCAAAGUUAGGUUUUUUAUCUAAAAAUAGGAACAUUUUAAAGUUCUCUAAUAAUUAAUUAGAUGUCUUUGCAUAAAUGUUCCUCAUUGGCUUUGAAAGGCAUUUCAACCAUGCAAUUUGUUAAGCUUUUAACCUGCUUCCCUUAAACAGGUUCAAGCUUAUUCUUCAGCCAAUAGCUGCUGUAUGUAUUUCAAAGGAACAACGGGAAUUUGUAGACUUUGACUCUUUCUUCACUCAUACAAUUUGCCAUGAAUGUUGCCAUGGAAUUGGACCUCACACAAUAAAACUUCCAAAUGGAAAGCAGUCUACAGUUAGACUGGUUAGUUUCAUACACUCCAUGAUGCUACCAAUCAUGGACUCUAUUCUGUUGUUCCUUUCGUGUGCAAUGUUGAAGAAUAUAUAUAUAUAUAUAUAUAUAUAUAUAUAUAUUAAUAUUAUAAUAACCUGUGUUUUUCUCUUGUAAAGGAGGCCUUCUCUUGUAAAGGAGGCCUGCAUAAAAGAGUCUAGCUUACACAUUUUACAAUAUGCAAAUACUGUAGUCUAAGUAUAUUCUUAAUGCCCCUUCAAAAGAUACUUAUUCUACUGAAUCAGAGUUGUUUAGAGACAAAUUACACGUAGAAAAAUAUUUUUAGUAACGUGCAGGACAAUCUGCUGGCACAUUUUAAUUUACAGUGUUAUACUUGGAAGAUUUUAACUGAAGAAGGACAUGUUGUCUUCUUUUCUUUUUCCUCUCCUCAAUUUCCUUUUUUCUGAUAUUUUUUAACCUCGAUAACAUAUUUGGAGUGAAAAUGGCUCCUAAGACACAACAAAAAAGAAAAGAUGAGUUGGUAACAUCCUUCAUAUCUGUUCAAUACAGGAGCUACAAGAACUUCAUUCGGCAUUGGAAGAAGCAAAAGCAGAUAUUGUUGGUCUUUGGGCCCUAAAGUUUUUAAUUGACAAGGUAAGUAAUUCAUAUCAUGACCUAAAAAGAAGUAAUUCAUCAGAUGUUAAUUGGUACUUUCACUAUGACUGUUGUAUUCUACUUUGUUCUAUGUAGCCUACAGGCUUACAUUACAGUUGAGUUUGCCGGAGAUUGGUGUUAAAUUUUCAGUUUGUUAUUAUUAUUUUUUUUUGUUCUUCAUAGGUUAAAAACAUUUGCCAAACAACUCUGCAAAUCAGUUGGUUACAUGUAUAAUGUUUCACUAUCUUCUUUUCUUUUUCCUUAUUAGGUACAUUUACACGUUGAUCUACUCAGAGUUUAAAUUGAAGUCUCAUAACUCUUUUAAGAAAAAUGGAAAUGGGCCAUUAACAGCAACACUACCUUCCCUAUGUUUAUAGUAUAGGUGAAGUAGUUAAUGGUUACUCUCUGACAUCUAUUGUCAAAGCUUCAAAACAUUCUGAUUUUAAAAUUUUGACAUUCCAAAGGAUAAUGCACGUUUACGAGCUUGUGUUCCGUUUCAUUUGUUUUUUAAAUCUCAUCUUUGACUGCGAUCAUGGGAAUGUCAAUUUAUUGAGUUGAUGGCAGGACACAAAUGGGCAUGUUUGCUUUUCUCCUUAGAUGAUAACAUGAAUUUCUAAUAUCUUGAACAUAAGUCAGCUUAGUUCAUGCCUUCCCUAUGGCAUUCUAGUGAGUUUAGAAAAUUUAUGCGAGUCUGUCAGUGCUAAAAUGACUUCUAUAAAUACGAGGAUGAUUUCUGCACCACCAUCUGUAUGGUCCAUUAUGCCCAUCAUUGUGAAGAAUAUGUAGUCUUGAUUGGACCUCACAGACAAAUUCAAAUUGACGUUAUUCUGAGUCCUUUCCUACUUGAUUGGUGCUUAUGAACUUCUCUUGAGUGUUCUUAGAGGUCUAAUGCUGAACAGUGUUGUACAGCUAUUCCCAUAUAUUUAAUUGUCUAGGAUAGUCCAAGUUCGGUAUGAUGCACAUUUUUAUCAUGUAUUGUGCACUGUGGAUGCCAUUUCUUUAAUGUCUAUGAUUUUCUCGAUAUUGCUCACCAGGAAUUGCUUCCAAAGAGCUUGGUCAAAUCCAUGUAUGUUUCCUUCCUAGCUGGGUGUUUUCGCUCCGUACGUUUUGGAUUGGAGGAAGCUCAUGGGUAAGCUGUUCAAUUCCCCACAUUGAUCUGUUAUCCAUGUUUUUCUUUUUCACUGCUGCAGCAUCAUUCUCUACUUUUGAUUCUCUGUUCUUUUUUCCUAAUUGGAAUUUCUUUUGAAAUUGGCGUUAUAUGUUAAUGAUCCACCACUAUCUAAUGACUAAUUGCAAUAUUUUGCACUUCCUGCUGAUCUGAUCAGGAAAGGGCAGGCACUGCAGUUCAACUAUCUGUUUGAAAAUGGCGCAAUUGUUUUACAUCCUGAUGAAACAUUCUCUGUUAAUUUUGACAAGGUAUGGACUUCUAAAGACUCCUUGCCAAGAACUGCUUCAUUGUAAUUGAACUAGUGCAGGAAAGUUUCUUCUUAUUUUUUUUGUUGGGUCUCUGAAAAGGUUGAAGGUGUAGUUGAGAGCUUAAGCAGGGAGAUCCUUACCAUUCAAGCAAGAGGUGACAAAAACAUGGCCAGAAUAAUUCUUCAAAAAUACAGUGUGAUGACACAACCGCUUAAAGAUGCAUUGAGAAAGUUGGAACUCGUUCAGGUAUAAAUAUGCUUACUACUAAUAAGGUUUUGCAGUUUGGCAUAGAAGUAGAAAGCUUUAAAGAAUUGCUACAUAGAUUUCCAUCUUUGCUCAGUCCUUUCCAUGUGGGGAUUAAGAAUCCACUUGCCGGAUCAAGAAUAAUUAUCCCCUUAAAUUUUUCCUACCCUUUCUGUAUGCUGUCAAUGAUAAAUUGCUUCAAGCACACAUGACAUGGUUUAAGCUUUGUUUGGAUGUUUUUGCACCGUGUGCUUUAGUGGGGAUAGUAAGGUGAUUUAAAGGUUAGUAUUGGUAUAGUUGACAUUCUCAGUAGUAAGUGGAUUUUCAUAAAAGUUUUAACUUUGGGUGCACCUGGUUUUCAUUUUUUUUUUUUUUUUUUUGGUUUGCAAAAGCAUAAAUCUUUUUCCGUGAAAGUGCUUUCAAUUUGGGGGGUGGAUGGUAAUCGUAGAGUUUUUAUAGCAGGCUCACUUCCUUUAUAGAUGAGAUGAUGCAUUUAUCCUCCUGUGCCUGGGAAAAGCCUUUAACCUGUAAUGCUAAAAAAUUGUGUAUCUUAUGCUUCUCUGCAAUUUUUCAGGUGCCAGUGGAUAUAAUUCCUGAAUUCCCAAUAGCUGACGAAAUUUUGCGGAAAUUUACUGAAGAUUGAGUUUCCAGUUUUGGUACUAUCGUUUUGUUUUGACUACAAAAUAGACCAAAAAAAACUGUUAGCCAAAAUAUUCUCAUUUCAUACUCGUACAUAAUUGCUUUUGUUUCUUCUAAAUAAAUAUGUACUCACAAUUCUAUGCUUUUUUUUUGAAUAAAUAAAUACGUGCUUCUAUUUUAUUGCUAGUAAGCAGUAGCUAUCUUUUACAUUUUGCUAAUCAUAUGAAAUACGAGACUAAGAAAUGGUUUUUUUUUUUUUUGUUGCCUGUUACGGUAUCCAGGGCUUUGCCCUGACUAAUUCGUUGGUCGACUCGGGUUGCACACUUGAUUGUGGUGGGUGAGUUUCUCAACAAGGGUAGUUGCGUACGCCAGAUUUAAGAAAUGGUUUAUCAUGGAAGAUUAUACAUAGAAAAGUACAGGAAAUAGAUAAAACGUUGGAGGGAAAUGGUGCGGUUUAAUUAGGAAAUUCAAAAUAUCUAUAUGCAAUACAUUUUUUUUUUUUAAGACGACAAUAGUUGUAUAACCUAAUUUAUUCUACACUAAGGAGGAGGGGGCGGACCUAAGGAGGUCCAGGGAUAAUUUGGAGGGGACUGAACCACCACCGGAUCAAACGGGUGCACAACACACCCGCCUGGAUUUUUUUUGAAGCAAAUCACUUAAAUAUGGCAUUUUUGCCCCACCAAGCUAGGUGGUGGCCUUCAGCCUUUGCUGGUGGUUAUCUAUAUGCAAUACAAGACUUUUAAAAAUUUUGUGAGGGAAGCGGCGGCAAUUCCCCCCCCCCCCCCCGCGUGGUCACCCUGAUUUGAUUAUGUUUGUUUAUUUAUUGAGAUAAUUUCAGAAACCUCUCUUGAGGUUUCUAACAAUUUCACUAGCAUUCCAUAAAAUUUGCAAAAUUAUAUAAACCUCUCUUGAGAUUAAGGUUUGAUAACAAAAUUAGUCCAAUUAGAUAGGCCUGUCAACGGGUCGGGUCCGGACCGGAAUUCAUUAUUCCAGACCCGGACCCGGCACACUAUAUCGGAUCUGGAUCCGACCCUUUUACCCGACGGGUCUUUUACUCUAUGUUCCGGAUCCGGAUCCGACGGGUCCCGGAUCCGACGGGUCCCGGAUCCGGAUCCGGGUCUAUUUGAAAAAAACUAACAAAAUUUAUAAUUUCUAACAAAAAUGAGAAAAAAAACAUAUAUUUAUAAACUAAUUUCUAACUAAUACAAAAAAAAUCAAAUAAGAAAAGAAAUCAAAUUAACCUUACUCAAAUACAUCACUCUAAUCAAAUUAUAUUGAUUAGGAUUCGGGUCCAAUUAUAUUGAUUACUCAAAUACAUCAUCCUAAUAAAAUUAUAUUAAUAAAUAUAUAGUUUUUAAAUUAUUAAUCUAUUUAUAUCCGGAUCCGGGUCCAAUACGGGCCGGAAUACUAUAUUCCGUAUCCGACCCGUUUUUUUGUUUGACAAAACGGAUCCGGAUCCGGGUCCAGGUAACGGAACUAAAUCCCUACCCACACCCGGAUAAAUUUGACGGAUCCAAUCCGGGUCCGGGUCUAGACCCGGACCGUUGACAGCCCUACAAUUAGAAAAAGCAACAUUAAAAGAAUACUUUAAGGAGCGAGAUGGAACUUUUAUUCCAUAAAUACCCCUUUAUGCAUGUGCAUGUAUAUAAGUUGUAUUAAUAAAAGAAUAAAAAUAAUUAAAAGUUAGAAAUAAUUAAUACACACAUUUUACCUCUCAAAAAAUUUAUAUUUAAUAAAUUAAACAACACAAAUAAGUAGCAAAACUACACUAAUGAUUACAAGGUUCAACAAAAUAGAAUAGUCAUCUGUUUCAACGUCAUAUUUGCUAUGAUUCUUAUAACAGAAGAAAUUUUCGAACUUUGCCUUUCUUUUCAGUGGAGGGGCCCCUUUCAGCCUACAAGUGUGCAAUGCCUAAUUAUUCCAUGUUUGUUCACAGAGAGGAAGUUAAGAGCUCCAAUUCAGUAUUGUACCAGUAUGGAGCCGAACCCUUCACGUCAGCGUGUCCCUUGCUAAAUUCUUUUAACCAGGACGAAAGGAGGCUUACCUCGGGCUUUUAAUUCCUAGCUCCUCCUUUCAAUGAUAGCCGUCUUGUCUCCAACGUUGCUUAGAAGCACUUGAAAAAUACUUCCCCUCCGGAAAGCCCGAUACUGAAUCACCACAUUAUAAGGUAAUCUAGUAUAUCAACAACUUACGAUUUUCAAUAUUAUUGAAUUCAAUAACUACUUCAAAUUGAUAUUUGAAGUGUUAAAUAAACCAAAAACUAGAAAAGUACUUUGCAGGGAAGUUUUUGUAGAGGAGAUGGAAAAAGGAAAAGCCACUGUUCGUCUGAGAUGGAGACAACGGCUACCUAAGUUCUUCCUAAACCCUCUCAUUACUUUUUUUACACUUAUAAUUAAAAUGCUAUUUUUCCUAUCUAUCUUUUAAUAUAAAUAUCGUUAGUUUGCUUUUAUCGAAUUUAACUGUGGUUUUGAAGGUUUAAAAGGAUUAAGAUGAGUUAAGUUAGUAUGAUACUUGUUAGCCUGAGAGAAGGUGGUAUAGGAAAUGAAACAAAAGAUGUGUUGCAAGUUGCAUACUUUUUACUUAACCUAAGAGAGGGUGGGAUAGCUUGAGAGAGGGGUCGGACUGAAAGUAAAACAUAGGGAUAAUUUCAGAAACCUCCCCUGAGGUUUCUAACAUUUACACUUACCUUCCCUGUGGUUUGAACAAUUACAUUGACCUCCCCUGAGGUCAUUAAUCCUUUACAAAUUUAGUCCAAAUGAUUAAAAUAUUAUUUUAGAGAGUGAAAUUAGAAUUUUGUACCUGAUUUGUCCUUUGUGCCACAUGUCCAAUGAAUGACAAAGUAUUACAAAUUAAUUAACAAUUAAUAAACUUUAAGGAGCGUAGUUUAUAGGCAAAUACGUAUUGCCUAUUUAAAGUACCAGCUCUUUACAUGUAUUUUACUUUCAAACAUUUACUUUAUCACAAAUAUUUAUUCUCAAAUACAUAUUUGUAUUUACUCUCAAAUAUUUAAUUUUUGUUAAACACAAAACCUACCAGUUUUUCUUC
Molecule: long non-coding RNA, 97683 nt
Filed under: Coffea arabica (coffee)
Lineage: Eukaryota; Viridiplantae; Streptophyta; Magnoliopsida; Gentianales; Rubiaceae
Description: long non-coding RNA (CARA_LNC005891)
Source: RNAcentral